GGAAAAAAUCCAGCAAGUGGGAAGUUGUAAACAACUCGAUCAAAACGCAUGCAUUUGAAUGGGAAAACGUUUGCCAUUUUGGUGGCAUCAACAUCAUGCAUGACCUUAGCACCCAAGCUCCGGAGUUUAUCGAUGUUGGACAAGGCAUGCCUAUAGUUUGUGCUCAAAAACUCUGAAAAUUGCAGCUGAUAGUCAUCAGUUAAGGUCAUAAGACAAACCCCAAAUGGGUGCUGGGGCACAUGCUAAUCAAGGUUUACUCAGGACUAGAAUGAGAAAAUACCCAAAUCAAUCAAAAUCAUGGCAUUCAUGAGAAAUACUCAAAGAAGAUUACCAACUUAUAGUUCAGGAUUUCUUGUUUGUUACCUAUAGAAUCAAGAGAAGUAGCGGUUAUGUUUGUAGCAGAAGCAAAAGCCACAGCCAAAGACGCAGAGAAUGAGAAGUCCCCUUCACCCACCAGCAAUAUUUUGUACUCACUGCUGUAGUGCUUUAUCCAUCUUACUCUAAGCUUUCCUUCCUCUAGGUCUUCUUCACAGCUGCCACAGUCCCACCAAUUUUUUCCUACCACUCCUCUGGUUCGUUCUUCGUUUUCUUCAAUUAUGUUGUAAUGGUGGAGCCGUGCAGAAACUUGAUUCUCAUCACCUACAACUUGGUUUUUAAAUUUUGCAGGAAUUAACAGAUCCAAUGCAUCAUCAGACCUGGAAUUGCUGCGUGGGUCCAAGCUCAGUGGAAAACCCAGAGAGUUUCGCUGCGAUGCACCAUUGAUGCCUGAGUUGCUGCUUGGGACAGAGCUCAGUGGAAGAGUCACUGGAUUUGGCUGGAAAUGGGAUGCACCACUCACGCUAGAGUGGCUGCAGGAGCUAGAGAGUAGUGAAGGAUGAGUCUGUAUCUUUGGCUGAGCAUGAGAAGUACCACUUGGCCUGGAUAGGCCACACGAGUUGGAGCUGAAUGGCUGAGGAGUCUGCACUGGUUUUGGGUAAAAAUGGGUUGUGCUGGAUUGGUUGCAUGAGCUAGAACUUAGCUGUUGGUGAGUCUCUAGUUUUGGCUGGACAGGGGAUGAUACAGUCGUGCUGGAGAGGCCACAUGAGCUCAAGUUGAGUGGCCGAUGAGUCUGCACUGGUUUUGGGUAAAAAUGGGUUGUGCUGGAUUGGCUGCAUGAGCUAGAACUCAGUUGUUGGUGAGUCUCUAGUUUUGGCUGGACAGGGGAUGAUACAGUCGCGAUAGAGAGGCCACAUGAGCUCGAGUUGAGUUGAUGAUGAGUCUGUAGUGUUGGCUGAAGACGUGAUGCACCACUUGUUUUGGAGUGGGUGAAUGGGUUAGAGCUAGAGCUAGAGUUAGAGCUAGAGCUCAGUGGAGGCGUAGGAUGAGUCCGUAGAUUUGUCUGCAAUGUGUAGUCCCUACAUGAUCCUAAACUCGGUGGAGAAGUAAUUGGAUUUGGUUGCAACGCAGGCCUUGAGCUUGAAGAGUUGGUGUCUGAGCCCAAUCUCGGUGGAGAAAUCAGGGGUAGUCUUUCACUUGGCUUCUUUUUAUCAUCUUUUUCACCCCACAACCAGCGAAUAAUAAUGGAGAGAAUUUGACCCAUUGAAUCACCCGUCCCCCUUCUUUUUCUUCUUUUUCUUCUUCUUCUUCAUCUAGGAGCCUGUAAACAUAGAAAUGUCCCUUGUCAUGAAAACCAUGCGGGCGUGCACUGCAAUGUCAAUGGACUUGACACAGGUCCCACCAACAUUGCAUUAAAUUUUCCUUCUCGGACAAGUAAGAUAAGGAAUGCCUCUGCCACAUACUGUUGAGAAAUAUAAGAAGAUAUUACCCACAAAGCCUAUCAUGUUAAAUCAGGUAUCAUUUCAUAUCAAAUCAUUGUAGCCUGCUUGACUACUCCAAUUCCCAAGCCUUUCUCCUCCUUUUUGAAUGUUGAUUCCAUCAAUGUCUAGUUUCUAGUGAUCUAGGGUUGGGUGAGUCUUUCUCUGCCAUAUCAGACUGAGACAUUAAUAAUGGGAUUCUUUUUUUCUUUUCAAAUCAAUAUGACUCAAAUGCAACAUUCAUUCUAUUCGGGAUUCAAAUUGUCAACAAAUGAACCAAAAAUCAUCUUCACAGCCAAAUCUACAACUACUAAACAUCUUUUCCCUGUAAAACUAGUAAAAUUUCCAUCCAGACAUGUUGAUUAACUAUAGAAGAACAUGCUUCUGCAUUCAUCCCCAUCUAAGUUCAGCAUUUUAGCAGAAACUCAAUAUGAAAAAACAGAAUGACAGAAAGGGUAAAAGGGCGUCAAUAUCAAUACCAUGAAUGCAGAUGAGCUUGUGGAUGAUGAGAGCUUUGUUGAGACCAGAGAUCAAAGCUCCCAAAUCAGAGUUUUCCCACCAAAGAUCGGACGAGAUCAAACACUAGUGAUGCUUGGCUUGCAGGAGAUCCAUCAGUGUUGGGUGUGAGAGAUGAGAGUUGUCCUGAGAGUGAAGGGGGAGCAAUAUCAGAAGGUAAAGAAGUUUCCCAUGAUUCGUACGUCCAAAGACUUGGUUGGACUUGGCCAUUUUUAUGCUACGUGGAGGCACUCUAUUCGGAUUAAUAAAGUGAUAAAAGAAAAAAAUUAGGAAAGAAGUCCAUUGCAUCAAAGAAUUUGAUACCCAAAGUCAUGGAAGUAAUUAAAACAGAUUGAUGAUGAUGAUGGUUGUACCAAACAGCAUUUGAUACCCAACCCACCAAUCAUAAAAUUCAGUGACAUGGGAGUGUAUAAAGCAAAAUAAGAUAUACUAAAAUUAUUUUAAAAUACUUUAUAUUUCCAAAUAAUCUUUUAUUUGGGGAAAUGAAAACAAAGUUGAAGAAUUAUUCUAAAACAAUUUAUUCAUUUUAAGAUUUUUUUUUUCUUUCACUUGGUAAAUAUAUCAUAAUUUUAAAAAUUAUUCUAUUAUUUAAUUUGUAUUAUUUAAUACUUAUCAUUAUAAAAAUAAAUAUGCACUUAAAUAUUUAUAAAAAUAAACAUUACUUAUUUUUUGUAAAAAUUUUCAUAAAGCUUACCGUUGGUCUAGCGAUACCAAUCUCUUUGUUUAUUGCUGCCUUUUAGGUUUGAUUUCUCAUACUCCUCUUUUCUACAUAUACCCAUCCCACAUUGAAACCUUAUACAAACAUUUCCUACCAUAGAUUACAUAUGAGCUUGGCAUAGAAAUUAGUUACUUAUAAUGUGGCCCAUCAAAAUAAAUGUAUUUGGGCUGUACAGCUUUUAGGGCUACAAAAGGUGUUAAUUUUGCCGGUCAAAUUUUGAAAACAUUUAGAAUCAAUAGAGGGGUUCACAUUUUCUGUACAAAAAUAUUCUUAAUUUUUGUGUAUUCUUCGAUAAAGAACUCUAUGUAUUUUCAAUAAAGUUGAAAUCGUACAACAUAUUCUUAAUUUGAGGCAUUGACAUAUUAUGGACCCUGCAUUUUGACUCAUGCGCUUCCACUCGAAUGGCGUGACUCGUUUUUCUAUUUUGAAAAAAUGAUUUAUUAUUAUUAUUAUUUUUUUUAGAAAAUGACUUAGAAUCGCUACUUAUUUUUGUUUUAUUUUUAAAGGGUAAAUAAAAUAAGAAAGAAAAACUCUAAGUAUGACCCAUUAUUUGGAAAAGGUGGUCUGUGAAAACCAAAAAUGGGUUCGGGGGUUCAAUUACUUAUCAAGAAGGUAUGAUAAAGACUGUAACACCCCAUUAAGUCCUUAAAAACGGGUUCCUACUAAUAAAAUGAAGCAAGUAUGAUAAUUGAUAAGUAAAUCAAUGGAUACCGAAUGAAAAUCAAAACAAAAUACUCAAAUGAAUACGAGAGGUCAAGAACAUACCUGAGUGAGGAACUGAUUUAUUUCAUGGGAAGCAAAGGUUAGUAAACAAACAUAGGAUGAUUAUGUGCAUAUCAUGGAAUAGAGUAAAUCAAUUAUAUAUGUAAAGCAAUCAGAUCAAUCAAUCAAUCAUAAAAUCACGUAUGUGGGGCCCUCCACCAAGACCCGAUUUAUCUUAGCAUAAAUUAACGAUAAAUUUCAUUAUUUGAAAUUAUAAGAUUAUUCAUGCUUAUUAAAAAUGUGAAAAUUGGAAAAUUAUUAAAGAUCAAGGAGAAUUUAUGAAAGAUGAUUGUCGGGGAGAAAUAUGGCAGCCUAGUUUAUUAAGGAGCGGAAAAUAUUUAAAAUCAAUGAAAGAAAGUAAAAAUAAAAUAAAUAAAAAAGAAAUAUAAUAAUAAUAAAAGAUAAAAUAAAUGAAAUAAAAUAAAAAAAGAAAUGAAAAUGAAAAUAAAAAUAAUAAUAGUAACAAUAAUAGGAAAUAAAUAAAUAAGCAAAAUGAAAAAGGCACGCCCCUGAGGAAAAUGGCAAGAGUUGAUUUGUUAAAAUUGGAUUUAUUUAAGAUCAAGAAAGAAGGAGAAAUGAAGAAUUAAAAUCAAGUAAAAACGAGAUUUUUUUGGAAAUCCAUUUUUGAAAGUGUGCAUGAGAAAAGAGGAGUGUGGGACACGUGGGAAUUGGAUGGGCAAGUGGUGGAAGUGAAUACUGGGGGUUUAAUUGAAUGCAGAUUCAUAAUCUCAGUACUGAUUCCAUCCUUUGCAAGAGUAUCAGCAGCCUUGAGUGCUAGGCCUCCCUACCCAUUGUCUUUAUAGUCCACCCAUGUUGUUUCUCAAAUCUGUACCUCUCUGAAUCAGUCGCUUUUUGUGCAUCGGCUACCCCACUCAGCAAAGGCCGCUCAAAAGUUGUUCUCAUCAUGUACUCAGCAAAAAUUUCUUGGUCAAUGGCAGAUGGGUUUUUGUAAUAAUGAGAGGUGGAGACGAGAAUGGCGAGGGCGUGAACAUGGUUAACACUAACGCUGAAUUGAUCUUGCAACACUCUCUCUCUCACUGAUCACACAUGCUCAUAGGCACUUCCUCCUUUCUUUCCUUGUUAGCAGAAUCCAUCUCAUUGUAGACGAAGUUACUGGAAACGGCCAUCAACAUGAUCCAGAACACCAGAAAUUUUCUUUCUCAGCUAGUUCUCUUCUCCUUGCUCUCCCCUCCUCAGUUUUUCCAUUUUUCAUCACUCUCUGAAAAGCUCCCUCUAAAUCUUCGCCUCUCAAGCAACCUCCUUCCCUUUCUAUCUCUUCUUCCUCGCUCAAAAGACCCUCAUUCUCCAGCUGAUCUCUUCCCUCUCUCUAUCUCCUGCUUCAAAAUCUGAAUAAUCAUGGAUUUCUCAAUCAACCCGUGUUUUCAAGGAGUUGAGCACACCAUACAUGUUCUAAACCUGACCAUACUGCCUCAAAAGGGUAAUCUCCUACUCCGCCUCGUUCUUCAUCUUGGCCCUGUACUGGUAAGGAAUGGCAGCAACCCGAGCCCAUAGUACAAACAUAAACGCAUAACUCAAGGCAAAAACAGGGACUGCAAGUCCAUUCAUGAGGGGAAUCAAGUUGUCUGCAAUUGAUUGAAGCUGUUUAGCCGCUGACCAAGAGCAAGAUACACUCCAUGAAAGAGAUCAAGAAUGCCCAGGCGGGUGAUGUCGUUGAUACUUGCUGGAUUGAUGACGCCCAAAUGACUGGUUACAGGUGUGAAAAAAAAAGACCCAGUUUCCUUCUCAGACGCGAGAAACAUGCUCAUGUCGAUCAACAAUUCUUCUUCAAGCUUCGGAACGCAGCAUCUGUGCCUGUGUGCGUGAGCAGGCUAAGGAAUUCAGACAUUAUAUGUGUUGUAUUAUUGAUGCCGAGGUGAGACACUACUUUUAUUAUUGAUCAUGUGGAAUGAAGGUACGUGAAUGGGUGAGGUCACUCCGGGGUUAUUUUAGGUUAAUUGAUGGUCAUUAUCUGAAGAGCAUGCUAGUGGGAGAAAUGAGAAAGACGAUCUGGGAGGGAAUAUGAUGGGUUAUAAGCUGAGGAAGGGGCAUGAGGAGGGACUAGCGGGUAUGGAGAUGAGGAACGAACAGGUGGUGGCGAGCAUGUUAAUGGGUAUGAUAGGUGUAUUGGGUAUGGGUGUGAUCAGUAGAGUGACUUGUGGAGAGUAUAGCAUGGGGAAUGAGUAAAAAAAGAAUGGGUAUGCCGAUGGCUUUGAUGGGUAUGAAUGUUUAGAAGACGGUAAGCUGGUCAUGACGUCCUAGGCGAGAAUGGUUUGGCCUGGUACUCAAAUUUGAUGGAAUGAAUUUUGGAUGGAAAAGUUUGUGAAGGUAUGUCUAGCUAUGCACGGCCAUGCAUAGGCGCGCCCAUUUCAUCUCAAUGUCCAGAACUGUUCCUGAGAUUUCCCGGUAUCUCUACCCAAUGAUGGCGUCACCUACCACAUCUGGACAACUCUCCACUAUUAUUCACUUGAACCAAAACCUUCAAAUGCUUUCUUCUCAUUAUUUACACCUUCAACCAUGGCCAGAUUGAGGACUGUAGCCAGGAGCUGUUUCAUCUUAUUGCUCUACAAAUGCUCAAUAAAAUACCAUUCAAUGUCUUUUGGAAGCUGUGGUGCUCUUUCAUUCAUCUCCUGAACGUAGCUUUCGCCAAAACAACGGUGACCGACGUCGUGGACUUGUCAGAUGUGAGAGACUGGUUUAGUUCUUGAGACAGCCAUAACGCGGACUUGAUCGGACCGACGACCUGACCUCUCUGCUGUUUGACGAACACGGAAUAUGACGGACCGGAGCGGCCUUGCCAGAGUCAUUUUACAAGCUGGAACUAUAUGGUCAAUAGACAAAUUCUUGAAACUUGGGGAAAAAGAAACAGCUCUGAAAUCCAAGUCUCAGACCGAUUCCCCAACACUGUUUGCCAUAAUGAUCCUUGCAUGCUCUAACAAGAUCAUGCAUAAAGCUGCAUGCCCAGUAGGCCGUAUCAUGAUUGCUGAAUCCUUUUUGAAGCAGACACAUAGCCCGGUGGAUGACUGCGUCUGAUAGGUCAGAUGCUGCUACAGUUCAUAUACCAAUGACCACCAUCCUCUUCAUCUGAGCUCUCUCAGAUUCACUCCGAUCAAGACAACCAGACCAAACAUGAUACCCAACUUUCGAAAAAAUUACCAGAAACAGAGGGGAGGGUGAAGAAAAACAGAGCAUGCAUAUAAGAGAGAAAAAAACAUGAUGUAAAUAUAGCUUCAUUUCAUGAUGAUCAAUGAGCAGGAAGUGGGUGGGAAAAUCUCAAGCAGAUCCAAAGCAGAAGUGAAAACAAUAACUCUAAACACCUCACAGUUAAUAAGAUAACAAGAAGUUCACCAAUUUUUCGAGUCAAAUCAAAGAAACAGAGGAAGAAUCAGCAACACAGGUGGAAAAUCGACAAAUAAAUCAUCUAAGACAUCCAGUGAAAUGAUACCCAGAAUCAAAAAAAUGUAUGGUUCACCGUGAGCUUACCUGAAAAUGCACUAGAUGUCUUCCCCCCAGCUUCCUCUCUCUCUCCCCCCGUUUUUUUUCUCUGUAACCUCUGCUUCCUUCUCUCCUAAGCUCCCCCAAAAACGGCAGCAAAAGCACCACCCUCUCUCUCUGUAACCAAAACCAGAAUAUCCCCCCGCCUGCUGGCAGCUUGCUCUCCAAGAAAAUAUCUCUCCCCAAAAACCACCCAGCAAGCUUGCCAAAAACACCUCCUCUCUAACGGCCAAAAGAUUCCAUAACAGGUGUCCAUUCUUCAUUGCUUCCUCAACCCACUAUUGAGAUUCACUGACAGCCAGUCCAAAGACAACACGUGGCUCCUUGAGAGCCCUCCACCUGGUAAGAACAAGCUGUAGAAAACCUACCCAAAAUGGGGGUCUACACAUACAUUUUCGUACAAAAAUAUUCUUAAUUUUUGUGUAUUCUUCAACGAAGAAUUCUAUGUAUUUUCAAUGAAGUUGAGAUCGUAUAACAUAUUCUUAAUUUGACUCGACUUAGAGGCACAUGCAUAUAUUCUCUAGCUAUACAAAAAUAUUCUUAAUUUUUCUGUAUUCUUCAAUAAAGAACUCUAUGUAUUUUAUGCAUAUAUUCUCUAGCUAUACAAAAAUAUUCUUAAUUUUCAUUACAAGGAAAAAGGUAUAUGGUGACAUUUAUAACAAGUCACCAUAAACAUAGGGUGUCACUACAAUAUAACGUCACCUUCUCCACUAACACCAUAGAGGGUACCAAUUGGUGACGUAUUUGGAAGUGACACCAAAGUAGAUAAAUGGUGACCCAUUCGGAAGUGACACCAUAUAUUUCUAGUCAUGAUAGGGUGUCACAUUAAAUACAUCAUCUUUGAGUUAUGAUGUCACAUUAAAUGCAUCACCUUUGAGUUAUGGUAUCACAUCAUUGUAAAUUAUUGUGGAAGAUAUGAUUGGUUUUAGUUGUUGAUUUUUGUAAUGCUUAUGAAUUAAUAAGAUUAACCUGUUUAUAUUUUGUCCAUAAAUAUAACAAUCAUAUUAUAUUUAACUCAUUUUUCUGUAAUGUUUCUGAAAUAACUCAUAAUACAUUAAUCAUCUAAUAAUAUUUGUAUAUCAAAUGUUCACAAAAGGAUAGUACGUCUAACAUAUCAAACCCAUCAAAACCAAAAAAGAAGAGUGAAUACAUACCAAAACAUGAUUCAGAAAUGUUAAAGAUCCCAAGAUUCAUGUAUACCUCCAUUUCAUAAGCAUAAAAUCGACUAACCAUAAAAUGACAUAAAAGUCCCAUCUAAAAAUCUAAAUUUCUCAGUUGCAAUUAAAGUAACGUUUAUGUCCUAUAACGUAUGACAUAAGAGUUGCAUUUAAAAACCCAAAAUCUUGUUGCCUUCUUCUUUUUUUAUUCUCCAUUUCACCCUCCCAAGAGUGUAUACCUGCAUUUCAAAAUUUAAUGAGUUUUAGAGAUUUUUAUUGAAGAAAAUAAACAUGGAUCAAUGUUAUCAUAAAUGAACAAAUCUAAGAACUAUUUUUUUUUCAAAUAGAAACAUUAUUCAAAGAAUAAGCAUUACUAUAUAAUACCUAUGGAAAAAUUCAUGUAGUAGUUAAGGGACUCACCAUGCAUGGUGAUCAUGAUGCAUCAACAUGAUUCAUGAUUAGUUGUAGCACAAAAGUAGCCCAUUAUCCUCUAAUUUCAUCGAAUUCUACUUGAGAAUAUGUUUUUUUUUUAUCACCAAACUGAAAUCAAAUAAGAAAAUAACAUUAGAAUGCAUAACAUUUGGAGGCCUAAAACUAUGUACAAUUCAUUAGAUAAGUAAUACCUUUGAAGCAAUAAUUGUAGGAUAAAAAAUUAUCUCUUUAAUGAAUCUCAUAACAAAAUAGCCACAUUCAAACCCUCCUUCUUGUCUUGGACACUAAUCGAUCAAUUAUAAAAUAACAUUAGUACUCACAUAUAUAAAUGGUGCAAAUGCAUAAGCUAAUGUGUAAAGAAAAAUUUUUGGAUGUCACCUGCACUAGUUGCUAAGAUGGCUCCCUCUUAGAUGUUUUCUUUGCAAAUAUUCGAAGAGCCCUAUGUAAAUAAGUUCAAUGGGUACAUUUUUAAAAUAGGUAAAUGUUACAUGUUUUAAUAUAUAUAAAUAAUAAAAAAAAUGUGUUUGAGGUGAAUGUAUUUUUUUAUUUAAAAAUAAUACUAUGAAAAAUAAUAGGAAGAACUUACAUGUUUACGAUGUCAUUUAAGUCCUCACAUGGUUUGUGAUGCAUAGGGUCAAGAUAGUGGACUAUCAUUUUCCUUGGCUCAAGCACUACUUAAAUAUAAACCCUUUAAGUCCUCAUAUCUAUUUCUAUUAACAAAAUAUAAAAACUUUACAAAACUCAACUACUUAAAUAUAAAAACAAAAUCAAAUAAAAUAUCUAGCUAAUUGGAUUUUAGAAACUAAAUAAACUAUAAAUUAACUAAAUAUAAAAACUAAAUAAAAUAUCUAUGCCCAUGAAUUAAUUGAAUAGGAUAGAAAGACAUAGAGAGAACAUGGUUAUGAUUAUGAUUUCCAUCUUAUCAUCUCCCGUCAAUACCACACAUGCCCAUUUUAAGGUUGGACACUACUUUUGUUGCUAGACUUGGAAAGGGAACUUCAAAAUUGAAAACAUAAAUAAACCCUUAUGUAAAAAAAAAAUAACAUUAAAAUAUAAUUGAGCAUUAAAAUAUUUACUCUCUUUCAUCACUUUCAUUUGAAUAUUAAUAAUCUCUUAUUGAGAUAGAUACUUACAAUUUAACAAAAUAGAAAUUCCUAAUAAUAAAAAAUAUAAAAAAUUCUAUUUCUAUUAACAAAAUAUAAAAACUUUCCAAAACUCAACUACUUAAAUAUAAAAACAAAAUCAAAUAAAAUAUCUAGCUAAUUGGAUUUUAGAAACUAAAUAAACUAUAAAUAAAUUAAAUAUAAAAACUAAAUAAAAUAUCUAUGCCCAUGAAUUAAUUGAAGAGGAUAGAAAGACACAGAGAGAACAUGGCUAUGGUUAUGAUUUCCAUCUUAUCAUCUCCCGUCAAUACCACACAUGCCUUCCCGGAUUGGUCCUUUUGGGGUUGGAUAUUCUCAACGAAAUUCUAUAUCUCAUUCCCACUUAGAUACAAACAGAAAAAUCAUUCUUUUUUUUUUCCUCUCUCGUUUUUUAGAAAGGAUGAAGAUUAUGUGAUAAUAAAUCUCAAAAAAAUUCUGUACCUGUCAUUCUCACACAAAUACAUAUUAAAAAUCAUUCAUUUUUUCCUGUUUUUCACUUUUUUUUUAAGGACUUGAUCAUGUGUUUGGUUUAGAUUAAAAAAUCAAUUAAUCUACAAUUUUUUCUUCUAUGCUAGAAGAUUAAACCUAAAUUUUUCUUCCCUACAACUCAAGAAAACACAAUUCACAAAAACCAUAAUACAAAGAUGUUGAAACAAUUAAUAUAAUGACAUUAAUAAAAGAAGAAAAAAAAUGAUAGAUCCAAGAGAUUUUGGGUUACCUGGGAGUCCACACAAGUGAAGAAUGUUUGUUGUGAGCGUGUUGACUAUGGAUGGGUGAGAGAAAAGGUUGAAGAAGAUCAUGAUUUUAUAUAUAGGAUUUAUAUAUUGAGAUUUUUUGGAUUGUGGGUGAGAUAUGGAAACAAUGGGAUUUUUAUAUAGUAUCCAUCAUUAUUAAUUCUAAAAGUGGGCUCAUUAAGUUAUAAUACCUAAAAAAAAUUUAUUUUAUAUGAUGUCACUUCCCAAAAAAUGACACUAUAAAUAUAAAAUUAAUAUCAUCUAACUACCUCAAUUGAAGAUUUUUUAUAUGAUGUGUCACCUUUAUUAAUUAUAAACCCUAUGGUGUCAUUAUUUUAAAAGUGACACCGUAAAUAGUGACACCAUAAACUAUUUUUGUAGUAGUGUUUUGUGUAUUUUUUCAAUGAAGUUGAGAUCGUAUAACAUAUUCUUAAUUUGACUCGACUUAGAGGCACUAAUAUCUUCCUCCCAAAUUCAUUGUAUGUGUAAAUGGCAUCUUCUUCCCAAACUCAGUGUAUGUGUAAAUGAAAGAGAGUUGAUUCAAAGAUCCAAACAAUCUUCUACUUUUAUAAUUUUAUGAAUCCAAUUUAUGAUUUUCCAUUUAAAGAAAUUGACAAUAAACUAAAUUCAACCAAAAAUCACAUACAUAUCUAUAAUAUAUAAUAUCUAUUAGUUAUAUUACCAACUUAAGUUUAUUAUAGAGUAGCAUACCACAUCUAUAUAGUUUAUAACUGAGCUACUUAGUAAUGCUAUGAGAAGGUUAUAUCAAUAGCUAUAUACAUUCAUCUCCUCGAGAUAGAAUAAUAUGACUUGACAUAGAUUACAAUAAUGUAAUUUAAAUAGGUCUAUUAUAAUAGUAUUUUUAAGCUUUUCGGAUCAUAAUGUUUGAUAGACUUUUUGGUUUGGGCCAAAAUAUAACAUUUAAAAAAAUAAUUAUUGGUUUUUAUUAUUAAAUCGAAUUGAAACCAAAUGGACGUUAUUGUUACUAAACUGAAUUAAAUGUUAUUCUUAAUAUUAAAAAAAUUAAAUAUUUUGAUUUUUUCUAUUUGAUGAAAAAAAAUAAAAAUAAGUAGCAGAUUAAUAAAAAAAAAAAUGAACAAUUUAAAAUCUUAGCAAAAAGUUAAAAAAAAAAAACAAGACUUAAGUUAAUUUUCUUUGAGUGUCGAACGACUCCCCUCUAGAUAAGGGAUUGGAAGUAGAAGGAAUACUUAUGAAGCAUAUACAUGCGGGAAAGAGUAUUGACAAGGAUGUUUUAAUCAGUAGCUAUGGCUUUUCACCCAGAAAUAUAGAAUUGAUUUUCCAAGUGCUUGUGAAUGCAAGGAUAUGUCCUUCCAUGUAAUAUCCCAACCCAAGAUUUUGUUAGCUUUGUAAAGUACGAAGAAUAAAUUUUUUAUUUUUUGUUUGGGCUUAUUAAUAAUUCCCUAAUUGGGCUUUUAAUUCAUGACUGAAAAAUUUGGGCCAAAACUUCCAAAGGUUAGGUGGUGUUUGUUUUUUUACUUAAUUCUAAAUAGAACCUUAAUACUUAAUAAUAUUAAAUAUUAGGUUGUUUGUUUUUGUAGUAUUUUAUUUCUAUUAAGUAUUAAAAAAUAAAAAGAAACUAUUAUGUUAUUUUUUCUAUUUAGAAAAAGCCAUAUAUUUUGGCUUUUUCUAUUUAGUAAAAAGUUUAUAAUAAGUCAUGAAAAAGUAAAAAAACAAAUAACCUAAAUUCUAAAACUAAAUGGUUUUCAACAAAAAGCCAAAAAAACAAACACCACCUUAGUCUCCAACGUUUCAAAUUGGGAUGGCAAUAUGGAUCAACUUUAUCCAAAUCUUGUCCAGUUUAUUUAUACCCAUUCUCAUCCGAUCCAUACCUAAAAAGAAAAAUAAAAUAAAAUAAAAUAAAAUAAACACGCAAAAAUUAAAAAUAAAAUAAAUAAAAAGUAAAAAAUAAACUAGACAAGGUAAUAUUAGGAAAUUUUCAUAUCUGCCCCAUUUAAUUUUUUUUAUUUUGAAAAUUUUAAAUUAUAUUAAAAAUAAAUAUAAUUUAUAAAAAAAAUAAAUAUUAGAACUUUUGAUUAUUUAUUUAUAUGAAAAGUAUAAGAAUUUAUUUUUAUAUGCUAAAAAGAGGUGAAAAUGAAAAUAAAAUAAAAUAAAAUAACUUUUUAUUUAAUAUUAUGUAUAAUAAUUGGGACAUGCAAGACAAAACUUAUGUUUUAAUUUUUUUUUUAUCAAACUCAUUUCAAAUUCAUCUUUAUCUCAAAUUCAUCACUUUAAAGAAGGGGUAUCCCAAAAACCGUCUUAUUGUCAUCCCUAGAUCCAAAUCCCAUAUAUCAUGUCAAUUUCCUAAUUAUACUAUAGUGGAUAUUGAAAAACAAAAACAAAAACAAAGAGAAGGAAUGAAAAGUUGCACAACUUAUGUGGUUGAGAAAGUUAGACAAAGUAGAUAAGAUGGUGAUCGAUUCAACUCACAUAGUAGGUCUCUCAUCUAUACUGUAGAUUUUUUAACCAUUUUUCUUUUCUUUUAAGUGAAAGAUUGGUAAUUGGAGGGUUGGAGUUCACUUAUUCUUUCUAAAUUUUAUGGUUUUGGUUCAAAGACUAAUGAAAAGAGUUGAAGGUUUUAGGGGUUUCCAUGAAUAUCAAGUAGAAUAUGUAUCAAAUUGAUGAUGAUAAGAAUAGCAUUAUGAAUCUUAAAUUAUUUGACUAAUUAAAAAAUAAAAAACAGAGAAAAUAUUUUGAAGCAAAAAAGUAAGAAAGGACUCUAAAUUAGUAUCAUGUAUGAAUAUCGAGUGGUUAGCAAAUAAGUUACAAAUUAUGGUAACAAGAAACCACUGGUGUCACAAAAAUAUGCAACUUAUGAAUCUGGGUAUUGUUCAAAUGAUAGUUGAAAAAUAUAGUUUUGAGUGUUAGAAAAAAAAAAAAAGACGAAAUAAAUUUGUUCAAUAUUAUAUAUGCAUAUGGAUGUAGGGUUGGCAUUACUAGUUUUAUAUAUGCUUUCCAAUUUGUUUUCUAUAUUAUCAAUCACUUGUCCACACCUCUCUUGUCUCACAAAUCUUCUUUUGAAUAACUAAGUUACACAUUACCAAAUUACUCUACUAUUUGUAUCUUUGGUUCUAAACCUUAUGCAACACCUAUGACCUCUAGAAUCGUGCUCUUUAUUAAUUAAAGACAGUACUCCUCUCUCGAACCCUACUCGGUAUAUAAAUCUUGUUGGGUUUUAUAGUAUUGCACCAUUACUUGCCUUCACAUUUCUUUUAAUGUUGAUAAUUUAUGUCAAUUCAUUCAUGCUCUAACUCACAUUCACUUUUAGAUAGUUAAAUGACUUCUUUGGUAUCAUAAGGGGGUUGUUCAUUUCAUGGUCUUACUCUUCAUGUAGCCUAUUUUUUGGAUCUUUUGUUUAUUUUGAUACAUGCCGGUAUAGUUGCCCGAAGAAUCAUUGAAGUACAAUGGCUAUUGUGCUUUCUUUGGAAAUAGUUUUGCCUCUUGAUAUGCUAGUAAACAAAAGGUGGUCUCUCAAUCUGGUAUUGCAUUUGAAUAACAUGGUUGCAUUUGAAUACCAUGUUAUUUACAAAUACUACCUCAAUAUUGGUUUGAAUUCAAUUCAUGUUUUUCCCUUAUUCCAUACACCUUUUAUAUUGUGUGACAAUUUAAGUUCAAGCUAUUUGGCUAUGAACCCUAUUUCACAUUCUCAUAUCAAAUAUGAGGAUAUUGACUUCCCCUUAUGCAUAAUCGAGUACUUCAACAAAUCAUUAGAUGUCAAGUUCGUGUCUUUUACUCAUCCAUUGGUAGAUGCUAUAACUAAGCCACUACCUACUCAGAUUCUUAGGUCUUUAUCCCAAACACUUAGUUCUUCCAAGACAUUGAGCUUGUAAGGAAUGCUAGAAUAUAGGUCAACUAGCUCAACAUUCUUUUUAUCUUGUUAUAAUGAAAAUUAUAGAAUCUUGUUAGAGUAAGUUAUGUAAUAACCAAAAGUGGUAAUAACUAGGGAAUGAGCUCUUUGAAAGAGGGCAUUCAAAGAAGGAAAAAUACCCUCAUGUUCUUUAUGAGUAUGUAGAUUGCACAUUAAUAUUAUAUACAGAUGUGAAGUUAUAAUUAUAUAUAUAUAAAGGAGUACAAGUGCAUAGAGAUGGCAAUGGGGCAGUUUGGGAUGGGUGACCCAUCCCAAUCUCAUCUCAUUUAUUCAAAAUAAUUUUCAUUCCUACCCCAAUUAAAAAAUUAAAUGGAAUGGGUAUGGUAUAAAUUAAGGUGAGGUGAGACAGGACAAUACAAUAUUUGAAAUCACCUUGAACCUAUCUUGGGUUUUUAAAAAUCUCAAACUUGUUAAUAACCUAUAUAUUUAAAUUUUAAAUUCCCUCCAUUAAAGGCAAGGCAGAGUAGGUACCCAAAAAAAAUCCACCCAUUGUCAUCCCUACAAGUGCAUAUUAAAUAAAUUAAGGGUUUAUUGGUUAAAGGGGUCAAAAUAAACUCCAUAUUUGCAAAUAUAACCCAUCAGUCAAAAAGCAAAAAAGUUGACCUGGUUGAGACAAAAAUACCCUUCUUUUUUCUCUCCAACACAUACAACUUCUCCUCUUCUGCUUCAUUUAUAGAACGACUCCUCAUAUUUUCCAAAAAAUUUCUCUCAUCAUCUUCUUCUACUUCAUUAUCUUCCUUUGGUGCACAAAACGGAAAGGUCAUCUCCUCUUCCGCUUCAUUUAUAGAAUGAGUUCUCAUCUUUCAUCAUCUUCUUCUAUUUCACUAUCUUCCUUUGAUGCACAAAACGAAAAUCUCAUAUUUCCUUCAAAAACCCUAGAAAAUUUCUCGUCUAUCCUCUCAUCCUCUGUUUCAUUCCGAAUCCUUGGAAAAAUUAUUAUUCUAUUUUUUUCAAGUUAUCUCAUAUUAUGUCUUCAAGCACGAAGGAAACAAUGAGUUCAUUGAAGAGUGAUAGGAGAAAAAGAUUUUAAAAAGUGGCAAAAAAACAAAAAUGGCAAUUGCGAACAGAAGAAAAAAGUGAAGCGGAAGAAAGUGAAGCAAAGGAAAGCGAAGCUACUUAGCAAAAAUCUCAAUUACCAAUAGAAGAGGCAAGUGAUUCUACUAAACCGGUGAGUGUAGUCUUCACAUUUGAUAAAUUAUUGAAAUUUUUAGAGAUGUUAUACAAUAAUAUUUGAGUAUGGUUAAUUUUAUUAGUUAAAUACACAAAAAAAAAAAAUUAGGAUUUAUUGAAUUGUAUUCAAAGCAUAAAAUUGUUAUAUUUAUAAUUUUUUUUUUAGUUCUCCAUUGUUAUCAGUUAUGUAUUUUGAGUGAAUAAAUUUAAGUUUGUUAGCUGAUAUUUGAAAAUAUUUGGGAAUUAUUAUAGUGUGUUGAAAAAUAAUAAAUUGCAUAUUAAUACUGUUUUAGUUUUCUAUAUUAUUAUCAAUCAUGUGUUUAGAGUGAAAUGAUAUAUUCAAUGUAAUAACAUCUAAUUAGGGAUAAGUUUAUAGAUAAUUUAUGAAAUUUUAGGGAUUUUUGGAAAUUUUAGGGAUAUUAUACAUUGGUGUUUGAGUAUGUCUAUGUUCCAAAUGCAAGCAGAUGAUAUUCUUGUUGACUAUGUUAAUGGGCUUCACCCAAUUCCUUCCAUGAAAUGGUCUGAGGUGGACAUCGUCUAUGUCCCUAUUAAUGUUUGAAGUAUGCAUUAGGUAUUGGGAGUAAUUCACCUUGCUCAGAGGAGAAUAUUUGUGUAUGACUCAUUGAUAGGAAUUAAUAGUGAUAAUCGACUAAAAGGUGAUAUAAUACCUUUAGCUAAAGUGUUACUGCGUAUUUUGCAUGCUACAUCCUAUUAUGAGAAGAGCGGCGAUCCUAAGAGUGAAGAACAGUGGGACAUUGAACAAUUGCAUGAUGUUCCUCAACAAGUGUAUGAGUAAGUAAACAAAUAUCCAAACUUCAUCUUAUCAUUUCACCUUUAUGCCUUAUAUAGUAAAUUUUUUUUAGUCAUCUUAAUUUUGAUUACUUGUGUUUCAUGCAAUGGCGAUUGUGGGAUGUUCCUAAUUAAAUAUGAAAAAUACUUAAUGCAUGAUCAUCCAUUCAGCUCAUUGACUGGUACCCGCAUUGAUUGGUUUAGAGAGAAAAUGGCAACUGAAUUGUUCUACUUCAAAAAUUUACCCAUGUAGUGGGUUUCAUUUUGAUUGUGUAAAAGGUUUAUAUGUUGUUGAGUGUUGACUGUUAUUUUGGAUGAAUUUGACUUGAUGCUCAAAGUUACAAUUUUUGUAAUGUAAUUAUAACUGUCAACUUAACUAUAGUUUAAGUUAUUUGUUAAUGCAAUUCAACAAUUGUUAAGUUCAAGUGAAUAUUCUGAGUGUGAAUUUAACCUCAAUUAAGUUCUUUAUUAAUGCAACUCAACCAUUGUUAAGUUCAGGUGAUAAUUUUAACUGUAAACUUAAUUGUGGUUAAGUUUUUUGUUAAUGCAACUCAACUAGUGUUAAGCUUAGGUGAAAAUUCUAACUAUGAACUUAACUGUGGUUAAGUUAUUUAUUAAUGCAACUCAACUACUGUUAAGUUCAGGUGAAAAAAUAAACAAAGAACUUAACCACAAUUAAGUUUUUUAUUAAUGCAACUCAACCAUUAUUAAGUUCAGGUGAAAUUUAUGACUGUGAAUUUUCUUACCAUUAUUUGACCUUGUCAUAUGGAUAAAUCUUUUCAACUUCUUUUGAACGAACUUUUCACUUUUUCAUAACUAACAAUGGAGUCUCUAUUUUUUACCAACAAUGUUGAAGUCAGAUUAUGAAUUUUUAAGAAAUAGAAAGAAAUAAAAUGAUAAUAUAAAAAAGAAAUUGUUGGUUGUUUACAUUUUUUUUUUUCAUAUUUUCGUGAUCAAGAAUGAAGAAUAGAUGAAACAAUGGUAAGAAGUUAAACUUGUUCUCUGCAAGAAAAGAGAGAGAAUGAGCAACCAAUGACCGAAUAAAAAAAUUAGAACCUAAUCUGCUAUAAAACAAAGAGAAAGGGAAAAGAGAAGUUGUAUAUGUUGGAGAGAAAAAAGAAGAAGGACAUUUUUGUCUCAACUGGGUUAACUAUUUUGCUUUUUGACUGAUGGGUUAUAUAUGUAAAUAUGGGGGUUAUUUUGACCCAUUUAACCAAUUAACCCAUAAAUUAAUGUGGUGGCUCUAAUGGAGAGAUGCUUAGAAUAUGAUAUAAUGGGAGUAUGAGUAUAUAUGCAAAACAUAGAAGAAUAUAGAACGUAUGAAUAAAUGUAACUUUUGAGUAUGAGAUCAUAACAAAUUGGGUGCAGCAUAUAAAAAUAUAUUGCUUUAAGAAUUCUGGUGGGCUGAAUGUUUUGGUAUAGGAAUUAUUGGAGAGAAUAUGGAAUGCAAAAAUCUGGAAUAUUUUGGAUAAAUGAAAACUCACUUGUUGAUACAAACUCACUUGGUGGUUGUAGAAUUCCAAAUUGAAGUGCAGCACCUUAAUAUUUUUGGACAAGAGGUAUAAAUAGGAGUUAUACCUAGAACAUAGUGUAAAUAUACAGUGCCAAGUAGUAAAUAAUCUUAAAUAUAUAUACUAUAUUUGAUUAUAUAUUAAAAAAAAUGAUUUUCUCAUAUUUGGUUUCAUAAUAGAAAAUACGGAAAAAAUAUCAAAUAUAAUUAAAAUUAAUUAAAAAUUUAGACAUUUUAAAAUUAUUUCAUAUUUACAUAGAAGGAGAAAAGGAAUGAAACACGUUUGAAUUAAUAUAUUAAAAUGAAUUAAUGAUUUAAAAUUUUUUUUUUCAUUUUUUUUCUUUUCUUUAACUUUUCCUUUAUUUUCUUUCUCUCGUAUCUUCCCUUCAAUUUUCCAGAAACCAAACAUAGUUAAAAUAAACAUUUAAUUUGAAUUUCCUAAAAUAACCUAAUGGGAAUUUAAUUUAUUUUACUAUUUUGCAUUAAUUUAUGAAAUAUCUAUUUUUCUGUCCAAAUUUAGAAAAUUUUUUUUUGUAUUUUUGUAAAUUUUGUACAUGAAAUUUAUUCAUUCAAUUACACUAACAUUUAUAAGACAGUAUACAUCCUUAUCUGUAGCAUAAACUUUUCUUUCCAUUUUCACUAGUGUUCUUAACAGGCUAUGUUCAGACCCAACAAAUCCACUCAUGGUUCUUCCUUGGCAACUACGGAUCAUUGAAAACCAAAUCUCAAUGCUCCAUGCAUGAACACAAUCCCUCCAUUCGAGUCAGGUCUCUGAUGUGUUUGUGCCCAUGGUUGUGGUACCAUAAGCACAAAUUCAUUUCUGAGAAUGAAACAAGCAACCAAACGGACCCCAGGAUACUUCAGUUUGAGAUUUUGACUGGGAUUUUUCGGAAGAUCAUCCCUGAUUUGAAUUUUCAUGGCUCAAAACAUUCCCUAGAUUACUCAGCCUCCAUUAACGCUCAUUUCUCAAUGAAAGCAAAAUGCUGAAGUUUACCAACCCAGGUUCAAACUUAGUACACUUGUCAUAUGAUGCAGGACUGAGCUAAUUCAAAACUGUUCCAUCUCAUGUGGCAAUCCUAAAGUCAUAUUGCUUCCUUCCAGCAUUACAGAACAAAACUCAAAAGGUAAAAGCAAAGCAAAACUCAUUCUGUGUCGUAUCAUGCUGAACUUAGGAACAAAAAUAUCUAUGGUUAAACACCUGGAAAGUAAUAACUCCAUGGUUCCCUAGGAUGGGAUCAGUCCAAGUCUCAGGAAUUUGAAAAAGAUUUUAUGUGCCAGCAUGAAAAUAAAAUUUAGGCCGAAAGAUCCCUGACCAAGUUAUCUUGGCCUUCACAACCCUCUCCCAGCACAUUAUCAAGGGUAUCUACUUUGUUUCCUGAUGGAUAUUUAGACCAGCUUUCACUAAAAUGGUUUUGGGGAUCAAGCAGAAAGUACAAAAUAGAUUGUAUGCCAUUCUAAAUAGAAUGCAUGUCACACCAGGACUGCAAUUUGAUCAUGAAAAUUGACAGAGAUCAUCUCACCUAGAAGUAUGAAUUUCUAUAAAAUUUACAAUAAUUCCUGCUCUCCUGCAGACAAGUGUACUGAGACAAAAACCAAAAACAAAAAGAGGAGUAUAGUUUUCACCUAUAGAACAACACCGGUGCUUAACUUGUAUUCACUAGCAAACAAGGCAAAAGGUGCUCACUUCUCAGAAACAUGUUCUAUUUCUCCUUCUUUACAAGUAGUGAUCAGGACCCAAUAACAUCCUUUGUAGGAAUGCUGAUCUCAACCUGCUCAAAUGUUGAAGCUCUUGCAGAAGGUUUAUGUAACCAGUCAAGGUUCUUCCUGGACCUUCAGCCAUAUAUCUUUCAAAGCCAAGCCUAAAUGCUUCAUGAACAGUAUAGCCCACAUCGUAACCAUUUCUUCCAAAUGUUUCCACAGCAUGAUUGAAGUAUCCAUCAAAGAUUGUUAAAGGUAACCCCAUAUGCCUUGGGAUGCCAUUCAUAUUUGCUAAAAUAUUUCUUCCAGGACCUCUGUAAUCAGAUGAACCUGGCCACUGCUGCAUUUGCAUUAGAUUAAUUUGCUGAGAUCCUCGGUGAUUUAAAUCAGAGUGGCACACGAUUCUGGACAUUUUCAUAGCAAUGGGGGAGAAUCUGAAUUUGAAAGUACCGCAAGCUCCCAAACGGAAGGGCUCAUCACAUCUUGAACCAGCUCCUCUCUUAUUGUUAUAGCCUGGGUAGUCCUCUUUCUUAAAAUCAACACACUCAAACAGCACCAGAGAGUUUUGAGAAGCAAGUUCCUCAAGAUUCCAGUGGGAAAAUGGAGCUGUGGUUUUGUGAUUUACAUGAAUUUCACCAUUGGCUCUUAGCAUGCCACUUGCAUUCCUGAAGAAACCAUGCACAAGAUCCCUAUGCAUACUGUAGCAUAAGAUGGGAUGACAACAUAAGUACAAUCCACACAGAAUUAAUAAAGAAAUCAGCCAUUCUAUAAAAGCCUUAGGUACAACUAGAUUGAACCAUUUGAAAUCAGCAGAAAACAAUGCAUCAAAGAUACUCGUAUUCCUUUUGAUUUUUAUUUUUUUUUGGUUGUCAGACACACUGGUAGAAAAUAUUAUCAGAUGAUGAUGUCUAUAAUUAAUUUACCUGUGAUAAUGAAAAUUUUCUUCUACAUAUUUGUAUCUUUGAUAUAUAUUCUACCACUUCAAAAGAGAAACCCAGGACUCCCAUCAUUUGGAAGCAAAGGCAUGAUAUUUCUGGUGCAUCUGUAUAGCAGCACUCACAUCUUGUUUUAAGAUUGUAAGUUAGAUGCCUAGCAUCUGAGCUGAAGACCAGCACAUGAGCCAAUGCCCAUGGUACAUGAUAGUAACAACUAGAAUUCUUAAAAAUACUAUGAAGACAAUAACUGAUUCAGUUACAUGUAGGGUUCCAAAUACCCCCCAGUUCUAUCCUUUGCUGCCCUGGCUUUUGUGAUGGAGACUUUGUCCAUCAACAUGUAGAAACUGAAAUUAUAACGUAAUCUCAUUAUGGAGGCAUUGGAAACCUACACAUGACCAUGCAGAUGUGAUUCAUACUGCACUUGUGCAGACUCAUGGCUAUAUACUGCAGAAAUAGGUAAACAUAUGACCAUAGAAUGUGUUAUGAAUCUUCACCACUUUGAUAAAGUGGUCAAAAUUUCCCCUUAUGAGGACUUGAAUGGGAUCAUCCAAUGCGUGAUCCAAACCCACAGCUAGUUACCUUGAUGAGCAUCACCAUCUGAACCAAUUGAACAAACACACAGUUCUGUGCAUAGACAAAAAGGGCAUGAAAUGUAAAUGAACUCACAAACACAAAUAAAACAUAGGAGAAAAGUAACAUUGACCAUGACGAGCAACUACAGUGUAUGGAAGAUUUUGCUGUGAAAUUCAAGCUACAUAUCAUAUCCAUAACAACAAUACAUUUUCUUCGUACAGAGAGAAGGUAGUUUUGAGGAAUUAUGAAAUUUCCAUCACAUAGAUAAGAAAUAAAAGAUGAGGCCUUACUUAAUCAUAAGCCUGUUGUCUUCCUUUCCAUGGAAGCCUGCAUGAGGAAAGUUAUAUAUAAUGCGGUCGAAUUUCCACAUCUUCAGAUCAGUAUGAAGCUUCAUCUUGGUUGCAUCCACUCCAAAUAAAAGAGAUGCUCCCAGCUUCUCUAAAGCUUCCAAAUUUGAUUUUGCUUUCUUGUACAUCUUUAUCAGAACAUCUAGUUUAAGAUUGUGUCAGAAAACAAGUUGUCCAAAAAAUAGCCUUCCUCAUAAAACAGAGAGACUACACCUUAAUUUAAAAAUUUGUAUAUUGAACUCAACAAAGACUAAACCUCAACUAAACAAAUGAAACAUUCACAAAUGUGAUAACUCCCCAAAUAUUGAAUAUAACAACCUUCAAAUUCUUAAUUUGCCUAUCCUUUUACCCAAAAUGAAAAUGGCAUUUCAAUUUCAGAGCAUCAUAGAAGUCAGAACCCUUGUCAAUUUUGAUAUUUGGAAAGUACAAUAACAAUGGGGAAUUCUUGUCCAACAGGAGGAUUUGGAAAAACAUAAACCCAUAAAAAACUCACACAAUGUUAAAAAAUAUUUUGUUGAUAAUAAAAUAAAAGCUCUCCAAAUUCCACCUCGUGACUGUCCCUAGUUGCUUUCCUUUCAAAAUAGUCCUUCAUCUCCAAACCCAGAUGUUUGGUUCUCAGAAACUGAGAAAGAAAAAUAACGCAAAAGCAAGUUUCACUUAUAUUCCAAGGUUGACCAUUUCUUCAACCCAUAAAAUGAGUGUCAAAAUGUAUAAGUUCCUCCAUACUUCUGGCAUGCUUCUUUCUCUUCCAGUCAUGACAACCAAAUUAAGAAAAUAAUUCCCCUUCUACUGUUUCCCAAAAGUAUACAGGGCUAAGGACUACAAGAUUAGAGUAUAGUACACAAGUAACGAGUUGAUUCCAAUACAUAUAAAAUACGAGAAAAGGGAAAGAGAGAGACCAUAUGGGUCGAGAGAAGAAGCAACGAUGUUGGAAGCAGAAGCAAAAGAGUGAGCCAAACACAGAGAGAAAGAGAAGUCUCCUUCACCAACCAAGAGAAUUUGAUGAAACGAGGAAUAAUGCAUCAACCGUUUCUCUUGUUCUUCCACACCCACUUCAUCUUUCACCAUUUCCUCCCCGACAGCCAUUGACGCUUUCUACAGUUACAGAACCAGAGAGACUCUUUGAGAGAGAAAGGCAGUGAAAGUUUGGCCGUGUUUAAGGGGCUUAUUUGAAAAAUAGAGAUGACUUUCAAAUAGAAAUAUUUUUUAAGAAAAUAGUGAGGAUGUUUUUGUCAAAAAAAAGGAGACCAAAAAUGGAAGGUUUAGGACCUAUUUAAUAAUUGUUUUUGAAAGUACCGGUUCUAAAAAAUAAGUAUUAAGAAUAGUUUUUAAAAAUUGUUCUUUAAUUUUGUUAAAUAAAAAUUUGUUCAAAGAUUGAAAAUGUUUUUAAUUUAUUUUUAAUAUUUUUAAAUGAAUUUUAAAAAUAACUUUUAUGUUUAGUGCUUUAUUUUUAAUUAUUUUGCAUGUUUGUAUAAUUAUUUUUUAAAAUAAUUAUCAAUAAACAAGUGAAAAUAUAAAAUAAAAAAAAUAAAAAAACAAUUAAAAUAUAUUAUUCAAAAUAUUUUUAAAAAUAGAAAACAUAAAACAAUUUUGGACUCUGUGAUGAUCAGACCCUCAUAACCGGACGAAUCAUAAAAAUUUAGUAAAAUGGGAGUGUAUAAAGCAAGAUAAGAUGUACUAAAAUUAUUUUAAUUGAGGAUUCUAAUUGAACUCAAAAACCUUUCAAAAGAAAAAUAAGCUUUUUUGUCAUAACUUAUAUUCAGUACUGGUGCUUGAAUUGCAGGAGAUCCAUCAGUCUUGGGUGUGAGAGAUGAGAGUUGUGCUGAGAGUGAAGGGAGAGCAAUAUCAGAAGGUAAAGAAGUUUCCCAUGAUUCGUACGUCCAAAGACUUGGGUGGACUUGGCCAUUUUUUUAAUGUGCAAAUAUGCUACGUGGAGGCACUCUAUUCGGAUUAAUAAAGUGAUAAAAGAAAAAAAAGAAAAAAAGAAAAAAGGGAAGUAAAGUCCAUUUCAUCAAAGCAUUUGAUACCCGAAGUGAUGGAAGUAAUUAAAAGAGAUUGAUGAUUGAAGAAUUUGAAGAAAAAUAUGAAGAAUUUGAAGACAAAAUAUGGAGGAACACCUCAAUUCAUUCUGUGAUACCUCGCUUUACAAUGAAUGAAAGCAUAAAUAAAUAGCCUACGGAUAUGAGACAAUUCCGGAAUGGAAUUUCCCUUACAUGGAAAGUGAAUAAACUCUUACAUGGAAAGUGAAUAAACUACCUUGCUAGAAUUACUCCUAAAUAUAUAAACUACUCUUACAUGGAAAGUGAAUAAACUACCUUGCUAGAAUUACUCCUAAAUCAAUUAUAAUAAAGGCUGUACAUUACACUAAUUAGGGAAGUAAACAGAGGAUGCUGGCUUGAUUUCCAACACUCCCCCUCAAGCCGCGUUGUAGAUGUUGAUCAUUCCAAGUUUUUCUGUCAGAUCUUCGAAGUUAACUCGAGCAAGAGCUUUUGUGAGAAUGUCAGCCGUUUGACAGUUUGUCGGAUGUAGCUGACUUUGAAAACUCCUUCUUCAAUCUUUUCCUUGAUAAAGUGUCGAUCUACCUCCACGUGCUUAGUUCAAUCAUGAUGAACCAGAUUCUUAGCGAUACUGAUGGCAGCUUGAUUGUCGCAGUAUAACACCAUGGGAUGCUUGAAAGCUUCCUGAAUAUUCUGAGGAACUUGUAUCUCUGUGAUGCUAGAAGUGAAUGCACGAAACGUAGGUGAUAGCUUAUCAUAAGAAAUAAAAUUUCCAAUGGGAUGCUGAGUGCAUGAUCUAACUCCUUUCCUCCAAGCUAUGGGCAUAUUAAGAAUAUCAUUUUCUAACUCGGAAUCAACAGUACCAUCAGGAGCAUUGUUACCUGGAAGUUUGCUUGGAUUAGGACCCGGUUCUGCCUCAUGGGUUUGUUGAGAAAGUGCUCUUUCCUCCGUUUCCUCUUGGAUGUGCUCCUUAUCCCACAAGUCAACAAUGGACUCGGGUUGAUUAAAUGACUCUGGAGGAAUGUGAUUUUCAGUGGUGAUGGGUGACUCACUGAAUGACUCAAGAUCCCAAAAUUGAUAUUCUUGAGUUGAAUUCUCCCCCUGAAUAUAGUUUUUGGGAUAGUAAGGCUGGGUUUCAAAAAAGGUGACAUCCAUUGAAUUGUAGAAUUUUCUUGUGACCGGAGAGUAACACUUAUACCCUUUUUUAUUUGAAGAAUGCCCAAGAAAGAUGCACUUGAGUGACCUAGGAUCAAGUUUACUUCUAUGUUGUUGAUUGAUAUGAACAAAGACAGAGCACCCGAAAAUUUUGGGUGGGACGGUGGAGAUGAGACGAGUAGUCGGAAAGGAUUUUAGGAGUGUUUGACAAGGUGUUUGGAAUUUUAGUACCCUAGACGGCAUCCUAUUGAUGAGGUAGGCUGCCGUAAGGACAGCUUGCCCCCAGAAUAAUUUUGGAACAUUCAUGGAGAACAUUAGUGAUCUAGCCACCUCUAACAAAUGCCUAUUUUUCCUUUCAGCGAUUCCGUUUUGUUGUGGGGUAUCAACACAUGAACUUAAGUGAACUAUCCCUUCUUGUGCUAGAAAUUCUCCUAGAAUGGAGUUGAAAUAAUCCCUAGCAUUAUCAGACUUUAGAAUUUGUAUUUUUGACUGGAAUUGGGUCUGAAUCAUAUUUUUAAAAUUUUUGAAAAUUUGACCAAUUUCAGAUUUUUCUUUCAUGAGGAAUACCCAAGUUAAUCUAGUGUGAUCAUCUAUGAAUGAGACAAACCACCUAGUACCAGUUACAUUUUUUAUUCUUAACGGACCCCAGAUAUCACUAUGAAUCAUUGAGAAUGGACUAGACUCUUUAUAGGGUUGAAUGGGAAAGUGAGACCGAACUUGCUUUGAUAAUUGACAGAUUUCACACUCAAAGGAUUUUGGAUUUUUAUUAAAUAAUGAAGGAAAUAAAUGCUUGAGAUACAUAACAUUUGGAUGACCUAAGCGAUAGUGCCACAACCUAAUUGCACUAUCGUUAUUUUGACAUGAAACCGAAAAAGAAUUACUACCAACUGUCAUUUGAGGUUGUUCUUGUGGAUCAUGGCGCUCCUUAAGGAUGUAGAGUCCAGAGCAUUCCUCAGCAUUGCCAGUCAUCUUCCCCGAAUCCAAAUCCUGAAAUUCACAGUGAGUGGAGGAAAAAUUAGUAAUACACCUCUUUUCCUUAGUGAGUUUACUAAUUGACAAUAGAUUACAGUCCAAGUUAGGAACAAGGAGAACAGAGUUGAGAGUAAGAUCCCUUGAUAGCACAAUUGAACCUGUUCCGGCAACCUUUGAUAGUGAACCAUCUGCUAUUCGGACUGUUAAAUUAUUUGGACAUGAGCUAUAUGUAUCAAAAAUUGUCGCAUCUCCCGUCAUAUGAUCAGAUGCUCCUGAGUCCACUAUCCAAGGUUUUUUACGUUUCUUACCAGCAGUGAAGGCACUCAAAAAAUUACCUUUGUGAGCCAAGGUUCCGGAACCAAUGACCUGGUUGAAAGAUGAGCCAGUUUGUGACUGUAUUGACAAAAGAGGAGACAGUAGUUUCUGAAGCAUCUCCAUUUGCUCCUUAUUAAAAGGGCUAGCUUCAGGUUGUGGCGAUUGUUUAUCGGUAGCCACAUGAUUGCCUCGUCCUUCUUUCUCAAGUGGUUGACGUGGCUUCCAAUCUACUGGCUUUCCAUGAAUCUUCCAGCAAGUUUCUCUUGAGUGUCCNNNNNNNNNNNNNNNNNNNNNNNNNNNNNNNNNNNNNNNNNNNNNNNNNNNNNNNNNNNNNNNNNNNNNNNNNNNNNNNNNNNNNNNNNNNNNNNNNNNNNNNNNNNNNNNNNNNNNNNNNNNNNNNNNNNNNNNNNNNNNNNNNNNNNNNNNNNNNNNNNNNNNNNNNNNNNNNNNNNNNNNNNNNNNNNNNNNNNNNNNNNNNNNNNNNNNNNNNNNNNNNNNNNNNNNNNNNNNNNNNNNNNNNNNNNNNNNNNNNNNNNNNNNNNNNNNNNNNNNNNNNNNNNNNNNNNNNNNNNNNNNNNNNNNNNNNNNNNNNNNNNNNNNNNNNNNNNNNNNNNNNNNNNNNNNNNNNNNNNNNNNNNNNNNNNNNNNNNNNNNNNNNNNNNNNNNNNNNNNNNNNNNNNNNNNNNNNNNNNNNNNNNNNNNNNNNNNNNNNNNNNNNNNNNNNNNNNNNNNNNNNNNNNNNNNNNNNNNNNNNNNNNNNNNNNNNNNNNNNNNNNNNNNNNNNNNNNNNNNNNNNNNNNNNNNNNNNNNNNNNNNNNNNNNNNNNNNNNNNNNNNNNNNNNNNNNNNNNNNNNNNNNNNNNNNNNNNNNNNNNNNNNNNNNNNNNNNNNNNNNNNNNNNNNNNNNNNNNNNNNNNNNNNNNNNNNNNNNNNNNNNNNNNNNNNNNNNNNNNNNNNNNNNNNNNNNNNNNNNNNNNNNNNNNNNNNNNNNNNNNNNNNNNNNNNNNNNNNNNNNNNNNNNNNNNNNNNNNNNNNNNNNNNNNNNNNNNNNNNNNNNNNNNNNNNNNNNNNNNNNNNNNNNNNNNNNNNNNNNNNNNNNNNNNNNNNNNNNNNNNNNNNNNNNNNNNNNNNNNNNNNNNNNNNNNNNNNNNNNNNNNNNNNNNNNNNNNNNNNNNNNNNNNNNNNNNNNNNNNNNNNNNNNNNNNNNNNNNNNNNNNNNNNNNNNNNNNNNNNNNNNNNNNNNNNNNNNNNNNNNNNNNNNNNNNNNNNNNNNNNNNNNNNNNNNNNNNNNNNNNNNNNNNNNNNNNNNNNNNNNNNNNNNNNNNNNNNNNNNNNNNNNNNNNNNNNNNNNNNNNNNNNNNNNNNNNNNNNNNNNNNNNNNNNNNNNNNNNNNNNNNNNNNNNNNNNNNNNNNNNNNNNNNNNNNNNNNNNNNNNNNNNNNNNNNNNNNNNNNNNNNNNNNNNNNNNNNNNNNNNNNNNNNNNNNNNNNNNNNNNNNNNNNNNNNNNNNNNNNNNNNNNNNNNNNNNNNNNNNNNNNNNNNNNNNNNNNNNNNNNNNNNNNNNNNNNNNNNNNNNNNNNNNNNNNNNNNNNNNNNNNNNNNNNNNNNNNNNNNNNNNNNNNNNNNNNNNNNNNNNNNNNNNNNNNNNNNNNNNNNNNNNNNNNNNNNNNNNNNNNNNNNNNNNNNNNNNNNNNNNNNNNNNNNNNNNNNNNNNNNNNNNNNNNNNNNNNNNNNNNNNNNNNNNNNNNNNNNNNNNNNNNNNNNNNNNNNNNNNNNNNNNNNNNNNNNNNNNNNNNNNNNNNNNNNNNNNNNNNNNNNNNNNNNNNNNNNNNNNNNNNNNNNNNNNNNNNNNNNNNNNNNNNNNNNNNNNNNNNNNNNNNNNNNNNNNNNNNNNNNNNNNNNNNNNNNNNNNNNNNNNNNNNNNNNNNNNNNNNNNNNNNNNNNNNNNNNNNNNNNNNNNNNNNNNNNNNNNNNNNNNNNNNNNNNNNNNNNNNNNNNNNNNNNNNNNNNNNNNNNNNNNNNNNNNNNNNNNNNNNNNNNNNNNNNNNNNNNNNNNNNNNNNNNNNNNNNNNNNNNNNNNNNNNNNNNNNNNNNNNNNNNNNNNNNNNNNNNNNNNNNNNNNNNNNNNNNNNNNNNNNNNNNNNNNNNNNNNNNNNNNNNNNNNNNNNNNNNNNNNNNNNNNNNNNNNNNNNNNNNNNNNNNNNNNNNNNNNNNNNNNNNNNNNNNNNNNNNNNNNNNNNNNNNNNNNNNNNNNNNNNNNNNNNNNNNNNNNNNNNNNNNNNNNNNNNNNNNNNNNNNNNNNNNNNNNNNNNNNNNNNNNNNNNNNNNNNNNNNNNNNNNNNNNNNNNNNNNNNNNNNNNNNNNNNNNNNNNNNNNNNNNNNNNNNNNNNNNNNNNNNNNNNNNNNNNNNNNNNNNNNNNNNNNNNNNNNNNNNNNNNNNNNNNNNNNNNNNNNNNNNNNNNNNNNNNNNNNNNNNNNNNNNNNNNNNNNNNNNNNNNNNNNNNNNNNNNNNNNNNNNNNNNNNNNNNNNNNNNNNNNNNNNNNNNNNNNNNNNNNNNNNNNNNNNNNNNNNNNNNNNNNNNNNNNNNNNNNNNNNNNNNNNNNNNNNNNNNNNNNNNNNNNNNNNNNNNNNNNNNNNNNNNNNNNNNNNNNNNNNNNNNNNNNNNNNNNNNNNNNNNNNNNNNNNNNNNNNNNNNNNNNNNNNNNNNNNNNNNNNNNNNNNNNNNNNNNNNNNNNNNNNNNNNNNNNNNNNNNNNNNNNNNNNNNNNNNNNNNNNNNNNNNNNNNNNNNNNNNNNNNNNNNNNNNNNNNNNNNNNNNNNNNNNNNNNNNNNNNNNNNNNNNNNNNNNNNNNNNNNNNNNNNNNNNNNNNNNNNNNNNNNNNNNNNNNNNNNNNNNNNNNNNNNNNNNNNNNNNNNNNNNNNNUCAAUAUACCACAUAAAACAUUGGUAUCACAGACCAAGACCAAUGUGUGGUUAAACGUACAAUAAAUCAUUUCAAUGCAAAGAAGAAACCUUCUGUGAGAUGGGGAGGGGCAGACAAGUGACCUAGAUCAAGAACUUCCUCCUCGCUUAUUGAUAUUACAAGCAAAGAAGAAAGAUGUUUCAUCUUCUGGAUGGAUGCACACAAAUCCUUCCCAUCCUUUCUUUCAAGUUCUGUGAUCGCGAGUUUCCUCAUUGCAGUCAAAUUUCCCAAUUCCUUAGCAAUUCCCUGGCUUGUUUGCCUUGACAAGUGACAACCUCUGUAUUGAUGAUAAAACCCACCAAUUCCUGAAAACAAUUCUGCUCCUACACGGGCUUGAUCUCCAUCUUGCUGAUGAUCAACCAAAAGUAAGACAAGUUUGUGGAGUUUACGGAUGGUUUUGGGCAACUUGGAAACAAAAGUUUGUCUGAGUUCCAAAGUUUCUAGGUUUUGAAUCUUCUCCACUGAGCUUGAAACUGCCUUUAUCUUGGUAUUCCUCAGUUUCAAUUACUUUAGUAGGGUGAGAUUAACAACCACUUCGGGAAAAUUUUCCAAAACUGCAUCUUUCAACUCUAAAACUCUCAAUAACCUUAAUCUGUAGUGUUUUUCUAAAUAUGGAAGUAGUGAAAUUCUCUCUUCCAAAUUUGAACAAGGUGCGAAGACGAGAGAAAUCCUUGCUUUGCAAUGAAUCUGUGAAAGCAUCAUGGAUUGCUAUACAUCGAUGGCUAAAGUGAUAAUAUCGAUCUACGUUUUGUAUGGUCAAAACUUUGCAGAAGCUUGCAUCUUCAGAUAUUGGAAAUAAGGUAUUCUCGCACAAGAUUCUUAACUUGACACCUUCUUACUACGCCUUGGAAAUCCCUUUUGUUUGUGUCAACCAAGCACCCAUUGAUCAGCUCAUCGAGGUAGGCAUCCGCCACCUCCUCCAGUGUUUUACCUCUUUUCUCCUCAACAAAUCCUUCAGCUAUCCACAAGCUAAUCAGCCUUCCACUAGCAAAAGAAUAAUCCUCGGGAAAUUUGCAGAAGUGAAAGAAACAGCGCUUAAGAUGGAAAUAUCUUUGCUGUAAUACUCUCCGAAUAAUCCCAAGUUUGGAAUUGCUUUAGAUGAAAGGGGUGAUGAAACGAGAGAGAUGAGAGGAAAAGAUGCUAAUAUUAUUUAUCUCAGUGGUCUUCUACAAUAACAGAUCAGACAUUAUAUACAAGCAGAAGAUACACAUCCUAACCAACUGUACAUGUGGAGCUAAAAGACUAGAGAGAAAAUAAUAUCCUAACUAAUUACAGCUUUAGGCUUAAUAUCCCCCCUCAAGCUCAUUGGUCUAGUGAGAACAGUGAGUUUGGAACGUAGAGUGAUGAAACGUUGGGUGGAAAGAGGCUUGGUCAUACAAUCAGCAAGUUGAUCAUCAGAAGGUGUGAACUAGAGAGAGAGAGCGUUGAAGAACACGUUCCCGAACAAAGUGGUAGUUGAUUUCCACAUGUUUGGUUCGGGCAUACAAAAUAGGAUUGGCAGCUAAGUAUGUUGCACUGAUAUGGUCACAGAGAAUGAGAGGAGGUGAGUGGGAGUAAUGGAAAGUUCACGAAGAAGAGAUUCAGUCCAAGCAAUUUCAGCAACCCCAUUUGCUACCCCUCGGUACUCUGAUUCGGUGUUGGACCGGGAUACCACUUCUUGUUUGGAAGAUGACCAAGAAACCAUAUUUGAGCCAUGAAAGAGGUAGUAGCCACUAGUGCUACACUUGUCAUCAGGGCAAGAGGCCCAGUUGGCAUCUGUAUAGCAAGUGAUGUUGAAGUCUAGGGAAGGCUGUAGGAAGAGACCAAAAUGAGAGGUGCCCUUUAAGUACCAGAGAAUACGUUUAACAGCCUACCAAUGAACAUCAGAGGGAUGGUGCAUGAAUUGACACACUUUAUUUACUGCAAAAGCUAUAUCUGGGCAUGUCACGGUACAAUACUGAAGGGCACCAACAAAAAUGCGAUAAUCUGAAUCAUUUUCAAGAGCCACACCAUCAUGAAGAAAGAGAUUUGUGUUGGAGGACAAGGGAGCAGGACAUGGCUUGGCAUCCAACAUAGCAGCUCGGGUAAAGAGAUCAAUGAUAUGCUUUGCUUGGCUGAGGUGAAUACCAGUAGGGGUGUGAUGAACCUCCAAGCCCAAAAAAUAGUGUAGAGGACCAAGAUCCUUUAAAAAAAACUGAUAAUGCAACUGUUAGAUAAGGUGAGUAACCUGAGUAGAGUGGCUAGCUCCCAAUGACGAUUAUAUCGUCCACAUAUACAAGAACAAGAAGUAACCCAUGAGAAGAAUGACAAAUAAAUAAGGAAGAGUCAUUCUUAGAAGUAACAAAUCCCAAGUGUAACUGAGAAUUACUGAGCUUAGUAUAUCAAGCAUGGGGUGACUGUUUAAGGUCGUAGAGAGACUUAUCUAACUUGCAACCAUGAGUAGGAUAGAGAGGAUAAAAAAAUCUAGGUGAUUGUUCCAUGAAGACGUCUUCAACCAAGUUGCCAUGUAAAAAGGCAUUAUGAGCAUCCAGUUGUCUAAUACACCAAUUUUGUGAAAGAGCAAGGUUGAGCACAAUACGGAUAGUAAGAGGCUUGACAACAAGGCUAAAUGUUUUGAAGUAGUCAAUACCUUUGGUUUGAUGAUAACCCUUAGCUACUAAGCGGGCCUUGUAUCUCUCACUUUGGCCAUCAGGCUGGAACUUUAGCUUUUAGACCCAUUUACAAUUGAUUACCUUGACUGAGAAAGGUGAAGGAACAAGAUGUCAGGUCUUGUUGUGCUGAAGGGCAGCAAAUUCCAAUUACAUGGCCUACUUCCAUGGAAGAUCUUUAAUAGCUUGGAGAAAGGAAGUUGGCUCAGUGAGAGAACCUAUGGAGACACUCAACAACAGUUUAGGCUUAUAGAUACCAGCCUUAGACCUGGUCACCAUAUGAUGAAUAUUGUGAGUGCGAAAAAAAGUAAGUAAAUUUGUAUCCACAUUAGGUACAAGCAAGUCUACACUAGGAGGAAGAGGAAAAAAAAAGUGGAGCAGAUGAAGACAUAGAGUGUGAAAAAAAGGGAAAGGAUGUAGGGGCAAUGAGAAGGGAACAAGUACUAGAGGUAGAAGAGGAAAAGGAAAAAGAAGGAAGUAUAAAUGGAGAAGUAAGAGGAGAUGAGGAAAUGAGAGGCAAAGGAAUGGACAGGGGAAUUUAUAAAAAAGAGGAAGAAGAAAUAGACGAAAAGGGAGAAGAUGAAAAAUUCUUGAAUGGAAAAGAAUCCUCAUUAAAAAUCACAUGGCAAGAAAUAUACACCCUGCCAUAAUGAAUGUCAAGACACAAAUAACCUUUAUGGUGUGAACUGUAACCAAGAAAAGCACACUCCAAUGACCUGUGUAGGAGCUUAUGGGUAUUAUAAAGGCGCAGAUAUGGAAAACAAGAGAAACCAAAAACCUUAAGAUGGGUAUAAGCUAGGAGUUUAUGAUAGAGUACAAAGUAAGGGGAUUGAUGGUGCAACACAAGGGUGGGAAGACGAUUAAUAAGGUAAGUGGCAGUUUGAAAGGCAUAAAGCCAAUAAGAUAGGGGCAUACCCAAGUAAGCAAGAAAGGAUAAUCCCAUUUCAACCACAUGGUGAUUUUUUUGCUUAACUCGCCCAUUUGAGUUGUUAUGUGUAUAGACAAGAUAAACAAUGGACAAUGCCUUGAGUAGAAAACAGUAUGGAGAGAGAUCGAAACUCAUCUCCGCAAUUAGAUUGGACAACCUUAAUCUUGGUAUUAAAUUGAUUUGCAAUGAGAGCUUGAAACUUGAGAAAAGUAGGAUAUGUUUCAUAUUUUGUUUUGAGCAAAUAAAACCAAGCAAACAAGUAUGAUCAUCAAUAAAAAGUAAAAAAUAACUAGCACUAGAAAUAAAGCUAAUAGGAGAAGGACCCCAUAGGUUUGUAUGAAUUAACUCGAAAGGCUUUAUUGUAAUGGAUGGAAAUAAAGAAAAAUGAAGCUUGUGGAUUUUUUCUAAUUGACAAGAAUUACAAAAUUUAAGACGAAUUUUCUGUGUUUGAGCAAUAUUACAAGAAUCCAAGAUUUGAUUAACAACAGAUAAAACUGGGUGGCCUAGUCUCUUAAGCCAUAGAUUUGGAUCCUUGAUGUUGGCUAUGAAAACUCGAGGAGGAAAGAACGUAGUAGAAGGAGAGCAUGAUGACUGAACUUUGUAUAAGCCAUUAUCAAGUUGACCCUAAAGGAAAACCCUCUUCGAAACCUGGCCCUUGAGAAGAAAAUGAGUGGCAUAAAAUUCAACAAAAACUUUAUUAUCAUAACACAAUUUUGUAACACUAAUAAGAUUAUUUGAAAUUUUUGGAGUGUGAUAGACCUGAUGUAGAACAAGAGGAGAAUACGAGGAUGGUAGUUUUGUAGUACCAAGAUGUGAGAUAUAGAGUUUCUUACCAUUCCCAACUACCACUUGAUUUGAACCACUAAAUGGUGUCAUAGUGUCAAGUAUGUUGAUGUUUAGACUAAAGUGAUGUGUAGCACCUGAGUCCAUGUACCAAUUUGUACCAGGAAUAGUGUUAUGCAUAGUAGUAGGAUGAGCCAUUGCAGGGUAAGAAAAUUCUAGAGGAUUAGAGAGCUGGAAUUUGUGGUGAAAUAGUAUUGAAAGAUUUAGGAGAAGGUUAGGAUGGAUAGUUCAAAUUUGUGCGAUGGAAGCAAAUAUGAGUAGCAUGUCUAAAUUUGGCAUUGAGGCUUUUGAUUCUGGAUUGAAAAAUGUGGUUUCCAUUGAGGUUAAGGUUGUCGUGGUUGUGGUUUGCCCAAAAUGAUGGGUUGAUAUUGACUAGUGGUUGGCUCAAAAGGUGGAGGAGAUGAUCUAGGUUGAAUGUGAAUGUGAUUGAAUGUAGGUUGAGGAAUUGAUUUAUAAGGUUUCUUGUUCAGAUGAGCCAUAUGGACUUGAGCAUAAUUGAGAGAAACAGAGUUUUGUUGUUCAAGACGGAAGUCAUAGCUAAGUAAUAGGCUAUGGAUUUUCUCAAUAGUCGGUUGGUCAGAUUGAUUUUGAAUUGAGGUAACAAAAGGAUUAUUCUCAUGAUCUAAUCCAUUGAACAAAUAGUGAGAUGGUCUUUCUUAGAAAUUGGUUUUCUUAUUGUUGCAAGACUGUUGCAAAUGGAUUUGAGUUGUUGAAUAUAUUCUCCAACUAAGAGUCUAUCUUUCCUGAGCGUUUGAAGUUUGGUGCGAAACUUGGUAACCCGUGCCAUAGAAGAGGCAAAGUAAAUAUGAUUAAGGGCAUUCCAAAUCUCCAUAGCUAUUGAAUACCCAACAAUCUAAGCCAUUUUAUCUUCGAACAAGGAUGAGUAUAGCCAACUCAUCAAAAGUCGAUUGUAUCUUUGCCAGACCAAGUACUUUGGAUUGAUGAUUUGUUGUUGCAGAUCAAGGAAUUGAGGAAGGCAAGGUUGAGAUCCGUCAAUGAAAUCAUCAAGUCCUUUAGCGAUGAUGACAUUCAGAAACUAAUUCUUCCAGAUGAGGUAGUUCCCAUUAUCUAGCUUUACUAUGAGAGGUUGAUUCAUAAACGGGAGCUGGUAGAGGAAGGUUGUUUGGCUGAGAUAAUGGGUUUUGCACAUUCACAAUGCUAACAGAAGGUGAUUUAGAGGUUUCAUUGACAGAAGCCACGGAAGCUUUGAUACCAAGAUGAAAGAGGUGAUGAAAUAGAGGGAAACAAAAAGAGAUGAGAGGAAAAGAUGCUGAUAUUAUUUAUCUCAAUAGUCUUCUACAACAACAGAGCAGACAUUAUAUACAAGCAGAAGAUAUACAUCCUAACCAACUGUACAUGUGGAACUAAAAGACUAGAGAGAAAAUAAUAUCCUAACUAAUUACAGCUUUAGGCUUAAUAGCUUUUCAUAUUAGAUCCUAGACUGGUAUUCACUUUCUGGAACUCUGAUGGUGUUGGUUGUUUAGUUGAUAAUAGACUAACCAAGGUGACUAUUGCAAGUGGCAGCCCUUCAAACCUGCUCAAGAGAUCAUCAGAUAUGUUUUUUUAAGUGCUUAGGACAUUCAGUGCUAUGGAAAGCCUUCUUAAAUAAGAGCUCUAAAGCCUCGUUCCCUGCUCAAGGAUGUAGAUUGUAGAUAUCAUCUGAAAAUUUAGAAGCUAAAUCACGCCUACAUGUAGAGAAGAUUAUUCUACUGUUAUUGCCAUUGUCGGGUAAUUUUUUAAUGUUGUUGCACCAACCAUGGCUCCAAACUCCCUUUAAAACCAUCAGGUACCUUCUUUGUUGCAAGUAACUGACCAAAUUUUGUUCCAAAUUUGCUCCUGGGGAAAUUGGUACUCCCAUUUCUUUUCAAUUUUUUUCCUAGGAAUCUUUACAGGAGGUUAAGUGAGGAACCCAAGCAUGACAUUCAAAAUGGCCCUUCACCUUUUCAUUCUCACAAACUUUUUUUUAUCAGAAUGGUCUUACCAGAGCUAGUGGAUCCAACUGCUGAAAUCACUAGAUGCCUUAAUUCUUUCUUGAUAAGAGAUCAAUUGUAUGUCUCUCCAUUCCUAUGAGCUCAUCAUUGCUAAGGACGGGAUAAGCCAUGUCAGGGACCUCUCCUGCACUGGAACUUGAGGCUACUCCAAAGGAAGAUUUUCGAAAUGGAUCUAACUCUUUGACAAAUUUGAUCUUGGCUUGAAUAAUAUCUGUAUAGGAGGAUAAUAUAUGGAAUGCUCUCUAGUCCAUGACCUUGUGGGAAAUGUUAUGAAGAGCUAUGGAGAUUUUAUGCUCAUGGAAGUGUUCGAGCACAUCAACCAUGAACUGUUCAAGAGCAUCCUCAAUCUCAUAUGCAAUCUCCCGUACUUUGUUUCGCGUCGAUCUUUAGCACCUUCAGUGCCUUGUUCUCGUUGCAUGGUGUCUUUGAGGUAGGCUUGCAUGGUUUCCAAAUCUUCUUCAAUAAUGACUAUUUUUAGCUUCGACUUUGGGUUUCUUUAACUAAAGAAGGUCUGCACAACACCAAGUGUUGCUGCAACUGCUAUUUCUGCCAUGAUCUGGUCCUCUCUGUCAAGUCCCUACCUUCUUAAUCCCAAUUUUGUCUCUUUAACCAACAACGACCUUGCUUGUUUUUGUGAAAAGACCUCAACCUCAAUUUAUUAAAGCAAUUGGGAUUAAAAACUUCCUACUUACUUGUUGAUAACUGACUGCUGAAUUUUCAAUUGUUCCUGUCAAUUAAGCUUUUGUCUUGAAUUUUCCUACGUUCAUUUAGAAGAUUGUUGAUAUAUGUAUUGUAACUUGCAACACUAUGUAUAACGACCCAUACCCAACCGUAUAACCUGGAUAAAAAUCUAGUUCGGAUAUCAUUUGUAACAACUUAUACCCAACCAUAUAGAUAUUUGUUAGCCUGAGGGUUCUCCUAAUCAGGUUUUGAUGAUAACAAACCAUGGUUAAGUGACUAAUUGGUUUAAAUGUUUAAGAAUCUCAGGUAUAAACUCGAAAAUUCGUCAAAUGACCAAAUGGAUACAAGAUCGAGAUGCUUGGAAGACUUGUGAUCAUAGGAAACUAAUGUAAGAUGAAUGCUUGAGUGCACUUAAGAUUUUCAUAUGUUUCAUGCAUCUUAAGAAACUCGGUUUAUUCUUUAAAACUUCGAUUUCAUUAAAACCCGAGUUUCUAACUAAUGUACCUUAGGCAAAAUGUUUUAUAAUUGGCUUAAUAAUUUACCUAAAGACCUUGCCUAAGUGUUAGAAAAGAAAGGAAUAAAAAAAUAGGUUUUCGGGGCCAAAAAGGCUCAACCAGUCGAGACUAUGGCCAACCGGUCGACCGGUUAUGCUCGUUCAGGUCGAGGACCGGUCGAGGGAGGUCAAAAACCUUCUCUUUCUCCCAGUAGCUUUCUCUUCCCAGUCGAGGGAUUUCUCUUACCGGUCGAGGUCCGGUUGAGGCAACGGUAACCUGUCAUGCACUAAAUGCUCCAAUGGCUAGUGAACCGAUCGACCCUUAGCUCGAUCGAACGAGGUUACCUUUUGCUGUUUUUGACUCCCGAGCUUAGAAACCUAUAAAUUGAGAGCUCCACUUAAUUUAUUAACAAAAGAACACUUGCAUUCAAUAGCCUACCUACCUGUUCUUGAUAAAAAAGCUCUCAUUUCUUUCAUAGUGCAUUAAAUCACCACUUGCAUAUCCUUUAGUGCACUCUUGUGUGUCAUCCUAACUUUGUCUUGUAUUUGAGCUAUCCUUAAGCUAGGUUGAGGGAUUAUAUCUUGUAAAAAUCUGAGUGUUAAAGCCUUCAAGAGGGUUGAAUCUUGAAGAGGUUGUGUAAGAGCCAAUUGGAGUCGGAAUCCAAGUGUAAGAAGAUUGGAAGCUUGGUUGAAGCUUUAAGUUAGUGGAACCCUCACUCGGUUAGGAGGUUGAAGAGAGUGGAUGUAGUCAAGGAAGUGUCGAACCACUAUAAACCUGAGUUUGAAUUCUCUAAACUCUAUCUCUUUACUUUACUUAUAUUGUGUUUGAAUUUGUUGUAAUUGAAAAGAUUUUAAAAACCCAAUUCACCCCCCUCCCCUCCCCCCCUCCCCCCUUUUUUGGGUGUUUUUAUUAACUAAGCAUAGUCUUUGUUUUCUCAAUUGGUAUUAGAGCUAGACCUCUUUUUAAGACUUAAUAGUCUAAGAGGAAAUGACUAUUCCAUCAAGCUCAUCCCAAGCUGAAAAUUUUUCAAAACAUAGAGCUCCAUUCUUUACGGGAACCGACUAUCCCUAUUGGAAAACUAGAAUGACUUGGUAUUUACAAUCUACUGAUUUAGAUGUAUGGGAUGUCAUUAAAGAUGACCCAACUUUUCCCACUAAACUAGUUGAUGGAGUUUUGGUUCCAAAACCCAAGCAAGAAUGGAAUGAGCUUGAUAGAAGAAACUUUCAAUUAAAUGCUAAAGCCGUUUUUACUUUGCAAUGUGCUAUGGAUAGAAAUGAAUAUAAUAGAAUAUGUCAAUGCAAAUCGGCUAAAGAAAUUUGGAGGUUGCUUGAAAUAACUCAUAAAGGAACUAAUAAAGUGAAAGAGUCAAAAAUCAAUUUACUUGUUCAUAACUAUGAAUUGUUUUCAAUGAAAGAAAUUGAGACUAUUGUUGAGAUGAUUACUACGUUCACUGACAUUGUCAAUGGUCUUGAAGCUUUGGGAAAAACCUACAAGGAAUCCGAGAAGGUAAUGAAGAUAUUGAGGUCUCUCCCAUCAAAGUGGCAUACCAAGGUCACCGUAAUUCAAAAAGCAAAAGACUUGACUAAGCUACCUAUGGAAGAGCUCAUAGGGUCAUUAAUGACAUAUGAGAUCAAUUUGACAAAGAAGUUACAAGAGGGUGAAGACAAAAAGAAGAAGAGCAUAGCCCUCAAAGCUACAACUAAGGAAGAAGAAGAUGUUGAAGAAGAAAAGCCAAGUGAUGAAGAUGAUGAUCUAGCCCUCAUCACAAGAAAGCUCAACAAAUACAUGAGAUGUGAAAGGUUUAGAGGAAGGAAAUUCACCUCUAGAAGGGAUCUUUUUAAAAAGGAAUCUUCAUCCCAUGGUGACAAGGAGAAAUGGGAAGAGAAAAGAGAUUUGACAUGCUUCAAGUGCAAAAAACUGGGACACAUCAAAUAUGAUUGUCCUCUUUACAAGAGUGAAGCCAAGAGAAGAAUGAAGAAGGCAAUGAUGGCCACUUGGAGUGAAAGUGAAGAAUCCUCCGAAGAAGAAAAUGAGAAAGAAGUGGCAAACAUGUGCUUCAUGGCAAUAGAUGAUCUAAAUGAGGUAAACUCUAACUUUAGUGAUGAAGAUAUGCAUGAUGUUUUUGAAGAAUUAUAUGAGGAUUUUGAAAAACUUAGUUUGAAAAAUAAUUCUCUUAAAAAGAAAAUUCAAGAACUUGAAAAUGAACUUGAAGAAGUGAAAGAAAAAUUUUCAAUUGUUGAAAUAUCUAAAACUCAUCUUGAAAAAGAAAAUGAUAUUUUAAGGAGUGAAAAUGAGAUUUUGAAAAAGAAAAAUGAACAGUUAACCUCCUCUCUUUCAAUUUUCUCUUGUGGACAAAAAUCUUUUGAAAUGAUCUUAGCUAGCCAAAAAUGUGUUUUUGACAAACAAGGGCUAGGAUUCAAAUCAUCAAAAAAUCAAAAGUAUUUUAAAAACUACUUUGUAAAAGAAUCCGCAAGUGCAAGUCCUUCCAUCACUUGCAACUUUUAUGGAAAAGGAGGGCACAUUAAUAGUACAUGUCCCUUAAGAAAUGGUUCUCAAAAGACUUCAAAUUCUAAAACUAAAAAGGUUUGGGUUGAGAAAUCCAAGGUUACUAACCCUCAAGGACCCAAAAAUAUAUGGGUACCUAAAUCAACUUAAAUUUUAUUUUGUAGGGAUCAAAGAAUGAUAAGUGGUUCUUGGAUAGUGGAUGCUCAAGACACAUGACCAGGGAUGAAUCCAAGUUUGCUUUCCUUACAAAGAGAAAAAGAGGAUACGUUACCUUUAGAGACAAUUCAAAAGGAAGGAUCAUUGGUCAAGACAACAUUGGUAAUGGCACAUCUUCUCUUAUUGAAAGUGUUUUAUUAGUGGAUGGUUUAAAACAUAAUCUUUUAAGCAUAAAUCAACUUUGUGACAAAGGUUUGAAAGUGAUUUUUGAAGCAUCUCAUUGCAUCAUCAAAGAUAUUCAAAAUAAUAAAACCAUCUUCAUGGGCCAUAGAUGUGAUAAUAUUUAUGCAAUAAAUAUUUCAAAAUAUGAUGGCCAUGAUAGAUGCUUUUCAAGCAUGCAUGAUCAAAGUUGGUUGUGGCAUAGGAGGUUGGGACAUGCUAACAUGGACCUCAUUUCCCAACUCAACAAAGAUGAACUUAUUAGAGGCCUUCCCAAAAUAAAUUUUCAAAAAGACAAAGUUUGUGAAGCUUGUCAAAUGGGAAAGCAAAUAAAAAACUCUUUUAAAAACAAAAAUUUCAUUUCAACAACUAGACCUCUUGAAUUGUUGCAUAUGGAUUUAUUUGGUCACUCUAGGAUACCAAGCCUUGGAGGAAAAUCUUAUGCUUUUGUUAUUGUGGAUGACUUCUCUAGAUACACUUGGGUCUUAUUUUUAAGUCAAAAGAAUGAAGCCUUUUAUAAGUUUUCAAAGUUUUGCAACAAGGUUCAAAAUGAAAAAGGUUUUACAAUUACUUGUAUAAGAAGUGAUCAUAGGAGAGAAUUUGAAAAUAUUGAAUUUGAAGACUAUUGCAAUGAGCAUGGUAUUAACCACAACUUUUCGGCUCCUCGAACUCCUCAACAAAAUGGGGUAGUUGAAAGGAAAAAUAGAACUCUUCAAGAAAUCGUCCCUAGCAGCGGCAAUGGCAACGACACCAUUUGAUUCAGGGUUCGAUCCCCGGCAGCGGCGCCAUUUGAUUCGUGCCCAAUUGGUGUCUCAGCUGAUUCAUGUCCAGCUGGUGCUCCUUGAUUGAGGGAGUAAUCAACAAAAUUUAUAACCUAUUACACCUUAUACUAGGGUAGCAAAGACAAAGCUACUAUAGCAUAGUGGCUCUAGGAUCGUUCACUGGGAUGGGUUUUCACUUUGCAAAUGAUAUUAAUUCAAAGCUGAAUUGGUGCCUUUUCAUUUCAAGGUUAGCUUUGAAAGAAAACAUAAAGAUGUUUGAAUGAAAAAGGUUUAGAUUUAAACUAACCAAAAAUAGUAACUGAUUUUACUUACAAAGAAAAGUGUUUCUUGGAGUUCAGAUCACUGGGCUCAGGUUCCUCAUACAAAAAGGAGAGUUCCGGUCACUUGUUUCUUUUCCUCGCAUUAGAUAAUUAACAUAUAGUUCCUUCUCCAACCGGUGUUGUACAGAUGCUUCCCAUUAAUGGGUUCAAAAACUAAAUCCCUCUCAUUGAUGCACCUUGCAAUGGCUCAUACCUCUCACCUAGCACUUGCCAUUCAAGGUGAUCUUUAACCUUGGAUUACCCGUCAAAAGCUCGCAAGAGAUAACUAAUGGAUGUCUCCUUGGAGUCCAAAAGCUUACCAAGUGUUGGCUAUUCUAGAAAAUCCUACCUUCAAGUCACCUCCCAAGGCUCGCAAGAGAUAAACUAGUGAAUCUCCAUGGACGGAGAUCACUUGCCUUACCAAGUGUUGGCCCAGGUGAUUUAAAGGCGUUUUAAGUUAACUAAAAAGAUAAAAACCAUUAACGGGUCACACUUUCUCUUCAUUAAAAACUAAAACAACAAAACUUCCAAAUUAUGCAUUCGAAAACUUACCCGGUUACCUUACUCCAAGAGACGAAAAGCCUAGCCUCUCAUCCUCUGAGGAAAAAUCCUCAGAGAAUGAUUGGCUAGAAAUAAAAAGAAUGAGAAAACAAAAAUAUGUAUAUAUAUGAAGGAAGAACAAAGCAAGUGCUCUGUAAAAUAUAUAUCUUCCUCCUGUCGAAUUACAUGAUUCUAUGUUACAUGAUGCUAUCUCCCUGAGAACAAGCUCCCGAGAGCUAUAUAUAAAGAAAAUUACAAAACAAAAUAUCUGAGGUUAUUCACCCCUUUUCCCAACUUAAUAACUAAGGAAUUCUAUAAUUGGUGGCUUACAAGGAGAGAAUGGAAAUUUAUACAAAAAUAUCUGAAGCAAAAUAUCCCAAUGUGUCGGUCACAAAUAUCGGGAAGCACUAAGGACCAUUUUGCAGGUGAAAACGAGGUCUGCGAGAUUUCGCAGACAUCCAAAAAGGGCUGCGAAAUCUCUUCGCAGCAAAAGGUUAUUCUUGCAGGGCUGCGAAGUUGGCUUUCAUCUUGAGGUGCUCAGCUUCCAACUUGCGGCAUAUAUAGGGCAACUUCAGGAGGGAAUCCACAACACUGUACAAAAAGGCUGCGAAAUCAUUUCGCAACAAAAGGGUGAUUCCGCAACACUUUUGCAAAAUGCUUUCUUCAGCUUAGAGUGAUUGACUUGCAAUGGCUGUAACUUCUUCGUUUCAACUCCAAAUUGUGCACCGUUUAAAGCAUUGGAUUAUUGACUUCCUGAGCUUUAAAAUGGUAUAUAGAAUGCACAAAAUGGACUUCGAGAAGUGCUCCAAAAGUGCGCAAGAAGACUGCAGCUGCUGUCCUCUAUUUUCUUCACUCUGUUUUUCCUCUCUCCUUUGUUCUUUCCUUGCAUACUUUGAACGACUUUGGCAAAGGGCUAUGGAGCUCCAAAGCUUUGUUCUUCAUGAAUUUGAGCUUCCAAAAUCUUUGCCAUGAACUAUAUACAGCUCUCCCUCAUUCUUGGAUUGCUUUGGUGAUCAAAAAGCUAUCAAAACACCAAAACUUAACACAAUUUGAUUAGAAUUGAUUGCAAGGGUCCUUAACAUGUUAAUUGGGUUAAAAGGCAAUAACUACUACUCAAAAGUGUUUAAAAGAGUUAAUUACAAGCUAUCAAAUAGCACUUUUAGAGUAGUAAUCACUAGAACCAUGCUAAAUAAAAACAAUUUACCAAAAUACUUUUGGCUCGAAGCGGUUAACACUUCUUGUUAUGUUUUAAAUAGAAUUAUAUUAAGGCCUAUUCUUAAGAAAACUCCCUAUGAGCUUUGGAAAAACAAGAAACCUAACAUUAGCUAUUUCAAAGUAUUUUGGUGCAAAUGCUUUAUAUUAAACACCAAAGACAAUCUUGGAAAAUUUGAUGCAAAAUCGGAUGUUGGAAUUUUUCUUGGCUACUCAACUUCAAGUAAAGCCUUUAGAGUUUUUAACAAAAGAACCAUGGUUGUUGUGGAGUCCAUCCAUGUUAUUUUUUAUGAAUCUAACAAUUCUCUCCAAGAAAGAGAGAGCUUUGAUGAUGAUUUAGGCUUGGAGACCUCCAUAGGAAAAUUACAAAUUGAAGAUAGAAGGCAACAAGAAGAAGUUGUAGAGGAUCCCAAGAAAGAAGAAUCACCUUUGGCACUACCUCCUCCUCAACAAGUGCAAGGUGAAUCAAGCCAAGACCUCCCUAAAGAUUGGAAGUUUGUCAUCAACCAGCCACAAGAUCAAAUUAUAGGUAAUCCAUCUAGUGGGGUAAGAACUAGAUCAUCUCUUAGAAAUAUUUGCAAUAAUGUUGCUUUUAUCUCUCAAAUUGAACCUAAAAAUAUAAAAGAUGCUCUAGUUGAUGAAAAUUGGAUGAUUGCCAUGCAAGAAGAGUUAAACCAAUUUGAAAGAAGUGAAGUAUGGGAAUUAGUGCCAAGACCUCAAAAUCAAAGUGUUAUUGGAACUAGAUGGGUCUUUAGAAACAAAAUGGAUGAAAAUGGCAUAAUUAUACAGAAUAAAGCAAGAUUGGUAGCCCAAGGUUUUAAUCAAGAAGAAGGAAUAGAUUAUGAAGAAACCUUUGUUCCCGUAGCUAGAUUGGAAGCCAUUAGAAUGCUACUUGUCUUUGCAUGUUUUAAAGACUUUGUUUUAUAUCAAAUGGAUGUGAAAAGUGCUUUCUUAAAUGGCUUUAUAAAUGAAGAGGUAUAUAUUGAACAACCACCCGAUUUUCAAAGUUUUAACUUUCCUAAUCAUGUUUUUAGACUUAAAAAGGCACUUUCUGGUUUGAAACAAGCACCUAGAGCAUGGUAUGAAAGAUUGAGUAAAUUCCUUUUGAAAAAGGGUUUUAAAAUGGGAAAAAUUGAUACAACUCUUUUCAUAAAAACCAAAGAAAAUGACAUGCUCUUAGUACAAAUUUACGUUGAUGAUAUCAUUUUUGGAGCUACUAAUGUCUCUCUUUGUGAAGAAUUCUCUAAAUGCAUGCAUAGUGAGUUCGAAAUGAGCAUGAUGGGAGAACUUAUCUUCUUCCUUGGACUUCAAAUCAAGCAACUAAAGGAAGGAACCUUCAUCAAUCAAGCAAAGUAUAUAAGAGAUCUCCUCAAAAGGUUCAAUAUGGAGGAAACCAAAACAAUGAAGACUCCAAUGAGUUCAUCCAUCAAGCUUGACAUGGAUGAGAAAGGUAAGCCCGUCAACUCAACUAUGUAUAGAGGCAUGAUAGGUUCUUUGCUAGAUUUGACCGCUAGUAGACUCGACAUCAUGUAUAGUGUAUGUUUGUGUGCUAUAUUUCAAUCUAGUCCUAAGGAAUCUCAUUUAAGUGUUGUAAAACAAAUUCUUAGAUAUUUAAAAGGGACUAUGGACAUAGGCCUAUGGUAUCCUAAGGGUGAUAACUUUGAAUUAAUUGGAUACUCGGAUGCCGACUUUGCCGGUUGUAAAGUUGAGAGAAAAAGCACUAGUGGCACUUGUCAUUUCCUAGGACACUCACUUGUUUCAUGGCAUAGUAAUAACCAAAAUUCAGUAGCUUUGUCUACAGCGGAAGCCGAAUACAUAGCAGUCGGUUUAUGUUGUGCACAAAUCCUUUGGAUGAAACAAACACUAGUGAUUUCAAUUUGAUUUUUGAGCAUGUUCCUAUAAAAUGUGAUAACACUAGUGCAAUAAACAUUUCAAAAAAUCCGGUACAACAUUCUAGGACUAAGCAUAUAGAGAUAAGACACCAUUUUCUUAGAGACCAUGCAUAAAAGGGUGACAUUACACUUGAAUUUGUAAGCACAAAAGAUCAACUAGCCGAUAUUUUUACAAAACCCCUAAGUGAAGAGCAAUUAGUUGAUAUUAGAAGACAACUAGGGGUGAUUUCUUUAUGAUCAAAUGAUUGCUUGAUGAAUUCUUGAUUGAAUAUACCCUAUAAUUGCGUGAAAUUCAUAUCAUAUGCAUCAUAUAGAAAUAAUCCUAGGAAAGAGGUCAAAUUUUAACCAAAAAUCAAAAUUCCCGUGGCAUUGGACAUAAAAAAAUUGGGGAUUUCAACUGAAAAGGGCAGGGAGAGGAUCACGAGACAAGAAAAUGCAACAAAUUUUUGAAAAAUUGACCGUUGACCGUUGACCAGGUGGUCGACCGGUUGAGGAACCGGUUGACCAGUUCGUCGAGGCUGGGAAUUUAAAAAGCCCCCCUCCCCACUUCAUUUCUCACCUGUUCUCCUCCAUAGCUUGAAGCCUCUUCACAUCACUGCUUCCAGAAGACUGUUUUGGCCAGAUUUCGGACCGAUUGAAGGCUAUGAACUUGAUUUUGGGACGCCUUAAGGUUAGGGUUUUGAUUUGAAACCCAGGGUUUCAGCUUUUGGGAGUGUUUCUUCUCUGCACCGCACGCCUCAGGGUUGGUUCAACUUCAUCUCUGUGCGCCUAGGGCUUCGGGUUUGUGAUUGCUCCUUCUCGUUUCAUUUCAUUCUCUCUUUUUGGACUCUUCCUUCUCAUUUUCAUUCAUUGGAUGGCACCAAGGUGAGAAACGGGCACCUCCAGGGCUUAGGGCAAGCGCCCUGCUGAGCUAUAUCAACCUAAGUAGACGGAGGCUCGCCGAAAGGCGAGGUAUGACAUGACCUUUUUCAGUUCGAUUGAAGACUAUCAGCGCUACAAGCAAAAGUUCGCCUAGAGGAAAGUCGUCCCAGGGAGAAAUGUCAAUUUCUCCCAACUUCAGCACUUUGGGUUUGAGGGACCAUUCGGUCGGAUGGGAUGGCUGUCAGUUAUGACAAUAUCUGAGCCAAUCUUCCCAACUUUGGUGCAGGCUUUUUAUUCUCGGGCGACUUAUGGGCUUGGAGAACCGGUAUUGUCCACUAUGAAGGGAGUUGAGAUCAAAUUGAGUCCCGAGAGUAUCUGCCGCAUUCUCGACAUCCCUUCAGUUGGACUCCGAGUGUAUGAGGCCAAGGUGUGGCCCAUUGUGCCGAGAUUUGAGCCUAGAGAGACUGUUCAGAGGUUGUGCGGACUCGUAGAUGCCUAGAAGAUGGGCAAACCAUCAGCACACAGCCUGACUGUGCCCACUUGAGUCCUUCACCACAUGAAAUGCUCCAUUUUAUUGCCACGUGGAGGACAUCGAGACGAGGUCUCCUACCUUGAGGCAUUUAUUGUGGACUCGAUCCUCACCAGGAGACGGAUUCACGUGGGAUAUCUGAUUAUGAUGCAUAUGAUCUCCUGCGUAGAGAGCACGACACGAGUACUCUCUUACGGCCGCUUUCUUACCCGAGUAUUCAAGGAUGCUGGGGUCGACUUGAGUAGAGAGACGGAUUUCAAGGCCCCCAUCAGCUAUGACACGUAUGAUGAGCAGUUUUUGGGGCGCAUGAAAUUCGAAAAGGCACCCGAUGGCUCCUAGGUUAGAAAAGCUGAGCGACAAGCCCUAGGACAGGAUCAGAUGCAUCCCGGAGCAGAGGAGGAGACCGAUAUCAGAGAGAUAGAGGAUGGGUUAGACCCUCACAGGGACUUUGAGCAAAGAGGGCCCGAGCUUGACAUUCUGCCUCCACCUCAAUCAGAGGGCAUUCAUGUUGAGGUUACCUACUCAGAGCCUAUGAUGACUGAGCCGUCUUUCACAGCAGGACCAUCAUCCCAACCAUCAUUUACCGAGCUACCAUCUCAGGCACCUCACACUCCUGAUUAUGCGCCUUGGAUGGCUGUCUCCGCUCAGAUCAGCUCACUUGAGACUCGUAUGGAGGAACUUGCCUUAGUCCAUGACUCUCGCUUCUACUCUAUGGAGGAGCACAUGGAUUAGUAUCAGACUGGAGUCACUUCUCGAUUUGAUCACUUCCAACAGCGAUUUGAGCGCAUAGAGGAGCGUAUGGAUCAACAGCAGGCUACAUUCGAGCAUCUCCAACAAAGCAUUGAUCGUAUUGAGAGUCGUCAAGCGAGUUAGCAUGAAGAGAUGAUGACCUACUUUCACUCUGUGUUUCCUCCUCCACCCCCUUAGCCUUGAGACUAUCUAGACAUUCCCCUCCGUUUAUUUUUUAUGUUGCCAAAAGGGGAGAAAUUUAUAGGAUCUAGGAGACUCUCAUGCAUGUCAUUGUCAUCAUAGUCAUAUCUAUCUUGUUUGUACAUGUGAGGUUUCGUUUCCAUAUAUAUAUGAUAUGAUAUUUUUAUGAUCCAAUGUUCAUUUUUGUGUUUCACAUUGCUUCCUAUUAAAAAUCGUUUGAAUUGAUCCAUGAUUGGUUUGAGGAGAAGAUUUUUUUUCUCUCCUAGAUAACCAAGGUUUGUCAUCAUCAAAAAGUGGGAGAUUGUUAGCUCAAGGGUUCUCCUAAUCGGGUUUUGAUGAUAACAAACCAUGGUUAAGUGACUAAUUGGUUUAAAUGUUUAAGAAUCUCAGGUAUAAACUCGAAUAUUCAUCAAAGGACCAAAUGGAUACAAGAUCGAGACGCUUAGAAGACUUGUGAUCAUAGGAAACUAAUGUAAGAUGAAUGCAUGAGUGCACUUAGGAUUUUCAUACAUUUCAUGCAUCUUAGGAAACUCGGUUUAUUCUUUAAAACUUCGAUUUCAUUAAAACCCGAGUUUCUAACUAAUGUACCUUAGGCAAAAUGUUUUAUAAUUGGUUUAAUAAUUUACCUAAAGACCUUGCCUAAGUGUUAGAAAAGAAAGGAAUAAAAAAAAAAAGGUUUUCGGGGCCAAAAAGGCUCAACCGGUCGAGGAUAUGGCCAACCGGCUCAACCGAUUAUGCUCGUCCGGUCGAGGACCUGUCGAGGGAGGUUAAAAACCUUUUCUCUCUCCCAGUAGCCUUCUCUUCCCGGUCGAGGUAUUUCUCUUAUCGGUCAAGGUCCGGUCGAGGUCCGGUUGAGGCAGCAGUAACCUGUCAUGCAUUAAAUGCUCCAAUGGCUAUGUAGACCCUCAAUUUUGUCCCUCGACACUGGCAUUUAUCCUUCGGGUGUCACAUCCACCCAUCGUUCGCAUAUGGCACUAGUAGGGCCCCUUUUGGGCUUAAUCGGUGUCCGAGCCUCGUGUGGGUUUGUCUGUGGUCCAUUGUGGUGCAUAUGUGGUUCAUUUUGGAGGGUCACCAUGGCCAUUUUCCUAGUCGUUCACAUCACGCUAUAGGAAGGAAGUGGGGUCAUCCCGAUGUCUUAGCUUAGUUGGAGUUUAUAGGGGCAUGUUGAGGUUCGGAGCACUCGGUCUUGUUUUGAUCUUAUCUCCCUCAUCCAAACUCAGAAUCAAGAACUGUUUCUUUUUAUGGAUUCCUUAUUCUUCCAGGAACAUUCUGUAAAAUUUUCAAAAUUUUUUGCAACCGGUCGGCUGGUUGGCAGCCGGUUCUGCCGGUUCAUCGAGUCAGCCGGUGUAGAACACUGAUUUUUGGUAAUUGUUUUGAUCAUAUCUCCCUCUUCUGAACUUGGAAUCAUGCACCAUUUUUUUUAAUUGAUUCCUUACUCUACUAGGAACAUUCUGUCAAAUUUUCAGAUUUUUUUUCCAUCGGUUCGACCAGUUGGCAUCCGGUCCGGCCGGUUCAACCGGUUCAUUGAGUCAGCUGAGGUAAAACACUAAUUCUAGUAAUUUUGAGGCCCAAAUCCUACAUGGCUCAGGCCCGUAAGCUCCAGAUCGGUUUUGGGCAAUGUUGUGGGUCCAUUUUGGGCCUUGGUUUGGGUUCCUUGUAGCCCACCACGAAUUCAUAUGGAUUCUUGGUGGUGAAGCAAGCUGAAAACUGAAGGAGUGAGCUGACCUUGUAAGUUUAAGAGAAGUAAUGAGGGGUGUGGUUCCCAUGCUGAUGAAGGGGAUUUCGGUGCUGAAGGGGAAGGAAUCCAGGAGGCUCAAAUGCUAAUAGGGGUAUGAGUAUAAAAGGUGAGAGGAUAGGAGAGCAAAUGACAGGAGGGGACAUUUUGGAGAGGGGAAAUUUUGCUGAUGAGAAAAACAAAAGGUCAGUAGCAUCUUCUGAGUUGAGAGUGUGGGGGAAAGCUUCAGCACUGUGGUUUUUUGAAGAGGAGAGUGACCGAAUCUCAGUUUUAGAAGUCAUCAUCUGCAUACACGGAUCAUAUUUGGUGGAGAUUAUGAGGUAAGCAUGCUGAAUUUUCUUUACUUACAGUAAAUCUUCCUCGUCUUCAUAUGCUUUUUCUCCUUCCUCAUCAUCUUUUCUUCCCUUUGAUAUGAAGAUUGUAUUGCUUGGGUGUGGAUAAUAAAGGCCACACAUGAUUAUUGUUGUUUGCUUCCUUAAUCACUUAGGAACUUUCUGACCGAAUUUGGGAUUUUUUACCAACCGGCUGAACUGGUUUGGAACCGGUUUAACCGGUUCAGCACCAUAACUGGCAGCCUCUGUCAGCCAUGAGGAACACUUGCCUUUCUUUGUCUGGUUCUCACUCAUCCGGGCUCGGAAUUGAGAACCGUUUCUUUUUUUUGCUUCCUUAAUCAUUUAGGAACUUUAUGACAGAAUUUGGGAUUUUUUACCAACCGACUGGACCGGUUUGGAACCGGUUCAACCGGUUCAGCACCAUAGCUGGCAGCCUCUAUCAGCCAUGAGGAACACUUGUCUUUCUUUGUCUGGUUCUCACUCAUCCGGGCUCAGAAUUGAGAACCGUUUUUUUUUUUUUUUUUUUGCUUCCUUAAUCACUUAGGAACUUUCUGACUGAAUUUGGGAUUUUUUACCAACCGGCUGAACUGGUUUGGAACUGGUUCAACCGGUUCAGCACCAUAGCUGGUAGCCUCUGUCAGCCAUGAGGAACACUUGCUUUUCUUUGUCUGGUUCUCACUCAUCCGGGCUCGGAAUUGAGAACUGUUUCUUUUGUUUGCUUCCUUAAUCACUUAGGAACGUUCUGACUGAAUUUGGGAUUUUUUAUCAACCGGCUGAACUGGUUGGGAACCGGUUCAACCAGUUCAGCACCAUAGUUGGCUACCUCUAUCAGCCAUGAGGAACACCUGCCUUUCUUUGUCUGGUUCUCACUCAUCCGGGAUCGGGAUUGAGUGUCGUUUCUUUUGUUUGAAUCCUCACUCAUUUAGGAGUUUUCUAGAAAAAUUUGGGAAUUCUUCUCAAUAGGUUGUACCAGUUGAGAACUAGUUCAACCUGUUCUGCUGGAGGACUUUAGGUAGCCCUCGAUUUUGGCAUUUUUCGAGCCCUUAUCCAUGGGGGCUCAAACCCAUUUGCUAUAGGGAACUUGUGAGCCAUCUUGAAGGUUUAAGUUAGUGUUUGAUUUCAGUUAGUAUGGGCAAUUUGGAAGUUAUGGGUGGUGUGGUCUAGAUGAGUCUAGUUCGAUUUGUAUGACAUUUGGGGAGUCCCUUACCUCAUUUCAACCAGCUAUCUUCCUUUUUGGCACAAGCUUUGAUGCUUGAUUUUGAAUACAUGUUGCGUGACUGACUCACCCUCUGCUGCAGCGCUUGGCUAGGGACCACAGGUACGCAUCGUUGGCUUUGGUUGUUGAAUUCAUAUGCAUGCAUGGUGCUUAAUCUUGAAUGUUUGUUAUGUGUUUAUCUGUGUUUGGCUGACCUUUUAUGCAGCGCUUGGCUAGGGACCACANNNNNNNNNNNNNNNNNNNNNNNNNNNNNNNNNNNNNNNNNNNNNNNNNNNNNNNNNNNNNNNNNNNNNNNNNNNNNNNNNNNNNNNNNNNNNNNNNNNNGACCGAAUUUGGGAUUUUUUAUCAACUGGCUGAACCGGUUUGGAACCAGUUCAACCGGUUCAGCACCAUAGCUAGCUGCUCUGUCAGCCAUGAGGAACACUGCCUUUCUUUGUCUGGUUCUCACUCAUCCGGGCUCGGGAUUGAGUGUCAUUUCUUUUGUUUGAAUCCUCACUCAUUUAGGAGUUUUCUAGAAAAAUUUGGGAAUUCUUCUCAAUAGGUUGUACCAGUUGAGAACUAGUUCAACCUGUUCUGUUGGAGGACUUUAGGUAGCUCUUGAUUUUGGCAUUUUUCGAGCCCUUAUCCAUGGGGGGCUUAAACCCAUUUGCUAUAGGGCACUUGUGAGCCAUCUUGAAGGUUUAAGUCAGUGUUUGAUUUCAGUUAGUAUGGGCAAUUUGGAAGUUAUGGGUGGUGUGGUCUAGAUGAGUCUAGUUCGAUUUGUAUGACAUUUGGGGAGUCCCUUACCUCAUUUCAACCAGCUAUCUUCCUUUUUUGGCACAAGCUUUGAUGCUUGAUUUUGAAUACAUGUUGCGUGAUUGACUCACCCUCUGCUGCAGCGCUUGGCUAGGGACCACAGGUACGCAUCGUUGGCUUUGGUUGUUGAAUUCAUAUGCAUGCAUGGUGCUUAAUCUUGAAUGUUUGUUAUGUGUUUAUCUGUGUUUGGCUGACCUUUUAUGCAGCGCUUGGCUAGGGACCACAGGUACGCACCCAUUGUUUUGUUUGGUUGAAUUCAUAUGCAUGCCAAAUACCAAUUAGGAUUGUGUGAUUCAUGACAUCUAUUUAGCCUAGGGUUUCAUUUGACCUUUGACCCAUAUGCUCCCACAUACCCAAUUCAUUAGUAGAGACCGAGUUUCAGGCCUAGAGGGGUGCUACCUCGCAUGAGUUACCUUCCCAACGGGUAACCUGAUCCUCGGACCUAGAAUCUAGUUUUCGUAGACCGCUUUUUCCAUACUGGGGUCAUUAGGGGUUUUUGUUCUUACUUAAUUUUCCCCAUUUUAAAAACAAAAAUAAAAAGUAACUGGCGACUCCAAACAACACCGUUCCUCACCGGGGGCGGGUUUUUCAAAACUGGAAAACAUCAACUUUUUCAUUUCUUUCUUUUCUUUUAAAAGCGAGUCGCGUCGGUCCGGUGGAUCGGGUGAGGGUCCACAGGCUAGUGAAUCGGUCGACCCCUAGCUCGACCGGACGAGGUUACCUUUUACUGUUUUUGACUCCCGAGCUUAGAAACCUAUAAAUUGAGAGCUCCACUUCAUUUAUUGACAAGAGAACACAUGCAUUCAAUAGCUUACCUACCUGUUCUUGAUAAAAAAAGCUCUCAUUUAUUUCAUAGUGCAUUAAAUCACCACUUGCAUAUACUUUAGUGCACUUUUGUGUGUCAUUUGUCUUGUAUUUGAGCUAUCCUUAAGCUAGGUUGAGGGAUUAUAUCUUGUAAAAAUCUUAGUGUUAAAGCCUUCAAGAGGGUUGAAUCUUGAAGAGGUUGUGUAAGAGCCCAUUGGAGCUGGAAUCCAAGUGUAAGAAGAUUGGAAGCUUGGUUGAAGCUUUAAGUUAGUGGAACUCUCACUCGGUUAGGAGGUUGAGGAGAAUGGACGUAGGCAAGGAAGUGCCGAACCACUAUAAACCCAAGUUUGAAUUCUCUAAACUCUAUCUCUUUACUUUACUUAUAUUGUGUUUGAAUUCGUUGUGAUUGAAAAGAUUUUAAAAACCCAAUUCACCCCCCCUCCCCCCUUUUGGGCGUUUUUCUUAACUAAGCAUAGCCUUUGUUUUCUCAAUUGGUAUCAGAGCUAGACCUCUUUUUAAGACUUAAUCGUCUAAGAGGAAAUGGCUAUUCCAUCUUGCAUGUCCAUAGAAAAAUUUUGAGCUUGUUUGCCCACGGUAUGGACCUGCUUUAUUUAUUUCAAACUUGCUUUAUAUAUGUGUGUGAUAUGAUGUAUAGUUUUUAAGGUUAUGAUUUUUUUUUUUCUUUCCCUGUGAAUUUUCCCGUUUAGAGUUUUUCACAUAAAUUUGUGUGUUCUUAUUUUGUUUUUUCUUAUUGUCUAUUCUCGUUAUUUCAUAACACAAACAAUCUUCAACUUUUUCAAGCCACAUAAAAUAUCACUUGAACUGUAAUAUUUUGGGUGGUUGGGAAAUAUUUUCUUUAUAUGCUUAUUUGAUUAGUAAUUUGAAAUUAAGCAUAUGGUAAGAUCCAAAGUGUAUCAUAACUCAAUUAAUUAGGCAUAAAAAAUUGAGGUAUUAAAAAAUUAUUUAAAAUUUUAUGAACCUAAUCUAUGAUUUUCCAUUUUAAAAAAAAAAAUCGACACUAAACUAAAUUGAACUAAAAAUUACAUACUUAUGUAUAAUACUUAAUAUCUGUUUGUUGUAUUACUAAAUUUUUGCUAUAUGAUAGCAUACCACAUCUAUAUACUUUAUAAUUGAACUACUUAGUAAUGCUAUGAGAAGGUUAUAUCAAUAGGUAUAUGUAAUAUCCCUAAUUUAGUUUUCACAAAAUAAUAAUAAUAAUAAUAAUGGUGGAUAGGGAAGUUACAAUUUUAAAUCACAACCAAUGAGUUACAAAUUUUAUACCACUUUGGAGAAGUUUUAGUUUUAAAAGAAAAAAAAAUAUUUAACAAUUUUGAAAAAUCAAGAAAAGUGAGAAAAACCCUAGAGAGAUAGGAUAAGAGGUAAAAGAGAGAAAAACCCAAAGAUAAACGUCAAGAUUGAUUUCACAUCGUUGAUUAUUUUUAUUCUCUACUAAGUAAAAUUUAUGGUAAGUCUUUAAAAUAUAUUCUUUUUUUUUUUUAAGAUAUAUGUUCAUGAUAAGAUUCUUAUAUUAAUCAAAGGUAGUACUAUGAAUGUGGCCUCUAAUUUAAUCCUAGACAAAAACAAAGUCUUCGUGAAUAUAAGAGUUUUUAUUAUUAUUUGGAAGAAAUUUUUAUACAAUACAAUUCUAAAAUAAAGAUAUGUAUUUAGUCUAAAGGACAAUUCUAAAAAUUUAAGAAGGUUUUGAAGAAAAAUAUAAACAUAAAUAAAUAAAUAAAUAAUUCAUUGUAGUUGUUCAAUAAAAGAAUGCAAUGUAGAAUAUAUACUCAAUGAGAAAAAAAUGUGAAUAAUAAAGGAAAAUAAGAAAAAUAAAAUAUUCAUUGUACAAUAAAAAAUAUUAAUUAGGAUAUACAUAAGGUUUUGAAGAAAAAUAUAAAGAUAAAUAAAUAAAUUCAUUUUAGUUGUUCAAUAAAAGAAUGCAGUGUAGAAUAUAUAUUCAAUGUGAAAAAAAUAUGAAUAAUAAAGGAAAAAAGAAAAAUAAAAUAUGUAUUGUAAAGCGAGGAUAAAUGUGACUCAAAUAAAAGUAGAGACAACUAUAUAUUACUUUAAUAAUAAAUAUAAUGGGGGAAGGAAUCAUAGAAGAGAAAUGAAAUAGUUGAAAAAAUGAAAGCAAGAGAGAAUAUGAGAGAAUGAGAAUUUCUUUCUUUUCUUGGGAUACUUUUGUACAAAGGAUGGAAGGUCUUUUAUAGGCCUCACAAAAGUGUUCCAUUAAUGCUCUCCAUUAAUAUCAAUAAAUGAAGCCAUUAAUGGAAGACUUUAUAUAAUGUUUUAAUAUAAGUUUUAAUGCAAAUGGGACUUUAACUGGUGACAUCCACCCUUGGAUGUCCAUCACCCUAAAGAAUAUGCCUCACUAAAACCUUGCUAGUAAAAGAACUCUAUGGCAAAAACCUAGCGAAGGAAAAAAAAAGUACAAUUUAAGUUGUUUUUUGUAUGUUAGAAUUGCCUCAUUAAAAAACUUGCCUGUAAAACCCAAUGGGACAAAACCUAGAUGAAGGGAAAAAAGAGUACAAUACACUAACACCCUUUUAAAAACAUUCUCCUCCUCAUGUUGAUAUCCUUGAGUUGACACAUUCCAAUUUGAUAUACUAAGAUAUCAUCAGUAAAGAUAACCACAAACUGAUCCAAAUAGGAUUUGAACACCCUAUUCAUCAAAUCCAUAAAAGUUGUAGGGGCAUUAGUUAAACCAAAAGGCAUCACUAAGAACUCAUAAGGCCCAUAUCAAGUUUGAAAAACGAUGUUGGGUACAUCCUCCCCCUUCAUCUUAAGUUGAUGGUAACCAAAAUGAAUGUCAAUCUUUAAGAAUAUAGAAGCACCUUGCAAUUGAUCAAAUAGAUAAUCAAUUUGAGGUAGUGGGUAUUUAUUUCUAAUAGUCACCUUGUUAAGUUCUCUAUAGUAGAUACAAAGCCUCAUUGACCCAUGUCUUUUUAACUAAUAACACUAGAAUACCUCAAGGUGACACAUUGAGCCUAACAAUGCUCUUUUCCAACAUUUCCUCAAGUUGCAUCUUCAACUCAUUAAAUUCCAUGGGUGUCAUACAAUAAGGUGCCCUAGAUAUAGGAGUUGUCUCAAGCAUUAACUCAAUGAUGAACUUCGCCUCUCUUUCUAGUGGAACUUUAGGAAAAUUCUCAAGAAAGACAUUUGGAAAGUGUCUCACAACCAGAAUGUUUUCUAUCCUUAAAUACUUUGUCUCUAACAAUAUUUCUUUUAUGGCCAAAAGGCUUUCUUGACAAAAAAUUUCAUCUCGACAAUUGUCUCCAAAAUUGUGUCACCCUAUAGUUUUGGAGACGAAUAAUUACAUUUUGUUAGGAAAACGUAUCUAUGACGAAAUGAAAUCUCAUGGCCAAAACUAUUUGGCAACGAGAGUUUUUUGUGGCAUAAAAUAAAAUGUUUUGUUGGGAAUUAGAUUUUCAAAUAUCUAGUAAACCAUUUGGUGACACAAGAUUUCAUUGCGCAACGAAAUUAUUUCAUCUCUAAAUGUUAAUUUAUACAUUAGGAGAUGAAAUAUUUUAAUCUCCAUCAUGUUAACAUAGAGUUUCUACAACGAAAUAAUUUUAUGUCAAAAUAUUUCCACUUACAUUUAGGGAGGAAAUGUUUUCGUUUCAAAAUAUUGACAUAUAGUUUCAGUAACAAAUAAAUCUUGUCUCUAAAUGUUUUCAUUACAAUUGGAGACAACAUUAUUUCAUCUUUAAAACUAAUCAUGUUUAGGUAAUGAGAUAGUUUUAUCUCUAAAUGUCUUUAUUCAUAUUAGAAAAUAAAAUAAUGAAACAAAUUUAGUAUUUAUACUAAUUUGAGGAUGAAAUAAUUUCCUCCCUAAAUAUAAUAUUAUUAUUAAUUUUUAAAAUUUUAAAUAAUCCUAUUGAAACAUUUAUAAACCUGUAUGAUAUUCAACACUUUCAAAUAUAAGAUGAUAUUAUACAAAAUGAAGAAUUUAAUAAUGCAAAAAUACAAUAACCUAUAGAAAAUAAGUAAGAACAAAACAUUUGUUUUAUCAAUGCAAACCAUACUUGCAAAUAAAAUUAUCUACGCUAUUUGAAUAUUAUCUAAAAUAAAAAUGACUAACAUAUAAUAGUAAACCACAUAAUAAUGUCAACUUGAUAGUGAAGGUGGUGGUUAGGAAGCUAAGCCAAAAUGAAGUGGUAGUGAGUUAGAAGUAUUGGUCUGUUGUGGCACAAAACUCUAUAUCAUUGCCUUCAACUAGUCCAAUUAAGUGGUAGUUGUAGUCUUAAACUCUUGUAACUCUAUGAUCUAUUGUCACAAUUUCUUUGUCUCUUUAUUAGGAAAUUUAGUUGCACUGGAAUGGUUAAGUUGUGAUCCAUAUCCCAAACCUUGAACAUAACUUGAUUGCUUCUUAAGCACUCAAUGAGUUAUCACUAAGUCAAACAAGAGUACCAACCUUCUGGGUACUUUGCUUUUGAAUCUCAUGCAUCUCUUCUUGAAAAAUAUAGUAUAAUUUUAAUUAGUAAAAAUAUUACCAUAACAUAUUUACCUUUUACUACUACAAGUAACAUGACUCUUACGUAUCGAGAUUUAAGAGUAUCAUUUAUCCAUCCUUUACUCGCAUUGUAGUAGGUGGCACAAAAUAACUCCACUUCCUUUUCAACCCUUCAAUGGUAAGACUCUUUUACAUGCACAAAAAAAAAUAAUUAAGUUACUUUUAAAGAUAAUGAAUAAACUCCCCUUUACAACUUUUUAGGUAAAACAUGUCUUUUACAUAAAUAGAAUAAAAUAAAAAUAUUAUUUUAAAGAUAUAAUUAAGAAGUAUAUAUUAUAUCAUUGAGUUAUGGUGAUGAUAAAACGCUAAGCAUUUAGAUCCAUCACAAUGAUUGAAUGGAAGCUUUUCAUGAUUUUCAUUAUUUAUAGCAGCCAUUUUCUACACAAUAAUAUUACUAAAAGAGUUAGUAAAACGAAAAUGAAAAAAAUAUAGUAACCUAAGAAUUAGAUAAAUAUGUUAGACAAACAACCAAACAUAUAAUAAAGUAAAGUUUUUCUACCAUGUUUUAAGUAGUCUCCUCCAUUAAUCCGACUAUAUAUACACCUAUGUACAAUAUUUUAAUUUUUCAUAAUAAAUCAACAUUCCAACAUAGCAUUUCAAUUAUUCAUAAUAAACAAACAUUCUAAUAGAAUACUUCAAUUUUUCAUAAUGAAUCAACAUUAUGACAUAAAUUUUGAUUUUCAACUUGUUUUAAACGACAAAUUCCUACUUUAUACUUCAAAAUAUACCAAAUAUACUAAUUAAUGAAAAAUUCACAUUUUCUUUUUUAUCUUUCCAACUUUUAACAUCUACGAUACUUAAACUUGAUUUUUCAAUCACAGUAAAACCAAAUUCUUAACUUAAAAAUAAAUUAAAUUUAUGAGCUUUCAUUCAAUACUGUGACAAAUUAAUUUAUUAUCAAUUAGUAAUAAUUAUUAAUAGAAAUAAAAUAUAAUUUAUAUAUUUUCUUUUCUUUUUUUUUAAGAAUUUCUUCCUUACUUCUUAAGUAAAUUUAGAUAUAUCAUUUUCUCAAGAAUAUUUACUGAAUAUAAAUACAAAAAAUAUAAGAACAAAUUAAUUUUAAUAUGAAAUAAAUUUAAACUCAUAUAUUUUGACUUGACAAUAUGAAAACGUUUACUGUUUUCCAAACAAACAUAAUUAAAUACAUCAAUAUGAUAAUGAAUUACCCACACUAAGACCUGCAAAUAUAUCUAAUAAUUAUAAUUUUUAGUUUAAAAUAAAUAUUUGAACAUCACUAUUUAAUAAUUUCAGACACAUAAAGAUAUAUCUUUAGCCUUAUAAAAUAAACAAUAAUGCAUAAAUUCUCAAACCAAAUUCCACAUAAUAACAAACAAAUUGGAUGAAAAAAAUGGGGAAAAUACACAAUUUCUCAAACAAAAUUCUACUUAAUAGCAAACUACUCAAAAAAAUGAAAAACAAAAUAAAUAAUUUUAGAAACAAAAAAAAAAAAUGUAUAAUAACAAACAAACAAAUAGGAAUCUUAAAAAUAACAAACAAACCAAAAUUAUGUAUAAUAACAAAAAAGAAACAAGAAAAUAUAAAAUAAAAAUAAAUAAUGUAUUAAAUGAUGUGAAAAAUACAUCAAAUACCCAUGUAAACCCCUUAAAAGACCAAUGUUUUUUUUUUUUUUUUUAUUUAGCUGGGGACCACCCGAGGAGGUUUGUUUGGCAUUCAUUUUUCAAGAUGUGGGGACCCCUCUCCAUGCAUGGGACGUGCAGCAGCAGGGGGGUGAUGGCUGGCCAUGCUUGCUGAUGGGUGAACAGCAGGGCAAGUAGUGGCUUGCCAAGGAAGAAAAGAAGACGAAGAUUUUAAGGAGAAGGAUAAGAGAGAAAAAAGAAAAGAAAAAAACGAGGGGGGAGGAGAUCUGAAACGGGGAAGAGAUUUUCAGGUAUGAGCUCUCAUACUGCGGAUUUCCUUGUUCAUCUUCUUUAUUACAUCAUUCUUCAUGCAUUUAUCUGGUGUUUCUCUUGCUUUCAUUUGUUAUUGGGGUAUUUUAUCGCUCUGUUUUCUUUGCCAUCUUCUCCGAGCAUUCAGUUCAAAGGUAAACCCGGAUUCGAUUUGAGUUAUGCCACUGACCACGAAGCCCGUUUAUGUCGGCAUGAAAUGGGUUCCUAUGAUUGUUUGUUUGUUUUAUUAUUUUGGGAAGUGCUCAGUUUGAGGUUGUUCAUCUCUGUUUCUUUUCUUUUUUUUCUUUUUUUCUUUCCUGGUACCUCAAUCUUUGUCCUCCAACACGCGUGUGGAGAUCACGUGUCACUCAGCCGGCGACCAUGCCUACGUCCGCAUUGACUCACCGACCGGAGGACCUGCUCACACGGCUGCACUGCGCCAACGCCGAAGCCUGCCCUCCACCCCCCACCCCCUCUGUGAAAUCCAAUUACAGAAACCUAAAAAAAUCUAACCCUGAAAGUCUUCUUCUCUUUGUCUUCACCAUGGACGACCUUGGGCCACCUACAGAGACGAAGACGAAGAAGACGACGAUUGCGCUGACACUGCCGGAGGAGAACCAAGCGACGGAGCAAGCCAUCGAGAUGGCCACAGCAGCGGUGGGAGCGACGGAGAUGCCGAAAGUCACACAGAAGGCGAAGAAAGUGGAGCUUGGCUAUGAUAGAAUGCAUGCCGCGAGUGGGAAAGGGUACAGAGUGGUUAAGGCUACUAGAGGGGUUGUGUAAGGAGCUUGGUAUUUUGAAAUCAGGUUUUGAAGCUGAGGGAGACAAGGCAUACGAGGCUUGGAUGGUCAACGGAGAAGGGGGCUUGCAGGCGCCAGUAGGGUACGAUGCAAAUGGUUCCAGGUAUAGGGAUAUAGGUGGGAUUAAGGUGCACAAGGCCAUGGAGGAGAAUGUGGAGAGGAAAGAUUAUUUAAUUUGUUCAAAAGAGUUAAUGGCCACGUGCAAGCCAAAGGAAUGUUCUUGGGGUAGCAAUAAAAAAAAAUACCCAGGCCACUUUAUGGUCCCGGUGUUAGCAUAUGAGACAUGAGUUUUAUUUAUUUAUUUAUUUAUUUAUUUAUUUAUUAUGUGUGUUUCUAGUUUAUCGUGCACCUAUUUAAAUAAUUCCUCCAAGUCCCAGAUUCCAAAUUCUAAUCCCCAAUUCCCACAAUUCCAAUUUUUCACACUUGUUUAUUUAGUCAUUAUAAUUAUUAUUAUUAUUAUUAUUAUUAUUAUUCCAUAUUUAUUUAAUUAUUUCAUUUAAAAAUUCAAAUCGUUCAAGUUCAGUUAUUAAAAAAUCUGACUUCCUAAUUUAAUAUUCAAUUGCAAAAAUUCCACUAUUCAUUUUUAUUCGUUUAAAUAUUGUUUUCGUUAAACAACCAUUGGAAGCCGAUCACUCCAAGCUGAAGGAAAAUUUCGCACGGUUGCGAAAUCAGCCUUGGGCUGCGAAAAUGGUGUCCUUUUGCUGUGAAAUUUCGCAGCCCUCUUGCUGUGGAAUUUCUCCUGAAGCUUCCCGAUAUUUGCAACCGACAUUUUGAGACUUUUUACUUUAGAUAUUUGAUGUCUAAAUCCCCAAACUCUCCUUGUAACCCACCUAUCAUAGGAUUCCUUAGUCUUUAAGUAAGAACAAAGGGUGAAUAACUUGUUAUAUAUAGUUGUAAUUUUCUUUACAAAUAAAAAAUCUCGGGACCUUGUUCUCAGAGACAACCUUUUGUAAUAGUUAGAAAUAUAUUUUACAGAGCACUUGCUCUGUUUUUCCUUCAUAUUUUUGUUUUCUCGUUCUUUUUAUUUCUAGCCAAUCAAACUCUGAGGAUUUUUCCUCAGAGGAUGAGUGGCUAGGCUCUUCGUCUCUUGGAGUGAAGAAAGUCGGGUAAGUUUCCUCAUGCAUAAAUGGGAAGUUUUGUUGUUUUAGUUUUUAAUGAAGAGAAAGUGUGACCCGUUAAUGGUUUUUAUCUUUUUAGUUAACUUAAAACGCCUUUAAAUCACCUGGGCCAACACUUGGUAAGGCAAGUGAUCUCCGUCCAUUGAGAUGCACUAGUUUACCUCUUGCAAGUCUUUGGGAGGUGGUUUGAAAGUAGGAUUUUCUAAAAUAGCCAACACUUGGUAAGCUUUUGGACUUUAAGGAGACAUCCAUUAGUUAUCUCUUGCGAGCUUUUGACGGGUAAUCCAAGGUUAAAGAUCACCUUGAAUGGCAAAUGCUAGGUGAGAGGCACGAGCCAUUGCAAGAUGUAUCAAUGAGAAGGAUUUAGUGUUUGAACCCAUUAAUGGGAAGCAUCUGUACCACACCGGUUAGAGAAUUAACUAUAUGUUAAUUCUUUAAUGCGAGAAAAAGAAACAAGUGACCGGAACUCUCCUUUUUAUAUGAGGAACCUGAGCCUAGUGAUCUGAAACUCCAAGAAACACUUUUCUUUGUAAUUAAAAUCAGUUACUAUUUUUGGUUAGCUUAAAACCAAACCUUUUCCACCAAAAAUUAUGUUUUCUUUUAAAGCUAACCUUGAAAUGAAAAGGCACCAAUUCAUCUUUGAAUUAAUAUCAAUUGUGAAGUGAAAACUCAUCCCAGUGAACGACCCUAGAGCCACUAUGCUAUGCUAGCUAAGGCUAUCCUAGUACAUGGUGUAAUAGGUUAUAAAUUUUGUUGAUUACUCCCUUCUGAGGACCACAAUCAAGGAGCACCAACUGGACACGAAUCAAAUGGUACCACUUUCAAGGACCAUUAAAAGGACAUGAAUCAGCUGAGACACCAAUUGGGAACGUAUCAAUGAAUAAUUUUUUUUUUUUAUAUAAUUCUAGAAUAAUGGAAUCUGUGAUAUUAAGUCAUGCUGAAUAAACGGGUUUUGGUGGGGGCCCAACAUGGGUGACUUUAUGAUUGAUUGUUUGAUUGGAUUAUCAUACAUGAUUGAUUUAUCCUACUCUCUGACAUGCAUGAGAUUAUUUCUUAAUUGUGCACUAACCCGCUCUCUUGAUAGCGCAUUGACGUUUGAUGCCAAGGUGUGCCCCGCUCCCACUUUGAUCGUUCUUUAUUGAGUGUUUUGAUUCUCAUAUGCGCAUGAUCAAUUUGAGUAUACAUUGAUUUUCCUACUAAUUGUCAUGUCAGCUUCGUUUUAUUAGUAGAGGCCCGACUUUAGGGACUUAGAGGGGUGCUAUGGUCUUUACCGUACCUUCCCGAUAAGUAACCUGACCCCCGAGCCCUACCCGAUUUUUCGUAGAUCACCUUUUCCAAAAUGAGGAGUCACACUUAGGGUUUUCUUUCUUAUUUUGUUUACACUUUUAAAAAAAUAAAACAAAAAUAAGUGGCGACUCCAAGUCAUUUUUCAAACAAUAAAAUCAUUUUCAAAGUAAAAUCAAGCUCGCCAUUGAGUAGAAAACGCAUGAGUCGAAAUGCAGGGUCCACAACCCAUAAAAAAAAUAUUUAAUCAAAUAUCUUCUCCAAUAAAAUUAUGUAUAAUAACAAAAAAUUUCAAAAUAAAAGUGACCAACAACAGUCAGUAGAACAAACCGAAAUAAAAUUAUGGGUCAUAACAAUCCUAAAAUUAAAUAAAAUAAAAACAUAAAGUUAUAAUAACCCCACACUUGUGUUAUGUGUGGCGUUGUGCAUUGAUAGCAGCAUCAGCGACGCAAGAUUGACCAACAACAGUUGGCAACAUCACUUAAUGGCGAAGAAAACAGCAACUUGCGACAACAGGUAUGGUGAUGAGUUUGGAAUAAUUGAGGAGAACUAAGAGCAAGGGUUUUUGUAGGGAGUUUAGGAAAGUUUUUAAUUUUAGUUUUUUUUUUUUUGUUUUUUUAUGUUUCCAUUUAACAUCCCAGAAUAUUACUUUAUAAUUCCUUAUAUAAAUAUUUGCCAAUUAUAAAAUGGUUUUUAGGAUUGUCUUUUAUUUUGGUUUUUUUUUUAAUUUUUAUUCUUUUAAAAAAUUAUCAAGAUUACUUUAAAAAUAUUUGAUUAAAUAGUUUUUAAAUUUUAAAUAAGAUAAAUGUAAAGUAACUAGUUUCUUUUAGUCCUACAAAAUUGUAAUAUUCUAAGAAUUAAAACUAUUAAAAGAGAUUAUAUUUAAAAUUUUAAUAAUUAUUAAUAUAACUUAAAGUUUCAAAUUAAUUUGGAUAAUUAUUUAAGAUAGUUUAGAAUAUUGAUAUUAAAAUUAAAUACUUAUAGAUAAAGGCAUGAGGUAGUUUUAUGGCAAGUACAAGAUUAAGUAAAUUGCCAAAAGUUUUAGAAAUUUUUUAUACAGGAUUAAUUUUUAAAAAAAAACAAUAUUAAUUUAUUGUUUUAUAUAGUUAAAAUUAGAAUUUUUUUUAUAAAGAAUAUCAAUAAAAAAUACCUAUAAAAAAUUUAAGAAGAUAGAGAUAAUUUUAUAGAAAGGUAAAACAUUAUGUGGUUAAAUUAUUGAAAAACAAAAGAAUUUUUUGUAUCAAUUUCAAGGGAUUUAUAACUUUUUAUAUAUGUCUAAAAAUAAUCAAGGAGAUAAAUUAUAAAAAGAUAUAAAUAAAUUAUCAUUAAAAUGUUAUUAUUUUAUAAAUUCAUAUAUAAAAUUAUAAUAAAAUAUAAUAUUAUAAAAAUUAAAAUAAAUUACUUUUUUUUUUGUCCUAUACAUUCACAAUUUAGAUUUAUUUUUAUGUUUUCAUAUGAAAAAGACUAACAAUGUUAGGUUCUCACAUGAUAAACUAAUUUUUAUAUUUUGUAUAAUCAAUAUAAUCCAAAUUAGACUAUAUAUAUAGAAUAAAAGUUAUAAACAAAAUAAAUGAUUUUAACUUAAUAUAUUUUUUUAUAAUUUAAUUUUUAUUUUAUUAUAAGUUAUUAAGGAUAGUGUAAAAUAUUGGCAUUAAAAUCAAAUACCUAGAUAACGACAUAAGGUGGUUUUGUGGAAUGUAUAAAAUUAGGAAAUAUAGAAUUUACUAAAAGUUUUAUAAAAAUCUUUAUAAAGGAUUUAUUUUUAAAAUUUUAAAUUUAUUGUCUUAUAUAGUUAAUACUAGGAUUUUUUUUUUCUAAAAAAUAUCCAUAAGAAAUACCUAUAAAAAAAAUUAAGGAGAUAGAUGAUUUUAUAGAAAACAUGAGAUUGGUAAAACGUUAUAUGAUCAAAGUAUUAAAAAAACAAAUGACUUUUUUUUUUAAUCAACUUUAAGUGAUCUAUAAAUUUUCCUAUGUCUUUAAAAAAUCAAUUAGAAAAAAUAUGAAAAAAAAUAGAAGAAUUGAAAUAAAUAUAUUUAUAAAUUUCAUUAUCUUAUAAAUUUAUAUAUGAAUCAUAAUAAGAUAUAAUACUAUUAUCCUAAGGGUUCUCCUAAUCAGAUUUUGAUGAUAACAAACCAUGGUAAAGUUACUAAUUGGUUUAAAUUGUAAAGAAUCUCAAGUAUUAAUUUGGAAAUUUAUCAAAGGACCUAAUGGAUACAAGAUCAAGACGUCUGGAAGAUUUUUAAUCAUAGGAAACAAUUGUAAGAUGAAUGCAUGGGUGCACUUAGGUUUUACAUAUCAUUUCAUGCAUCUUUGGAAAACUCGGUUUAUUAUUUAAAGUUACAAUUGCAUUAAAACCUGAGUUUUAUCAAAUGUACCUUAGGCAAAUACAAGAUCAAUUGCAUUAUAUAGUUAUCGAAUUCACCUAAAGAGCUUGUCUAAAUGUUAGAAAAGAAAAGAACAGAAAAGAUAGGUUUUCGGGGCCCAAAGGUUGAAUCGGUCGAGGCACUAGGCCAACCGGCUAGGGUAUCGAUUAUCGGUUCCCCUUGCCCGGUCGAGGAGUGCUAAAAACACUCUCUCUAAUUCAGUAGCCUUCCAUUCCCGAUCGAGGUAUCCUCCUUCUCGGUCGACCUCCAGUCGAGGUCCAGUUGAAGUAACGGUAACCUACCAAAGCAUUAAAUGCUCCAAUAGCUAGUGAAUUUUUCGACCCCUAGCUCGAUCGGUUGAGGUUGCUUUUUGUUUUUCUUGGCUCCCAAGGUUAGAAACCUAUAAAUUGAGAGCUCCACUUCAUUUAUGACAUAGAGAACACUUGCACUUAAUUGUCUACCCACUUGUUUUUUACUUAAAAGCUCUUAUUUCUUUCUUAGUGCAUUAAAUCUUCAUUUGCAUAUCUUUUAGUGCGCCCUUGUGAGUCAUCCUAGCUUUGAUUUGUAUUUAAGCCAUUAUUGAGCUAGGUUGACAAAAGAUCAUCCUUGUAAAUUGAGUAUUAGAGCCUUCAAGUGAGUUGAAUAUUGAAGAGAUUGUGUAAGAGCUCAUUGGAGCCAGAAUCCAAGUGUAAAAUAGAUUAGAAGGUUGGUUGAAGCUUCAAGUUAGUGGAACCCUCACUCGGUUAGGAAAUUGAGGAGAGUAGACUUAGGCAAGAAAGUGUCGAACUACUAUAAAAUCUGAGUUUGAAUUUUCUAACUCUAUCUCUUUAUAUUUGCUUCUAUUGUGCUUGAAUUUGUUGUGUUGAAAAAGUUUUUAAAAAAACCCAAUUCACCAUUUCUUAGGUGUUUUCCUCAUUUAAGGUUAGCCUUUAUUUUCUCAAUUGGUAUCAGAGGUAGACCUCUUGUUUAAAACUUAAUCGUCUAAGAGGAAAUCGUUAUUCCAUCAAGCUCAUCUCACAGUGAAAGUUUUGAAAAAAAUAGAGCUUCAUUUUUUACGAGAACCGACUAUCCCUAUUAAAAAACUAAAAUGACUUGGUAUUUACAAUCAACCGAUUUAAAUGUAUGGGACGUCAUUGAAGAUGGCCCAACUUUUUCCUACAAAACUAGUUGAUGGAAUCAUGGUUCCAAAACCCAAACAAGAAUGGAAUGAGCUUGAUAGAAGAAUUUUUCAAUUAAAUGCUAAGGCCAUUUUCACUUUGCAAUGUGCCAUGGAUAGAAAUGAAUAUAAUAUAAUAUGUCAAUGCAAAUUGGCUAAAGAAUUUUGGAGAUUGCUUGAAAUAACUCAUGAAGGAAUAAAUCAAGUGAAAGAGUCAAAAAUCAAUUUACUUGUUCAUAGCUAUGAAUUGUUUUUUAUGAAAGAAAAUGAGACUAUUGUUGAGAUGAUCACUAGGUUCACCGACAUUGUCAAUGGUCUUAAAGCAUUGGGAAAGACCUACAAGGAAUCCGAAAAGGUGAUGAAGAUCUUGAGGUCUCUCCCAUCAAAGUGGCAUGCAAAGGUCACCGCAAUUCAAGCAGUAAAAAACUUGACCAAGAUACCAAUGGAGGAGCUCAUAGGGUCAUUAAUGACAUAUGAGAUCAAUUUGACAAAGAAGCUACAAGAAGGUGAAGACAAAAAGAAGAAGAGCAUAACUCUCAAAGCUACAACUAAAGAAGAAGAAGAUGUUGAAGAAAAAAAACAAAGUGAAGAAGAUGAUGAUUUAACCCUCAUCACAAGAAAGCUCAACAAAUACAUGAGGGGUGAAAGGUUUAGAGGAAGAAGGUUCACCUCUAGAAGAGACCUUUCUAAAAAGGAAUCUUCAUCUCAUAGUGACAAGGAGAAAUGGGAAGAGAAAAGAGAUUUGGCGUGUUUCAAAUGAAAGAAAUUGGGACACAUUAAAUAUGAUUGUCCUCUCUACAAAAGUAAAGCCAAGAGGAGAAUGAAGAAGGCAAUGAUGGCCACUUGGAGUGAAAGUGAAGAAUCCUUCGAAGAAGAAAAUGAGAAAGAAGUGGCAAACAUGUGCUUCAUGGCAAUAGAUGAACUUGAUGAGGUAAACUCUAACUUUAGUGAUGAAGAUAUGCAUGAUGUUUUUGAAGAAUUGUAUGAGGAUUUUGAAAAACUUAGUUUGAAAAAUAUUUCUCUUAAGAAGAAAAUUCAACAACUUGAAAAAGUAAAAGAAAAUUUUUCAAUUGUUGAAAUUUCUAAAACUCAUCUUGAAAAAGAAAAUGAGAUUUUGAGAAAGAAAAAUGAAUGGUUGAUGUCCUCUCUUUCAAUAUUUUCUUGCGGACAAAUUUUUUUUGAAAUGAUUCUAGCUAGCCAAAAAUUUGUUUUUGACAAACAAGGACUAAGAUUCAAAUCUUCAAAAAAUCAAAAGUAUUUUAAAAACUAUUUUAUAAAAGAAUCCACAAGUGCAAGUCCUUCCACUACUUGCAACUUUUGUAGAAGAGGAGGGCAUAUUAGUAGUACAUGUCCUUUGAGAAAUGUUUCUCAAAAGACUUCAAAUGCAAAAGUUAAAAAGGUUUGGAUUGAAAAAUCCAAGGUCACUAACCCUCAAGGACCCAAAAUGAUAUGGGUACCUAAAUCAACUUGAGUUUUAUAUUAUAGGGUUCAAAGAAGGAUAAGUGGUUCUUAGAUAGUGGAUGCUCAAGACACAUGACCGAAGAUGAAUCCAAGUUUACUUUCCUUAAAAAGAAAAAUGGAGGAUAUGUUACCUUUGGAGACAAUGCAAAAGGAAGAAUCAUUGGUCAAGGCAACAUUGGUAAUGACACAUCCUCUCUUAUUGAAAGUGUUUUAUUAGUAGAUGGUUUAAAACAUAACCUUUUAAGCAUUAGUCAACUUUGUGACAAAGGUUUUAAAGUGAUUUUUGAAGCAUCUCAUUGCAUCAUCAAGGAUAUUCAAAAUGAUAAAACCAUCUUCAUGAGUCAUAGAUGUGAUAAUGUUUAUGCUAUAAAUAUUUCAAAAUAUGAUAGUUAUGAUAGAUGUUUUUCAAGCAUGCAUGAUCAAAGUUGCUUGUGGCAUAGGAGGUUGGGACAUGCUAACAUGGACCGCAUUUCCCAACUCAACAAAGAUGAACUUGUUAGAGGCCUUCCCAAAAUAAAUUUUUUAAAAAUCAAAGUUUGUAAAGCUUGUCAAGUGGGAAAGCAAAUCAAAAACUCUUUCAAAAACAAAAAUUUUAUUUUCAUAUCUAGGCCUCUUGAGUUGUUGCAUAUGGAUUUAUUUGGUCCCUCUAGGACUCCAAGUCUUGGAAAAAAAUCUUAUGCAUAUAUUAUUGUGAAUGACUUCUCUAGAUACACAUAGGUCUUGUUUUUAAGUUAAAAGAAUGAAACCUUUUCUGAGUUUUCAAAGUUUUGCAAUAAGGUUCAAAAUGAAAAAGGUUUUACAAUUACUUGUAUAAGAAGUGAUCAUGGAAGAGAAUUUGAAAAUAUUGAUUUUGAAGAAUAUUUCAAUGAGCAUGGAAUUAACCACAAUUUUUCGGCUCCUAGAACUCCCCAGCAAAAUGGGAUAGUUGAAAGGAAAAAUAGAACUCUUCAAGAAAUGGCUAGAACCAUGCUAAAUGAAAACAAUUUACCAAAAUAUUUUUGGGCCGAAGCGGUUAACACUUCUUGUUAUGUUUUAAAUAGAAUAUUAUUGAGGCCCAAUCUUAAGAAAAUUCCUUAUGAGCUUUGGAAAAACGAGAAACUCAACAUUAGCUAUUUCAAAGUCUUUGGGUGCAAAUGUUUUAUAUUAAACAUCAAAGACAAUCUUGGAAAAUUUGAUGCAAAAUCGGAUGUUGGAAUUUUCCUUGGUUACUCAACUUCAAGUAAAGCUUUUAGAGUUUUUAACAAAAUAACCAUGAUUGUAGAGGAGUUCAUCCAUGUUAUUUUUUAUGAAUCUAACCAUUCUCUCCAAGAAACAAAGAGUUUUGAUGAUGAUUUAGGUUUAGAGACCUCCAUGGAAAAAUUACAAAUUGAAGAUAGAAGGCAAUUAGAAGAAAUUAGAGAGGAUCCCAAGAAAGAAGAAUCACCAUUAGCACUACCCCCUCCUCACCAAGUGCAAGGUGAAUCAAGUCAAGACCUUCCUAAAGAUUGGAAGUUUGUCAUCAACCACCCACAAGAUCAAAUUAUAGGUAAUUCAUCUAGUGGGGUAAUAACUAGAUCAUCUCUUAGAAAUAUUUGCAAUAAUCUUGCUUUAGAAAUAAAAUGGAUGAAAAUGGCAUAAAUGUUAGAAAUAAAGCAAGAUUGAUAGCCCAAGGUUUUAAUCAAGAAGAAAAGAUAGAUUAUGAAGAAACCUUUGCCCCGAUAGCUAGGUUGAAAGCCAUUAGGAUGCUACUUGUCUUUGCAUGUUUUAAAGACUUUUCUUUAUAUCAAAUGGAUGUGAAAAGUGUUUUUUUAAAUGGCCUUAUAAAUGAAGUAUAUGUUGAACAACCACCCAGUUUUCAAAGUUUUAACUUUCCUAACCAUGUUUUUAAACUUAAAAAGGCAUUUUAUGGUUUGAAACAAUCACCUAGAGCAUGGUAUGAAAGAUUGAGUAAAUUUCUUUUGAAAAAGGGUUUUAAAAUGGGAAAAAUUAACACAACUCUUUUCAUAAAGACCAAAAAAAAAUGCUCUUAGUUCAAAUAUAUGUUGAUGAUAUUAUUUUUGGAGCUACUGAUGUCUCUCUUUGUGAAGAAUUUUCUAAGUGCAUGCAUAGUGAGUUUGAAAUGAGCAUGAUGGGAGAACUCAACUUCUUCCUUGGACUGCAAAUCAAGCAACUAAAUGAAGGAACCUUCAUCAAUCAAGCAAAGUAUAUAAGAGAUCUUCUCAAAAGGUUCAACAUGGAAGAAGCCAAAACUCCAAUGAGCUCAACGAUCUAGCUUGAUAAGGAUGAGAAAGGUAAAUCCAUUGACUCAACUAUGUAUAGAGGCAUGAUAGGUUCUUUGUUAUAUUUGACCACUAGUAGACCCAAUAUUAUGUAUAGUGUAUGCUUGUGUGAUAGAUUUCAAUCUUGUCCUAAAGAAUCUCAUUUAAGUGUCUUAAAACGAAUUCUUAGAUAUUUGAAAGGGACAAUGGACAUAGGCUUAUGGUAUCCUAAGAGUGAUAACUUUGAAUUAAUUGGAUUUUCGGAUGCCGAUUUUACCAGUUGUAGGGCUAAAUGAAAAAACACUAGUGACACUUGUCAUUUCCUAGGACACUCACUUGUUUCAUGGCAUAGUAAGAACCAAAAUUUGGUAGCUUUGUCAACGGUUGAAGCUAAAUACAUAGCAGCCGGUUUAUGUUGUGCACAAAUUCUUUGGAUGAAACAAACACUUGGUGAUUUUGAUUUAUCUUUUGAGCAUGUUCCUAUUAAAUGUGAUAAUACUAGUGCCAUACAUAUAUAAAAAAAUCUCGUGCAAUACUUUAGGAAUAAGCAUAUAGAGAUUAGACAUCAAUUUCUUAGAGACCAUGCACAAAAGGGUGACAUAACACUUGAAUUUGUAAGCACAAAAAAUUAACUUGUUGAUAUCUUUACAAAACCUCUAAGUGAAGAACAAUUUGUUGACAUUAGAAUACAACUAGGAGUGAUUUCUUUAUGAUCUAAUGAUUGCUUCUUGAUGAAUAUAUCUUCUGAUUGCAUGAAUUUCAUGUCAUAUGCAUCAUAUAGACACAUACUUAGAUAAAUGGUCAAAUUUUGACCAAAAAUCAAAAUUCUCUUGGCAUUGGGCAUAAAAAAUUGGGGAUUUCAACUAAAAAUGGCAGAGUGGGGAUGAGAAAAUGAGAAAAUGCACAAAAUGUGAAAAUUCAAACCCAUUGACCACGUUGACCAGACUGUCGACCGAACCAAGACCGAUCGACCGAUUCGUCAGGACUAGGUAUUUAAAGAGACUCCCGUGCAUUGUUUUCUCCACUGUUCUCCUCCAUUUCUUCAGGGUUUUUCACAUUUCGGCUUCCAGAGAUCAGUUUAAGCAAGGUUUAGAUCGAUUGAAGGCUUUGGAUUGGAUUUUUGGGAGGAUUAGAGGCUAGGGUUUUGGUUUUGGACUACACUUUCUUCCUCUCGCGUACCACAACCAGGGUUUUCUUCCUUUCCGCACGCCUAGGGUUUCGGUUAUGAGUGCUUCUCUCUCUACCAACCUCGUCUCCUUUGUUUCUGUCAUUCUCAUGGCUCCUAGGAGAGAGUUGACUGCCUUUAGGGCACAGGGCAAGCGCCCAGCUGAGCCGUCUCAGCCCCCUCUAUCGAAGGCUCGCCAAUAGGCGAGGUUUGACACCUCUUUAUUCAGCUCCGUGGAAGACUACCAAUGGUACAAGCAAAAGUUUGCUUAGAGGAAAGUAGUUCUAGGGAAAAGUAUCAAUUUCUCCCAACUCCAGCAUUUCGGAUUUAAGGGAUUGUUUGGUAGGAUGGGUUGGCUACCCAUGGUGACGGUUUCGGAGCUGAUUUUUUCGACAUUGGUGCGAGCGUUCUAUUUGAGGACGACAUAUGGCAUUGGUGGCCCGAUUAUUUCCACUAUUAGAGGACUUGAGAUUCAGCUAGACUUGGAAAGCAUCUGCCGUAUUUUCAAUAUUGCUCCAAUUGGACUCAGGGUGUACGAGUCCAAGAUUUGGCCCACUAUGUCGGGUUUUGAGCUUAAAGAGGCCAUUCAAAGAAUGUGCGGACUUGCAGACGCCUAGAGGAUGGGCAAACCAUCGGCCCACAGCUUGACCGUGAUCAAUAGAGUACUACACCACAUGAUUUGCUCUAUCUUGCUACCACGAGGCGGACACAAAGACAAGGUCUCCUAUUAUGAGGAAUUCCUCGUGGACUCUAUUCUAACGGGGAGAUGAAUUCACUUGGGGUAUUUGAUGAUGAUGCACAUGAUCUCAUGUUGCGAGAGCAUGACCCGUGUACUCCCUUAUGGUAGAGUGUUCAAGGAUGUCGGAGUUGAUUGGAGCAAAGAGAUAGAUUUUGAGGCUCCCAACAUAUAUGAUACAUAUGAUGAGCAGUCUUUGGGGAGAAUGAAAUUUGAGAAGGCCCUCGAUGGUUCUUGGAUUAGGAGAGCAAAGAGACCACCAACACAGGCCCGAGGAUAGGGACAGGUACAUCCUGGCGUAAAAAAGGAGGCCAAGAUAUGAGAGAUAAAUGGUGGAGUAGACCCUUAGAGAGGCUUUCAAUAGAUAGAUCUCGAGCUUGACAUUCCUCCACUCCAAUCAGAGGGUGUUUAGUUUGAGGCCAUAUUUUCUGAGCCGAUGAUGUUUGAUCUGACUUACACAGUGGGACCAUCUUCUCAGCUAUCAUUCACUGAGCCUCCUCACAUAAAGAUACCACCUCAUCAGGCACCUCACGGUCCUAAUCAUGCACCUUGGAUGGAUCUAUCUGCUCAAAUUAGCUCUCUCGGCACUCGCAUGAAGGAGCUUGCAGUAGUCAAUGAUACUCGAUUCUACUCCAUGGAGGAUCGCAUGAAUCGAUAUCAGACUGGUUUCACUUCUCAAUUUGAGUAUUUGUAGCAGAGAUUUGAGUGUAUGGAUGAUCACAUGGAUCAACAGUGGGCUGGGUUUGAGCAUCUCCAGCGAAGGAUUGAGUGCAUUGAGAGUCGCCAGAAGAGUCAGCAUAAGGAGAUGAUGGCUUACCUACGCUCCGUGUUUCCACCUCCACUUCCUUAGCCUUGAUUUCAUAGAGACCUCCUUCGUUUCUUUUUUAUAUUGCCAAAAAAGGGAGAGAUAUUUAGGAUCUAGGAGACUUACAUGCAUAUCAUUGUCAUAUCUUUUGUUUGGAUUAUAUAUAUAAUAGGCUUAUAUGUUUCAUGUACAUUUGACUUAUAUAUGAUAUGUUAUAUGUUUCAUGACUUACACUGUUUCAUAUUGAAAAUUUGCAUGUCUUGAUUAUCUUGGUUUUAACUUCAUAAAUUUUGAUUGAUUGAUCCAUGAUUGGUUUGAGAGGGAGAUUUUUCUUCUCCUAGAUAACCAAGGUUUGUCAUCAUAAAAAAAUGGGAGAUUGUUAGCCCAAGGGUUCUCCUAAUUAGGUUUUGAUGAUAACAAACCAUGGUAAAGUUACUAAUUGGAUUGAAUUGUAAAGAAUCUCAAGUAUUAAUUUGGAAAUUUAUCAAAUGACCUAAUGGAUACAAGAUCAAGACGUCUAGAAGACCUUUAAUCAUAGAAAAAAAUUGUAAGAUGAAUACAUGGGUGCACUUAGGUUUUACAUAUCAUUUCAUGCAUCUUUGGAAAACUCAGUUUAUUCUCUAAAGUUACAAUUUCAUUAAAACCCGAGUUUUAUCAAAUGUACCUUAAGCAAAACAUUUCAAAAUUGGCAUAUUAAUUUACCUAAAGACCUUACCUAAGUGUUAGAAAAGAAAAGAACAUAAAAAGAUAGGUUUUCGGGGCCCAAAGGUUGAACCGGUUGAAGAACUAGGCCAACAGGCUAAGGUAUUGGUCGAUCGGUUACCCUUGCCCGGUCGAGGUCCGAUUGAGGAGUGCUAAAAAAAUUCUCUCUCAUCCAAUAGUCUUCCCUUCCUAGUCGAGGUAUCCUCAUUCCCGAUUGACCUUCGAUCGAGGUCCGGUUAAAGCAACAGUAACCUACCAAAGUAUUAAAUGCUCCAACGGUUAGUGAACCGGUCGACCCCCAACUCAACCGAUUGAGGCAGCUUUUUGUUUUUCUUGGCUCCUGAGGUUAGACACCUAUAAAUUGAGAGCUUCACUUCAUUUAUGACAUAGAGAACACUUGCAUUUAAUUAUCUACCCACUUGUUCUUGCCUUAAAAGCUCUCAUUUCUUUCUUGGUGCAUUAAAUCUUCACUUGCAUAUCUUUUAGUGCACCCUUGUGAGUCAUCCUAGCUUUGAUUUGUAUUUGAGCCAUUAUUGAGCUAGGUUGACAGAAGAACAUCUUUGUAAAUUGAGUGUUAGAGCGUUCAAGUGAGUUGAAUCUUGAAGAGAUUGUGUAAGAGCCCAUUAGAGUCGGGAUCCAAGUGUAAAAGAGAUUAGAAGCUUGGUUGAAGCUUCAAGUUAGUGGAACUCUUGCUCGGUUAGGAGAUUGAGGAGAGUGGAUGUAGGCAAGGAAGUGUCAAACCACUAUAAAAUCUGAGUUUGAAUUCUCUAACUUUAUCUCUUUAUAUUUGCUUCUAUUGUGCUUGAAUUUGUUGUGUUGAAAAAGUUUUUAAAAAACCCAAUUCACCCUUCUCUUGGGUAUUUUUCUCAUUUAAGAUUAGCCUUUAUUUUCUCAAAUAUUAUAAAAAAAAUUAAAGUAAAUUACUUUUGAAAUUUUGUUAUUUUUUACAUUUACAAUUUAGAUUUUAAUACAAAGAAGACUAAUAGUACAUUUUAUUGAGGAUGAAAUAUUUUCGUCUCCAAUAUUGAGUUUUUACAACAAAAAAAUUUCUUCUCUAAUAAAUUUCUUUAUUCCUCCUUCUAAUGGUAUUAGGACAAUAAUUUUGUCCCUCGUUGUGAGGUUUUUCCUCUCCAAAACUAUUUAACAACAAAAUAAUUUUUAUUGCCCAUUAUUUACCUUUUGGGACAACAUUAAGUUUUCAUCUCCUAAUACAUUUUCUACCAUGAAAUAUUUUGUUAUUAAAAUUUAUGAUGUCGUCAAAAAUAAUUUGGCCUCAUUUCACACUCAAUUAAAAUUUUAGACACAAAUUUUUGUAACAAAAUCAAAUUUUGUUUCCCAAAAUCAUAUUUGGAGACAAAAUUAUAUUCAUGUCCAAAAAAAUUGUGCCAAAAGGUAGAAUUUCUUGUAGUGCCUUUACUUAUUAGAUGAACGAUAAAAAAAUUUCCUUUAUCAUUCUCUCUCUCUCUCUUUAACAUGUAAGCUAAAUAAAUAAAUAAAUAAAUAAACAAGAAUACAUUUCUUCAAAGAAUUUUACCUUAAAUUUUACUCUAUAGAGAAUAAAAAUUGUCAAUGGUAAAAUCAAUCUCAACAUUUAUCUCUUUGUUCUUCUCUUUUUUAUUUCUUCAUCUAUCUUUCUAGGGAUUUUCUAUCAUCUUCAGAUUCUUCAGACUUAUAUAUAUUUAAAACUAAAACUCCCCAAACUUGGUUUAAAAUUUGUAACUCCCCAAUCAUGGUUUAAAAUUGUAACUUUUUUAUUUUUUUAUUUUGUUUUUAAUAAUGUAUCCUUAUCUUUAUCCUUAUUAUUAUUAUUCUAUGAACUAAAUUAGGAAUUUUAGACUAUCCACUCUUUAAAUUAGGAAUAUUAUUUAAACCUAUUUUAACCUAACAAAAAUUUUAUAUCAAUUGGUACUAAUUUAUUCCUACAAUAAUUAAAUUUAAAUGUAAGAAUUUAUUCUUUUUUUCUUCAUACAUUAUUGAGUACUAAAUUAAUAUAUAUAUAUAUAUAUAUAUAAUUUUUUUUAUAUUGUACAUUGCAUAUUUUAUUUUUCCUAUUUUCCUUUAUUAUUCAUGUUUUAUUCACAUCAAAUAUCCAUUUUGCACUACAUUUUUUUAUUGAACAACUAAAAUAAUUUUUUUUUAUGUAUUUAUCUUUAUAUUUUUCUUGGAAACCUUACUUCUUAAAUCUAUAGAAUUUUUCAUCAAACUAAAUAUAGUUUUUUAUUUUAGAAUUAUAUUGUAUAUAAAUUUCUUUCAAAUAACAAUAAAAACUCUCAAACUCACAAAGACCUUGUUUUUGUCUAGGGUUAUAUUAGAGAAAACAUUCAUCAUACUACUAUUAAUUUUUUUUUCUUUUCUUACUUCCUAAACCUUUACUUAUUAGAUGAACGAUAAAAAUUUCUCCUUCUCGUUCUCUCUCUGUCUCUCUUCAACAUGUAAGUUAAAUAUAUAUAUAUAAAAGAAUACAUUUCUUCAAAGACUUACCUUAAAUUUUACUCUAUAGAAAAUAAAAAUAAUCAAUGGUAAAAUCAAUCUCAACAUUUAUCUUUUUGUUCUUCUCUUUUUUAUUUCUUCACCUAUCCCUCUAGGGGUUUUCUAUCAUCUCUAGAUUCUUUAGAUUUGUUAUAUAUAUAUAUAUUUAAAACCGAAACUCUCCUAACUUGGUUUAAAAUUUGUAACUCCCCAAUUGUGGUUUAAAAUUGUAGCUUUUUUUUAUUUUUUAUUUUGUUUUCAAUAAUGUAUCCUUAUCUUUAUCCUUAUUAUUAUUAUUAUUAUUAUUAUUAUUAUUAUUAUUAUUAUUAUUAUUAUUAUUAUUAUUAUUAUUCUAUGAACUAAAUUAGGAAUAUUAAACUAUCCCCUUUUUAAAAAAAAGUUUAGUCUUCUAAACUUAGCAUACUUGAAAUUAGAAAAAAAAAAUGUGAAAACUUUUCCCUCAUCUCAUCUUCAAGUCCCCAAAUCACCUCUCAUUUAGAGUUAUUACUCCAUUGAACUUUGACUAAUUUGAUUGUUACAAGAAGAAACAUCUUAUCCAUCAUGUCAACAAUCUGAAUUGGAACUUCCUCAUAAGAUAGAUUUUAUGCUAAAUGAAUCGGUUAAAGUUCCACAACAUGUGAAGGAUCAUAAACAUACUUUUUUAAUGCUGAUACGUGAAACACAUUAGGAACCUUUUCCAAACUUGGGGGUAAAGCCACCCUUUAUGCUAAGGUGCUAACUUUAUCCAAAAUUUCAAAUGGUCCCACAAACCUAGGACUAAGUUUUCUUUUCAAACAAAAUCUCAUAACCAACUUAAGAGGUGAUACUAUGAGAAACACAUGAUCACCAACCUAGAACUCUAAAUUUCACCUUCUAUUAUCAAUAUAGCUAUUUUGUAUACUCUGAGCUAUUUUUAAUCUUUCUCUUAUUAAAGCAAUUUUUUUAUAAGUUUCUUGAACUAAUUCUGGUUCCAAAAAUUUUAUCUCACCAACCUCAUCCCAAUAAACAAAGGACCUACACUUUCGACCAAACAAAGCUUCAAAAGGUGGCUUCCUACUUUGAAAACUAUUGUUGUAGGCAAACCCCACUAAGAGUAGAUGGUUGUCCCGAUUACCUCCAAAAUCUAAAAUACAUGCCCAAAUCAUAUCUUCCAAAAUUUGAAUUACCCUUUCUGAUUGUCCAUUGGAUUGAGGAUGAAAGGUUGUACUAAAAUUUAGCAGAGUUACCAUAGCUUUUUGCAACCUCUUCUAAAAUUGGGAAGUAAAACGGGCGUCUCAAUUUGAUACUAUAGAUAUUGGAAAUCCAUACAUCCUCACAAUCUCCUUAACAUACAACAAGGCUAAUUUGUCCAAGGACCAAGUAGUUUGAAUGGGUAAAAAGUGGGUUAAUUUAGUUAGUUUAUAAACAAUCACCCACACAACAUUACUUCCCACCACAAAUUUGGGAAAGCUAAAAACAAAAUCCAUUGUAAUGUGUUCCCACUUCUAAUUAGGAAUGAGAAGUGGUUUCAACAUACCUAAUAGACGUUGAUACUCGGUUUUGACCUACUAACAAGUCAAGAAUUGGGUAAUAUAUUAAGCGACACCACGCUUCAAACUAGGUCACCAGUAAAGUUAUCUCAAAUCCUGUUACAUUUUGGUCUCAUUGGGGUAGACUACAAACUUAGAGGAGUGAGCUUCCUUUAAAAGCUUUUUCAUGAGAUUUCCAACUUAGGUCACAUACAUACAAACAAAUUCUAAAUCUCAAUAUUCCAUCAUCUAGAAGUACAAAGUAAAACUUAGUUCCCCUUCCUAUAUAUAAUUUGAACGACCUGUAGAUCAUCUAUUUGUAAGGACUUGAUCAUCUCAAACAAAUUUAGUUGAACCUUAAGAUGAGCAAAUAAUACUCCAAACUAUAAAACUUCAAAUUAAACUAGUAGUCUAUUCAAUUCGAAUAACAUAUAUGGUUUUCUAACCCUCAAGGCUACUAAAGAACCAAAAGACUUCUUACUUAAAGCAUUUACUACUAUAUUCGCAUCACCAUAAUGAUAUAGAAUAAAGCGGUUAUAGUUCUUGAGGAGUUCAAGCCACUUUCUCUAUCUCAUAUUCAAUUCUUUUUUAGAAAACAAACACUUUAAUCUUUUAUAAUUAGUGUAGAUCUCACAUGUCUCACCAUACAAAUAGUGUCUCCAUAUCUUAAGAGCAAAAAUCACUAUUGCUAAUUCCAAAUCAUGAGUAGGAUAGUUUCACUCAUAAGGUUUCAAUUACCUAGAAGGAUAAUUGAUGACUUUCCCCUCCUGCAUGAGAACACAACCAAGCCCUUAAUGUGAAACAUCACUAUAAAUAACAUAACCCAUCGAACUUGAGGGGACUGUUAACAUUAGAGUAGUUACCAAUCUAUUCUUCAACCCUUGGAAGCUUUUCUCACAACCAUUAGACCACAAAAAUUUGACCCUCUUUUUAGUAAGCUUUGUUAAAGGUUCUUAGAGAUUCCCUUUGAAAUGUUUGUAAUAACCACCUAAACCUAGGGGACUCCUAACCUUAGUUACCGAGUUAGGCUUGCUCCAACUAAGUCUACCGAUAUUCCCUCCUUGGAGAUUACAUGGCUAAGAAAUAAAACUCUAUCCAACCAAAAUUCACAUUUCUUAAGCUUAAAAAAAAAAAAAAAAAAAGUUGAUCUAGGUUUAGGAAGUAAGAAAAAUAAUAAUAAUAAUAAUAAUAAAUAGUAGUACGAUGAAUUUUUUUCUCUAAUUUAACCCUAGACAAAAACAAAGUCUUCAUGAGUGUGAGAGUUUUUAUUAUUAUUUGAAAGAAAUUUAUAUAUAAUACAAUUCUAAAAUAAAAAAUCAGUAUUUAGUUUGAAGAAAAAUUCUAUAGAUUUAAGAAGUAAGGUUUCCAAGAAAAAUAUAAAGAUAAAUACAUUUAAAAAAAAUCAUUUUAGUUGUUCAAUGAUAUUCGAUGUGAAUAAAACAUGAAUAAUAAAGGAAAAUAGGAAAAAUAAAAUAUGUAAUGUACAAUAGAAAAAAAAACAUUAAUUAGGAUAAUUAUAUAUAUAUAUAUAUAUAUUAAUUUAGUACUCAAUAAUGUAUGAAGAAAUAAAGAAUAAAUUCUUACAUUUAAAUUUAAUUAUUAUAAGAAUAAAUUGGUACCAAGUGAUAUAAAAUUUCUAUUAGGUUAAAAUAGGUUUAUAUUAAUAAGAUUUAUUUUAUUUUUUUAGGUAAAUCCUAAGUUUAAUCAACUUCCUUGCCGAGUUCAACUUUUACUAGGUAAGGAAUUAUGACCCUUAAAUAUUUUCUAAAGUAUUAUUUUUCUAAAAGGGUAGGAAAAUAUUUUACUAUAUGAAGAAUAUUUUAUAUUGUGAAAAAUAUUACUAUUAUUAUAUAUUCUGAUAUCUGGCCCUAGUCAAUAGGGGUUGUGUUGUUGACCCUCAUUACUUAAUUGUAUAAGGAUUGGAAAACCUAGUCAAUGGGAUAGUCACUAACCCUCAUUACUUAAGUGUAUGAGGAUUGAAAAACCUAGUUAGUGGGAUAAUCACUAGUCUGAUGGUACCAUAUGAUUGGUUAGUCCCUUCUGAAUUGAAGGAUCAUCUGUUUCUAAAGAUCCCAUUAGUUUGGGAAAAUAAUUUUUUUUAUACCUAUAUGUUUGAAGAUUAUAUUAUGUUAUGUCACUUUCUUUUUUUACAUAUAAAAUAAAUCGUUAGUAUAUUCCUUAUUGAGCUAAAGCUUACUACUUUUGCUUUUCAAAACCCCUUUUAGGUUCCCCAAAUGUAGAUGGAAAUGAGUGACAUUGAAUAUAGGACGGGUUCUUGUUAGUUAAGUUUAUGGUAGGCCUUAAAGCCUUUGUUUAGACAUGAUGAUUUGGACCAUGUGUUAUGUUUUAAUUAUCAAGUUAAUUUGAACAAAAUUAGUAUUUCAUAAUUAUGUGAAUCAUGAAACUUCUAUCUUAGAAAAAUAAUUUUAACUCUAUGAACUCACUCUUAAGGGGAAUGUAUGAAUUUUGUUCUUUUUUAUUAUUUAAUCAUUUUUGCAUAUUUUGCCUUUAUGUUGGACAUCCAAAAUUUACAAGGUUAGCCCUAGCCUCAGGACAUAAGGUGUUACACUAUAUAUAUAUAUAAAAUGAUUUGAAAUAAUGUAAUUUAAAUAUGAUUUGAAAUAAUGUAAUUUAAAUAUGAUUUGAAAUAGAUUGCAAUAAUGUAAUUCAAAUAGGUCUAUUAUAAUAGUAAUUUAAUUUUUUUUUUCCUUUUUUUAAUCUUUGGAUCAUAACAUUUGAUAAACCUUUUGGUUUUGGCCAAAAUUUAACAUUUUAAAAAAUAAUUAUUGGUUUUUGUUAUUAAAUAGAAUUGAAAAAAAAUGGACAUCAUUGUUAUAAACUGAAUUGAAUGAUUUCUUUCAAUUAAUUCAACUUUUAAUAGAUGAGAAUUCAUUACAUGGAUUCAAUCGUAUACACCCUAAAGUUGACAGCAAAUUUAUGGGAAGGAUAAAAGGAAUGAAGACUUAUAAUUUUAUAUUUUGAUAUAGCAUUCGACACAAGAAAAGUAUUCAAGAACAAAAGUGUUUGUUUUUUCAACUUGCUUUCAAACCUUAAGUAGUUUGUUUUUUUACUUUUUCUUGAUUUAUUACUUAUUUUUUUUAAAAAUUGAUUAAAUAGAAAAAAAUAAAAUAUUUGAUUUUUUUUAAUACUAAAAAUAGUUAAACGUAAUAUCAUAAUUACAGGGAACCUGUUGAAUUUUAUUUUAUUUUUUUUGUUACUUUUUAACACUUAAUAGAAAUACAAUAUUAAAAAAUAAACUAGCUUAAUACUUAAGGCUAUCAAGCAAUAUUUAGUUUUAAAUUCCAUUUAGAAUUAAGUGAAAGAAAACAAAUACUGCCUAUGUUUUAAGUAUAGCAUGUGUUUUAAAAAAAUUUCAAACUCAUCCCUAACCUAUUUAUUUAAAUUCUAAUCCCGCCUUCAUCUCUACUAGUACAUAUUAAAAUGUGGGUUCCACACAAAUAAAUUAACGUGGUGGCCGUGUUGGAGACAUGCUUAGAAUAUGAUACAAUGGGAGUAUGAGAAUAUAUACAAAACAUAGAAGCAUAUAAAACAUAUAAAUAAAUGUAUGAAAUCAUAAGAAAUUGGGUGCAGCAUAUAAAAACAUAUUGCUUUAAGAAUUCUGGUGUGCUGAAAAUAAAGUUUGGUGGGCUAUGACUGCAAUCCUUAGGAUCGUAAGAUAUCAUGCUUAUGCUUUUGUGUGUGUUAAUAUAAUGGCUAGUGACAUCUAAAAACCAAAGCACAAUGUUUCAUGUGCUGAGCAUGCAUUGUGCCUUUGUGAUAACAGGUACUUUGAUUACAAGAUUAUAGGAUUUCUAAUCUCAGUGCUUGCAACUUGGGGUGCAAUAUGUGCCUACUAGAAGGGAAGAAGAAGAAUCACUUUUGCUAGAAGGCAUAGAAAAGCAAGGACCUUAUUUAACUUUGUACGGUACAAUGCCUAUCAUAGAGUUGCCCUGCGAUAUCAUCAGAAUUCAACCUUUUUUCCUUUUCUAUGUACAAACCUUUCCAUCUUCAAAGAUUUCCUCUAUAGAUCACAUCCACACAUUUUCAUUCCACACAUUCUCAUUCAGUUUUUUAUGCCCAAAUUUGUAUGUUCUGCUGGGAUUGCAGUUGAAGUUAUUGUCACCCCCAAAGCCAUACUUGGUGCGGUACCCUGUGUAGUCCCUAAAAUUAAAGGGCACUUCUUCUAUAAGUCGAAGCCCAACUCUUGAGGCUAGAAAUUUCAAAUUCCACUCACGAAAGAAGCCAUUGCUUUUGUGAGUAAUGUGGAUUUCUCCAUCUAUGUGAAUCAACUUCUUAGCAUUUUCUAAAAACAGCUGUACCAGCAGUUGAUUUCGCCUGCAAGAAGAAACAAUGAUAUAGAAGGAAAAUUUUCAUGUAAGAAUUGGGAAUACAGGCUAUACAUAAAUUCAAUUCAUAGGAGCUUUUCAAAGAAAGAAUCUACCAACCAGAUCACAGGGAAAAAAUCCAGCGAAUGGGAAGUUGUAAACAACUCGAUCAAAACUCAUGCAUUUGAAUGGGAAAACGUUUGCCAUUUUGGUGGCAUCAACAUCAUGCAUGACCUUAGCUCCCAAGCUCCGUAGUGUAUCGAUGUUGGACAAGGCAUGCCUAUAGUUUGUGCUCAAAAACUCAGAAAAUUGCAGUUGAUAGUCGUCAAUUAAGGCCAUAAGACAAACCCCAAAUGGGUGCUGGGGCACAUGCUAAUCAAGGUUUACUCGGGACUAGAAUGAGAAAAUACCCAAAUCAAUCAAAAUCAUGACAUUCAUGAGAAACACUCAAAGAAGAUUACCAACUUAUGAUUCAGGAUUUCUUAUUUGUUACCUAUAGAAUCAUGAGAAGUAGCGGUUAUGUUUGUAGCAGAAGCAAAAGCCACAGCCAAAGACGCAGAGAAUGAGAAGUCCCCUUCACCCAGCAGCAAUAUUUUGUACUCACUGCUGUAGUGCUUUAUCCAUCUUACUCCAAGCUUUCCUUCCUCUACGUCUUCUUCACAGCUGCUGUAGUCCCACCAAUUUUUUCCUACCGCUCCUCUGGUUCGUUCUUCGUUUUCUUCAAUUAUGUCGUAAUGGUGGAGCCGUGCAGAAACUUGCUUCUCAUCACCUACAACUUGGACUUUAAAUUUUGCAGGAAUUAACAGAUCCAAUGCAUCAUCAGACCUGGAAUUGCUGCGUGAGUCCAAGCUCAGUGGAAAACCCAGAGAGUUUCGCUGCGAUGCACCAUUGAUGCCUGAGUUGCUGCUUGGGACAGAGCUCAGUGGAAGAGUCACUGGAUUUGGCUGGAAAUGGGAUGCACCACUCACGCUAGAGUGGCUGCAGGAGCUAGAGAGUAGUGAAGAAUGAGUCUGUAUCUUUGGCUGAGCAUGAGAAGUACCACUUGGCCUGGAUAGGCCACACGAGUUGGAGCUGAGUGGCUGAGGAGUCUGCACUGGUUUUGGGUAAAAAUAGGUUGUGCUGGAUUGGCUGCAUGAGCUAGAACUUAGCUGUUGGUGAGUCUCUAGUUUUGGUUGGACAGGGGAUGAUACAGUCGUGCUGGAGAGGCCACAUGAGCUCAAGUUGAGUGGCUGAUGAGUGUGCACUAGUUUUGGGUAAAAAUGGGUUGUGCUGGAUUGGCUGCAUGAGCUAGAACUCAGUUGUUGGUGAAUCUCUAGUUUUGGCUGGAGAGGCCACAUGAGCUCAAGUUGAGUGGCUGAUGAGUCUGCACUAGUUUUGGGUAAAAAUGGGUUGUGCUGGAUUGGCUGCAUGAGCUAGAACUCAGUUGUUGGGGAGUCUCUAGUUUUGGCUGGACAGGGGAUGAUACAGUCGUGCUGGAGAGGCCACAUGAGCUCAAGUUGAGUGGCUGAUGAGUCUGCACUAGUUUUGGGUAAAAAUGGUUUGUGCUGGAUUGGCUUCAUGAGCUAGAACUCAGUUGUUGGGGAGUCUCUAGUUUUGGCUGGACAGGGGAUGAUACAGUCGCGAUAGAGAAGCCACAUGAGCUCGAGUUUAGUUGAUGAUGAGUCUGUAGUGUUGGCUGAAGACGUGAUGCACUACUUGUUUUGGAGUGGCUGAAUGGGCUGGAGCUAGAGUUAGAGCUAGAGCUCACUGGAGGCGGAGGAUGAGUCCGUAGAUUUGUCUGCAAUGCGUAGUCCCUACAUGAUUCUAAGCUCGGUGGAGAAGUAAAUGGAUUCGGUGGCAACGCAGGCCUUGAGCUUGAAGAAUUGGUGUCUGAGGCAAAUCUCGGCGGAGAAAUCAGGGGUAGUUUUUCACUUGGCUUCUUUUUAUCAUCUUUUUCACCCCACAACCAGCGAAUAAUAACGGAGAGGAUUUGACCCAUUGAAUCACCCGUCCCCCCCUUCUUUUUCUUCUUCCUUCAUCAAGGAGCCUGUAAACAUAGAAAUGUCCCUUGUCAUGAAAACCAUGCGGGCGUGCACUGCAAUGUCAAUGGACUUGACACAGGUCCCACCAACAUUGCAUUAAAUUUUCCUUCUCGGACAAGUAAGAUAAGGAAUGCCUCUGCCACACACUGUUGAGAAAUAUAAGAAGAUAUUACCCACAAAGCCUAUCAUGUUAACAUUCAAGUCAUCCCACAUCGGAAUAAGAGAGAGGCUUUUCGGUCUCACCCCAUAGGGGUUCCCUCAUAAAAAGGGCUUUACAUAUCAGACCGAGACAUUAAUAGUGGGAUUCUUUUUCUUUUCAAAUCAAUAUGACUCAAAUGCAACAUUCAUUGUAUUCGGGAUUCAAAUUGUGCUGGGUUGUGCUGGAUUGGCUGCAUGAGCUAGAACUCAUUUGUUGGUGAGUCUCUAGUUUUGGCUGGACAGGGGAUGAUACAGUCGCGAUAGAGAGGCCACAUGAGCUCGAGUUGAGUUGAUUAUGAGUCUGUAGUGUUGGCUGAAGACGUGAUGCACCACUUGUUUUGGAGUGGGUGAAUGGGUUAGAGCUAGAGCUAGAGUUAGAGCUAGAGCUCAGUGGAGGCGUAGGAUGAGUCCGUAGAUUUGUCUGCAAUGUGUAGUCCCUACAUGAUCCUAAACUCGGUGGAGAAGUAAUUGGAUUUGGUUGCAACGCAGGCCUUGAGAUUGAAGAGUUGGUGUCUGAGCCCAAUCUCGGUGGAGAAAUCAGGGGUAGUUUUUCACUUGGCUUCUUUUUAUUAUCUUUUUCACCCCACAACCAGCGAAUAAUAAUGGAGAGAAUUUGAUCCAUUGAAUCACCCGUCCCCCUUAUUUUUCUUCUUUUUCUUCUUCUUCUUCAUCUAGGAGCCUGUAAACAUAGAAAUGUCCCUUGUCAUGAAAACCAUGCGGGCGUGCACUGCAAUGUCAAUGGACUUGACACAGGUCCCACCAACAUUGCAUUAAAUUUUCCUUCUCGGACAAGUAAGAUAAGGAAUGCCUCUGCCACAUACUGUUGAGAAAUAUAAGAAGAUAUUACCCACAAAGCCUAUCAUGUUAACAUUCAAGUCAUCCCACAUCCUAAUAAGAGAGAGGCUUUUCGGUCUCACCCCAUAGGGGUUCCCUCAUAAAAAGGGCUUUACCAACUAUUUUUCUUUUUAUUAUUAUAUUUUAAAAGUAUCGCUGCAGUAUCAUUUCAUAACAUAUUAAAUCAGGUGUCAUUUCAUAUCAAAUCAUUGUAGCCUGCUUGACUACUCCAAUUCCCAAGCCUUUCUCCUCCUUUUUGAAUGUUGAUUCCAUCAAUGUCUAGUUUCUAGUGAUGUAGGGUUGUGUGAGUCUUUCUCUGCCAUAUCAGACCGAGACAUUAAUAGUGGGAUUCUUUUUUUCUUUUCAAAUCAAUAUGACUCAAAUGCAACAUUCAUUGUAUUCGGGAUUCAAAUUGUCAACAAAUGAACCAAAAAUCAUCUUCACAGCCAAAUCUACAACUACUAAACAUCUUUUCCCUGUAAAACUAGUAAAAUUUUCAUCCAGACAUGUUGAUUAACUAUAGAAGAACAUGCUUCUGCAUUCAUCCCCAUCUAAGUUCAGCAUUUUAGCAGAAACUCAAUAUGAAAAAACAGAAUGACAGAAAGGGUAAAAGGGCGCCAAUAUCAAUACCAUGAAUGCAGAUGAGCUUGUGGAUGAUGAGAGCUUUGUUGAGACCAGAGAUCAAAGCUCCCAAAUCAGAGUUUUCCCACAAAGAUCGGACGAGAUCAAACACUAGUGAUGCUUGGCUUGCAGGAGAUCCAUCAGUGUUGGGUGUGAGAGAUGAGAGUUGUGCUGAGAGUGAAGGGGGAGCAAUAUCAGAAGGUAAAGAAGUUUCCCAUGAUUCGUACGUCCAAAGACUUGGUUGGACUUGGCCAUUUUUACGCUACGUGGAGGCACUCUAUUCAGAUUAAUAAAGUGAUAAAAGAAAAAAAUUAGGAAAGAAGUCCAUUGCAUCAAAGAAUUUGAUACCCAAAGUCAUGGAAGUAAUUAAAACAGAUUGAUGAUGAUGAUGGUUGUACCAAACAGCAUUUGAUACCCAACCCACCAAUCAUAAAAUUCAGUGACAUGGGAGUGUAUAAAGCAAAAUAAGAUAUACUAAAGUUAUUUUAAAAUACUUUAUAUUUCCAAAUAAUCUUUUAUUUGGGGAAAUGAAAACAAAGUUGAAGAUUUAUUCUAAAACAAUUUAUUCAUUUUAAGAUUUUUUUUUAAAAUUUUCUUUCACUUGGUAAAUAUUUCAUAAUUUUAAAAAUUAUUAUAUUAUUUAAUUUAUAUUAUUUUAAUACUUAUCAUUAUAAAAAUAAGUAUGCACUUAAAUAUUUAUAAAAAUAAACAUUAUAUAUUUUUUGUAAAAAUUUUCGUAAAGCUUACAAUUGGUCUAGUAGUAGCAAUCUCUUUUUUUUAUUGCUACCUUUUAGGUUUGAUUUCUCAUACUCCUCUUUUCUACAUAUACCUAUCCCACAUUGAAAACUUAUACAAGCAUUUCCUCCCAUAAAUUACAUAUAAUGUGACCCAUCAAAAUAAUUUUGCCAAAGGACACAUAGAGAUGCAUUGGUUAGAGCUCUUAGCCAGAUUAGAGUUGAUACUGCUACCACCCUAGAGGGGCUGAUUCACUUUCUGACAGCUGAUAAGGCUACGUGCAUUGUGUUUUCCGACGAUAACUUGCCACUAGAAGGGUCGAGACACAUUCACCCUUUGUAUAUCAGUGUUGCAUGUUCAGGCCAUCGAGUGCCGACAAUCCUGCUAGACAACGACUCUGCCUUAAACGUUUGUCCUUUGGCUACAACUAUUGCUCUUGGCUUUUCUUCAUCUGAUUUUGGGUCAUUUACACAAACCAUCAGAGCUUAUGAUGGGACUCAGAGGACAGUUAUGGGUACUCUCACUACACACGUUAUGAUUGGGUCAGUUAGAUACUCAGUACUCUUCCAGGUUCUAAGGAUUCGGUCAUCAUUUAACCUACUUCUUGGUCGUCCUUGGAUUCAUAAGGCUGGUGCCAUAUCAUCUUCCAUUCAUCAAAAGGUGAAGUUCAUACAUGAGGGUCGCAUUAUCACAAUACAGUUUGACCGGGAUGUUGUCACUUCUUCUGAGCCAGUAUUACAGAUUAGUCACAGUGAGGAUGACUUGCAUUUGACCGGGUUUUCUUUUGAUGAGGUAUAGGUUGUUAGUUUAGAGGAUGACAGCAGAGAUAUGAUGUCUAUGUCAUUCGACUAGUAUAGUAGCACUAUGGUGCUUAGCAUGAUGAGAGGCAUGUUUUACCUGCCCGACUUGGGAUUGGGUCGCUGCCAGUAGGGCCCACACGAGUUUACUUUCACUAUUGAUCAUGACAUACCUUAUGGGUUAGGUUACACUCCUAUGGAGAAGGAUGCACGUUACAUGGCGCGACUGUGCAAGGACAGAGUAAGGGCCCGCUUAUCUGGGGUUCCAUUUUAUUACCCCCUUCGCCCGUACACCUUUCAGUUGACUGAUUACUUUGUCAGAGGUUCAGAUCAUGCACCCCACGUGGAGGGGAUCGUUUGUAUUUUAGAGGUUGUUAAGGUUCAGGACCUCCAAUGGACCUUAGGGUAGAGGCAUUUGGGUGUCGGGAUCCCUGAGACACCUGAUGUUAUGAUAGUUGUACCCCUGUCGCCCGACCGAGCCAACAUGUUCUCUAUAUGCUUCCCGAAGGCAGUUUUUUUAUUAUGAUAUACUUAUGGAUACUGUGAUUGAUGCUGAUGGAGUGACUCUACCUGAUGCUUGUACCGAUGAGAUGGACAUGAUAAGGGUAGGCCGUAUUCUCGAUGCAGUCCCACAUGGUCCCCACUUUAAUUUCGAUUUGUUCGGAGUUUCUGUGAUUGACACUAAUGAUGUCACUCUUUAUGAUUCUUUCACAGACGAGAUGGAUAUGAUUGGUACUAGUCGUAUUCUGAAUGCAGCCCCGCAUGGGCCUCGUUCUGCUUUGGAUAUGUUUGGGGCUUUUAUGCUUGAGAUAGAUGAUGAUGACUUUGUUACUGUUGUUACUCCUGAUGUUAUCACUGUUGAGGGAGCAUCCGAUUCUGUAGACCCACCUCUUUCUUUUGACACUAUGUCCGAGUUUGUCACCCGCUUUGAUGAUGUGGCUGGUGGAAAUAAUAAUGAUAUGAGUGUUUUUGAGUAUUCACCUGUGUCACUACAUUUUCCUUUGAUUGUACCACCGACACCCACAACAUAUAUACAUGAUGUUGAUGAUGUGAGAGGCCCAGAUGGCCUAUUGAGUGAUCAGUCGGAUUUUGAUUCAGAUUCAAAGGAAAGAAAAGAAACACCAGUUUUAGGUAGCACUGAGUUGGUAGAUUUCAGGACCCUUGAUCAACCCAAGGAGCUGAAGAUUAGCACCUUCUUAUCUCCUGACGAGAGAAGUAUACUGAUUGACCUACUUAGGUCAUACUUGGAUGUAUUUGCAUGGUCAUAUGAGGACAUGUUAGGCGUUGAUCCCUCUAUAGUCUAGCAUCGCUUGCCCAUCCUGCCAUAUGCUAGACCAAUUAAGUAUAAAUUAAGGAGAUUACACCCUCGAUAGAGUUUGCAGGUUAAGAAAGAGAUUCAUAAACAACUUAAUGCUGGUUUCCUGUCAGUGGUCGAAUAUCCUGAGUGGCUGGCUAAUGUCGUCCCUGUUCCUAAAAAGGACAGCAAGGUUAGGGUUUGUGUCGAUUAUAGGGAUCUUAACAAGGCCAGUCCUAAGGAUGAUUUUUCCCUUCCACACAUUGAUAUGUUGGUUGAUAGCACUGUAGGGCAUUCUAUGUUAUCAUUUAUGGAUGGGUUUUGUAGGUAUAAUCAGAUUUUGAUGGCUCUAGCGGAUAUCGAGAAGACUUCUUUCAUCACUGAGUGGGGUACUUACUGCUAUCGGGUUGAAGAAUGCGGGAUCCACUUAUCAGAGAGUUGCUACUACUUUAUUCCAUGACAUGAUGAACAGAGACAUCGAGGUAUAUGUGGAUGACAUGAUAGUGAAGUCCUGAGACAGGGCAGAUCACUUAGCAGCACUACAGAGAUUCUUUGAGAAGAUCCGACAGUUCAGGCUGAGAUUGAAUCCCAAGAAGUGUACUUUUGGGGUGACUUUUGGGAAAUUGGUAGGACACAUCGUCAGUGAGCAUGGUAUAUAGGUUGAUCCCGAAAAGAUCAAAGUCAUACUUGACAUGCCUACUCCGAGGACUGAGAGAGAGAUUAGAGGCUUUCUUGGCAGACUAUAGUAUAUCAGUCGUUUCAUUGCUAGAUUGACAAACAUAUGCGAGCCUAUCUUUCGUCUUCUGAGGAAGAACCAACCUACAGUUUGGAAUGAUGAUUGCCAGCGUGCUUUCGAGAAGAUUAAGGAGUGUCUCCUUUCUCCUCCAGUUUUAGUGCCUCUCACACCGGGGCGGUCUCUGCUUCUGUACUUGUCAAUUCCAGACAUGGCUUUGGAAUGCAUGUUAGCUCAGCUCGAUGAUUCAGGGAAGGAGCAAACCAUUUAUCAUUUGAGUAAGAGAAUGUUGGAGUAUGAGUGCAGAUACAUUAUGAUUAAGCGCCUUUGUUUAUCAUUGGUUUGGGCUACUAGGAGGCUGAGGCACUAUGUGACAGAGUAUUCCAUAUUAUUGGUCUUGCGAUUGGAUCCAUUGAGAUAUUUGUUUGAUAGGCAUGUCUUGACUAGUAGGCUCAUGAGAUGGUUGGUGUUGUUGACAGAGUUUGAUAUUCAAUAUGUUACACAGAAGUCAGUAAAAUGGAGCAUUGUUGCAGAUCAUUUGGCUUCUUUGCCCGUAUAUGAUGACAGACUGAUUGACGAUGAUUUCCCUGAUGAGCAGUUUGUCUCAGUGACCAGUAUUGCAGGAUGGCGAUUGUACUUUGAUGGUGCCGCAAAAUAGUCAGGGUUUGGUAUCGGUAUCCUAUUGAUAUCACCUUAGGGUGAUCAUAUUCCCAGAUCAGUCCAGUUGGCAUUCUCUGAUCAUCAUCGAUUGACGAAUAAUGUUGUUGAGUAUAAGACAUGCAUUACAGGUCUAGAGAUUGCGCUCGAUCUUGGAGUUAGACAGUUGGAAAUCCACGGGGAUUCUAACUUGGUUAUUCAGUAGACUUAGGGUAUCUAGAGGACUUGGGAUGAGAAGUUGAAGCCCUAUCAUGCUUAUUUGGAUUUGUUGGUUGAUAGGUUUGAGGAGUUGAGAUAUAUACAUCUGCCCCGGGCAGAAAAUCAGUUUGCUGAUGCGUUAGUUGCCUGGGCUUCUGUGAUUGAGAUUCCUGCGGGAGUGACUGUGCGACCAUUGCUGAUUGAGACUAGGUCUGCACCAGCUUACUAUUGUUUAAUUGGGGAUAUUGAGGACUAGGAUGAGCUACCCUGGUGUAGACCCUCAAUUUUGUCCUUUUAGCACAUGUCUUUAAAUUCACUUCCAGUGCUCCACGGUAGUUCCUUGGUGGCCCAUUACUACCCGUACGACUUACCAUUUUCUGAGUCACCUCGGAGACUUUGGUUGAUGGAUUAUUUGAUCCCUUAUUAUGACCCUUGGCAGUCUUGAUUUAGAUUUAGGCUUUUCUUAUUUUUUUAGGAUAGCUUUUAGAUACACUUGGCCCUUUAGGCACCACCUUAGGCCCACUUAGUCUCACCUUAGGCCCGUUUAGGUAUACUGGGUCUAUUAAGAUUUUUUUUAGCGUGACUUAUAUAACUUGCGUUUUUGCAUGGCUCAUAGGGCCCAUUUUUUGUUAAUUUGUUUAUUUUUAUUUUAUUUUAUUUUAUUUUCCUCUUUAUAUUAUUUUCCUUUAACUUAUUUAUUUAGUUAUUAUUUUUUACCAUUUUCUAAUUUAUUUACUUAUUUAUCUAUUCGUGCAAUUAUUUAACUUCUAAAAUUUCAUGUUUUUGCAAGGAAACUUACCAUUGGAGUUUAAGGAAAGUGGGACUCUCCUUGGAAGGUUUUGGAGGAGAAUUUGAAGUUGGGAAGAUUGCUUUGGAAUUGGAAGAUUUAAAAAAGGAUAAGGAGAAAAGAAGAGAGAAUAUAGGAGAUUUGACCUUUUUUUUUUAGGGAGAUUUAGGUUUUAGGGAAAGGCGUAUAUAUACAUGAGAAAGGAAGGAAAAAAGGGAGAAGAGGGAGCUUUUUUUGAUUGAGGGAGGAGAUUUUUUUUUUUUGAGCAGCAGGCAUUGGAGGAUUGGAGAAGUUUUGAGAGGAAGAAGGAGAGGGAAAAGAAGCAAUUGCAACCAAGGCUGUCCAGGUAUGCACCUCGUUGCUUUUGGAAUUCUUACCUAUAUUUGAUUUUUCCGCGUGUUCGAUUCCUGAAUAUUUAAUUGUUUUGUUGAUUUUGUGUGGACGAAAAGGGCCACAAUUUGUUUUGUUGAGAUUGGUUACUUGCUUGUUUGCCCUGUUUUGAUUUUGGAUGUCAUUAAUCUCUUCGGAAGCAUAUAACUCCAUGCCUGUUCCCACUAACCUGAGCCAGCCUAUUGAAAAAUCAUGAGAUGUGGUUUUAUUUUUUUUAAUCUCCCAUGUCUGUUCUCCCAUCGUUUCCUCUACUCUCUACUAUAUCUGUUUUGUCCUUCCUACCCAUCACAUGGCCAUCAACUCUUCAUAUGGGGGUGACUCCAAAGUUUGGGUAUGCAAUCACAAGAUUCAGCAAAGAGAUCAGCUCCUUCAAAAUUCUGGCUAGACAUGCCAUAUUGUGGGUUCAUAUAAGAGAAAGCCCAUGAUAGUUGCCGUUCUUUUCUUGUGAAUGGUUCUGUUCUAUUGUAAAAAAACUGCAGUCACAAUACAAGACCCAGAGGAGAUUCUUUCAAAUAGUCAUGUCCAAGUGGCUUAUCAGCCGUCUAUGCACUUGCUAAGGUUUGUGGCAGUCACGUAAAUUUGUGGAUUCAUAUGGAGAUCAGAGAUAUGGCUUCUCGGAAUUCCGCCAGUUCAGGGUAUAUACAUUGAGGGCAAAUUGAGGAGCACGGGAGUUGUUUGAAGAAAUACCAAUGAGAAGAAAUUUGGUUGAAAGAAAUUGAAAGCAGACGUUUUGAAUGAAGACACAGAUAUGAUUUUCAGUGGGAUGAGUUCAUGGAUGGAUUUGAUAGCAAACUUGGCUACAAUAGUGGUACUUCUCAGAUUUGUGAGACAACAUCUAUAGCAGCAUUGCUUUCAUGAGGACAGGCUGUAACUCCAAUGCAAUUAGUGGCACGUGUGCCUGCUCCUUUAUUUUACUGGCCAUUAAUUCAACUUGCUAGUGCAACUACUGAUGACAUUGUCCUGGGUAUUACCGUUGGAAGCGAAAGAAGAGGAAACCUACCUGGCGCCGCAUCAGACAUCCGGGCUAGCCUUCUUUUACUCUUAAUAGAAUUUAUCGAGAAGAGGAAUUUCUCUACAACCAGUUCUGGGAUAGGGAGAGCUUUGUUGAUGGUCCUAUUCGGUGUCUCCUUUGCAACUUGUAAGGUGAAUUCCCGAUCAGGACUGAGGAACUUGUUAACUUUUUAUCAACUCUUUGUGAAGGAAUUUGGCCAGCAGGAUGUGUGUAUAAUUUCCUCGAUAAAUCUGUUGGCAUAUCAUCCUUGUUAGAGAUUACUAGUGAUUCCUUGGUGGAUAAUUUUUCUCAGAUUAUUGAAACACGGGUGCCAUUGUAUGUUCUUGGGGUUGAAGGAUUAAUUAUUCAUAGUCAAACACAUGGUCAUGUUUUGAAAGUGAUUGAUGGCAGUACUGCUCUAGUAUGGUGGGAAUACACACAAUCUGGGGUGUUGGUGUUGUUUCUGCGUUUAGCCCAGAGGUUAUAUUUAGAUUGCAAUGAAGAAGUCCUUGUUACCAUGGAUCUGCUCUGUUGACUGGUACAGUUCUUCAAUGACGGCCAUAGGUGUCAGUAUUAAAAAAAAAAACGUGUUAAAAUGUUCUCCAUCUCAUGCUAUAGCCGUGGCUCUGAAGGCAAACAUAUCUAAUUUGGCUUCUAAGACAAGUACAUUUGAAACUCUCUUUACUGGCUCAACAAGUGGAUCAUGGUUGCUUUAUGGGAAACUUGCAAAAAAAUGUUCUCAAUUGACUGUGAGCAAAAUAACAGUUGCUGCCAGAUGACAAUUUCAGUGCUGGAUUUUACCAAACAGCUUGUAGAAAUUGGAGAGAAAAUUCAGCUACAACAACUUCAAGAACCGUUCAACACAUGGCUUUAAGAUGGUGAAGAGAGCAUCUUCUAGAGAAGGCACUGGUGACAAUUACUUGUACUGUCCAGCUUCACAUGACUUUUUAAAAGAGGAGGAAAGGCUUUGUUCCUGACCCCGGUUCUUCUAGCCUAAUGAGGCCUGAGAUCCACGACGAAUCUCUGAUUCCAAAUGCCAACGACCGGUCCUGAAGUGCCUUCAAACCAGGGGUAAUUCAUGUCUUAGUAACAGGAAGUGCUGGCUAUAUCGGUUCACAUGCUGCACUACGACUUCUCAAGGACUCAUACUGUGUAACUAUAGUGGAUAACUUCUCGAGGAGAAUAUUAAGUGCCAUUAAGGUUUCACAAGAACAAUUUCCUGAACCUGGGAGGCUUCAAUUUAUUUAUGUUGACCUGGAAGAUGUAAAAAUUGUAAACAUGAUAUUUUCAGAAAAUGCAUUUGAUGCUAUAAUGUAUUUUGCAGUUGUUGCUUAUAUUGGAGAAAACACCCUUGAACCUCUCAGGUAUUAUUACAAUGUUACAUCAAAUACGUUGGCAGUAUUGGAAGGUGAUGACAGCCCGUGGUAUAAAUACAUUAAUAUAUUCUAGCACAUGUGCAACAUAUGGAGAAGCUAUGAAUUUUAACCUGAACAAUUUUAGUACAGCAGUUAGAUUCUGUGGAAGGGCCUGGCAGUGAAUCUUUGCAAGUGUCAUUUGAUCAAAAAUCACGCACAAGUAAUUCUGAAGCCUCAGUUCACAAGGAGUUACAGUGGAUAUCAAUAACUGAAUUCAAAUAACCUCACGUUUAGGCACCAGAAUCUGCAUACAAGGGCAAAAGCUGAGACACCCUCAACUUCUAGGUUGGGAGAAGUGGUGAAAUCAUUUGUGAAGUAUCUGAAUUUGAGUGUGGGUAUAGUCACUGGUAGGUCUGAUUUGGUUGAACAUGGUGGAAGGCCAAGGUUGGAUGAUAAUUGCAGGGAUGAUGAUCAGCAUGGUUCAGUUAGAUCGAUUGGUGUAGGGAUCAGCAGUGAUGCUGCUGAUAUUGGCAGUGAAGUACCAGAAAAUUUGGUUGGAGGUAGUUGUGAAGAGGAUUUGGAGUAUUUUCAUGAUUAUGAUAUUGGAUUAAGACAUUCUCAACAGGAAUCUGAUAAGAAAUAUAAUGAUAGAUCAAAGAGGGUUAAAAAGAGAACAAGUACCUAUGAUUCUAAUGAGAAAUGAUAAGGGUGUGUGUACCCAGGUGAAAAAUCACCCAGAUAGAGAAUUUUCAUUCCCCCUCUUUUGAGAAAUGGGCAGUUGGUACAAGCAAGCUCUAGUAAAUCUUUAUGGUCAAAUAAUUGCAAUGCUUCUGCCAGUGAUGAAACUGAGGAUUGCUUGAAUGCUUUGAUGAGGAAUUUUGACAUGCUUGCUUCAUGGAGGCGGAAAAGCAAUGAUUCUUCACCUGUCAAGAGUUCUAAAUAUGAAAAUAAUGCUAAUGUUGUUAGAUCAGAGAACUCUUCUCCCUCAACUCUUUCUUAUCAUGGUUACAGUGAGCUAAAGUAUUACGUGAAUUUGGAAGAAAAGUGGAAAAGAUGGAAAAAUUGGGCCAACAAGAUUUGCUCUCAGGAAUGCGUGAAGCAGUAUCCAAUGAGAACCUUAGAGCAAUAGAUUCUAAUAUGCAGGCAGAAAAACUGAACUCAGAAGAUGCAGCCAGUUUUAGGUGUUAGCGGAUAAAUUUUCAAACCUAAACUGGAUCAAGAGCCGAAUCUGUGGAAUUUAGUUGUUGUUGAUGUGAUGCACAAGGCUAACUAUGCAAGCUGAAUUUGUCACUUAUGCUGACCUAAUUGUGAAGCCAAAGUUACUGCCGUGGAAGGUCAGUAUCAGAUUGGAAUCUACACUGUACGUCAAAUUCAAUAUGGCAAGGAGAUCACCUUUGAUUAUAAUUCAGUCACAAGAGAAUAAGGAAGAGUACGAGGUUUCUGUUUGUUUGUGUGGCAGCCAAGUUUGUCAAAUGUGUUAUUUGAAUCUAACAGGUGGAGUGGCAUUUCAAAAGAUAUUGAAAGGGUGUCAUGGAAUUCAGGAUCGGUAUCAAUUGAUGUUUGAAGCUCGUGAAUUAAAUAUGGUAUCUGAAGAAGUCUACAUAGACUUGGGAAGAACUGGAAGGGAAAGAAUUAAGUGCUGAGGCCUCCUCUUCUGGAACAAUAUUUGGGUCAUUUGUACACCUCAUAUGGUUAAAUGCACAUAUGCUUCUUAGUGUUUUUCAUUGUGAGCAGCCACAAGGGAGCGGUCAAGCUACCAUUGUCGCACCAACAGUAGAAGAGCAUUUCCUAUCUCAAUAACGCAGUAUUACUCCAGCAAACACUCAUGCUGAAAGGCAAAUCCGGGGCGCAAGACUUCAGCAUAAUCGACAAUUAGAUGCUCCCCUGUCCAAUGAAGAUAAACCAAUGGAAGAAAUGAAAUCCACUAUCUAUCAAAAAGACCUGUCCCAAAUCCGUCCAACAGAAGCUGGAUUGGUUGAAACUCGAAUCAUCACACUUUUCUCCUCUGUUGUGGCUCUCAAGAGGUCUUUAUUUGACACCGGAAGCGAUACCACUUCCGAAUCUGUAGUUGAGCUCUCUGCUGAGAGAGAAGUGAUUUCUUUUGGUUCGAUUGCACACCUUGAAAGUUACUGUUUCAGCUAGAAAUGCUAGUUCUUGAACUGCCAAGCGCGAAUAUUGAAACCUACUAGAUUUCAAGAAGCUAGAAGCGCUUAUCUAAUAACUUUUGGGAAGAGCAAGCACUUAUAAGAAUCUGAACUCCUCCUGGAGGCACUUCUCAGGACAAGAAGCUGCCCCAUUUCCAGCUAUAUUCAUUAGAAGAAAUCAUUUUGAUGAAUGUGGAAUUAUUUAUUGUCCUUCAAGACUGGACUAUGAAGAAGUUGCUGAAAGGUUAAAGGAAUGUGGACACAAAGCAACAUUUUUAUCACGGUUCCGUGGAUCCCGCUCAGCGUGCCUUCAUUCAGAAGCAAUUGAGUAAAAAAAUAAAAUUAAUACAACUUGCGUAACCCUGGCUUUUGGAAUGGGUAACAACAAAUCAGAUGUCCACUUUUUCAUUCAUUGUUUCUCCCAAAAUCAAUUAAAAGGCCUCGUCCAGAAUUUGUUGACAGGAGGCAGCAUUGUAUGUAUUACAGUCCAUACUCCAUUGAUAGGGACACUGAGCUCCAAUCAAUUACAAGAGUUUGUGAUAAUUCAAGACUACUUGGGAAGCCGCAACUGAUAGAAGAACAUGAGCUGGCAUUUUUAAAGAGGGAGAAAGAAGAGAUGGAAGCUCAAAAGAAACAGGCAGAGGCAUUUCAGUUAUCUCAACAGAUGCAGUUUUUGUAUAGUACAGAAAUUGUUAUGGGCCCUCAAGAUGAGGAAAGUACUGCAUAUCAUCACCAAUAUCCAACCGAGUCUUUCAGAUGCCUAUUGCGCAAAGAGAUGAUGAGUGAUCCAAUUGCAAUCGUCUGUGGGCAUAGCUGUGAGAGGAAGUUGAUUCAGGAAAUUUUCUGAAGAGAAGAGAAGACCUGCCCCAUAUGCAGAGAAAGGCUCAAGUCAUGGAGCUUACUCCAAAUCCUUUGCUUCGGAACUCUAUAGAAGAAUAGAAGCAAAGAGGCAUGAACUUAAGAUUCCAAGCUGCUCUUCUUGGAAUCACCCCCAAUGACCACUCUAUACAGAACAAAGCCUUGGAGGAGAUGCAAGUUCUAAUGGAAAGGCCACGCUAUACAGAAAAAGUUGCAAAUGAAGGCCUCAUCUCAAAAUUCGUGAUCUCUACUUCUGCAGAUCCAGAAGAGCCACUAGUGUUCAGAAAAGACCAUCCUAUAAAUUGAGAACAGUCUAAGAUACCAUGUAACAUAUUGUUUGAGAUGUUCAAGAAUCUUAGAUUAGCAAGGUCACAUAAUUCAUGUGGAAUCAGUCCAUGGAGGAGGUUCUCAGAAAUGUCUGGGCACUAAAGUUGUGAGAGAUGGCCAAAGUAUUCGGUUAUACUACCAGUGAGUCUAUUGCUAUGCUGAUCCAAGGAAGUCGGGUAAAGGCCAAUAAGAUUAAUCAGUUCUGAGAAAGAAGAAAUUGAACUAGACAGAUGAUUGAUGCUUAGAUCCAGAUCGGAAAAGCUUUGUAGCAUGCCAAUUGAAACGAGUGGUGGGAUCUAAGUUGAUUUAGAGAUUGAAGCAGAAUGGUCCAUCAAACACCCUUUUUUUUAAUAACUAGCAGAUUGCAAAGCUAUCAACAAGGGUCUUUUCAUGCAAGUAUCAACAGCUGAAUCAUUAGCACCUUCAUGCUUCCAAACUCUACUUCUAGCAUGGCCAUCUUGACGCACACCUCUUCCUCCAUUUUCUUCAUUGAGAAUUUACAGUUUUGAAUUGAUCUUUCAAACCCUUUUUCAACUGAAUAAAUUUAGCUUUGAAGAUUCAUCAAAUAACUUUAGUUUUCUUUAAAAGUUCCUUAGGAGCUUCUAGGUAUAAAAUCCCAACUUUAACAUGCUAUUCGCUGCCACUUUCCUUCAGGCAUGCAUUUUCACUAUUUUCUUUUAUUUUUCAUGGUUUUCUCGAUUUUCAACUAGCAUGAACAAACUUCAUAAUUCCAAGUCAUGGAAUUUAUGGAAUCAACUCACGCGAGAUUAAUUAGGGCUUUGGUGGGGGCCUGACAUUCAUGAUAUCCUCUUCCAUAUUGUUUGCUUGAUAUCUGAUUGAUUUUUGACUCCCCUGAUGAUAUACAUGAAUUUGUUUUAUAUCUAUUGUUGAGAUACCCUUGUUCCCAUAGACGUGUGGAUGCCCGCUAAUCAGGUACGCUCUCUUUACCUCCCAACUCUAAAAUUCUAUGAAUAUGUAUGUUAUCAUGAGCCAUGACCGUGUUUGAUGCCGUAUUUGAUUGUCUUGAUGCUUGCUUGAUCAUCUUUGAUAAAAUACAUGUAAUGUGUCAUAUUCCCAAACUAAUCUCUUAUGUUUUAUGAUAGCGCUUGAGAAGUUGUUCAGGUACGCGCUUCAACUCUCUCUUAUGGUUGGUUUUCUUAUUAGGCAUGCAAUAUUUGAAAUCACCUUAGUCUAUCUAGGUACUCUCAAUUAAUCAAUUAAUUGCCCCAUUUCCCUCAACUUAGUCAAUAGAGACCUCUUUGGGGCUUAGAGGGGUGCUACCUCCUAGAGGUACCUUCCCAAUAAGUAACCUAAUCCCCGUACCUAGACUCGGGUUUUUCAAAGAUAUGCUUUUUCCAAAACUAUGGAGUCACUUUUUAGGGUUUUUCUUUCUUGUUUUAUUUUCCCUUCAAAAUAAAAAUAAAAUAGGUGGCGACUCCAACUUUUCUAAAAUUAAUUUUUCACAAAUAAAAAGCGAGUCUCGCCGAUCGAGUGGGAGCGCACGUGAAAAAUGCGGGUCCACACCUGGUAUCAUGACAUUUAUCAGUUCUUGUCAUGUGGCGCUUACCCUGAGUCAACCACUGUCAAGGAUAGGAGAGCUUUGAGGUAGUUGGUCACUAGAUUUGUGAUUUGUGGAGAGUCCUUGUAUAGACGAUCGCCAGAUGGCCUAUUGUUGUUAUGUCUAAACCGUGCCUCUGCAGAUCGAGUAAUGAGAAAGGUUCAUGCAGGAGUUUGUGGCUUACACAUGGGAGGACACAUGUUAGCCUGAAAGAUUAUGAGGACAGGUUAUUUCUGGUUGACCAUGGAAGCAGAUUGUUGUCAGUUCGUUCAGAGGUGCCCAGAGUGCCAACUGCCCGAUGAUCUCAUUCACAUGCCACCUUCGGAGUUGCAUGCACUCACAUCCCCUUGGCCAUUUUCAAUGUGGGGUAUUGAUAUUGUUGGAAAGAUCUCGCCCAAGUCUUCCAGCGAGCACGAGUACAUCUUAGUAGCCAUUGAUUACUUCACCAAGUGGGUGGAAGCCGCUGGUGGCCAAAUUCAUCAGAUCAUAUAUCAUCUACCGAUACGGAGUCCCUCACGAGUUGAUCUCAGACAAAGGGGUGCAUUUCAGAGGUGAGGUGGAUACAUUGGUUCAGAAGUAUGGUGUUCAUCAUCAUAGAUUGUCUGCGUAUAGGCCAUAGACUAAUGGGGCAGUUGAGGCCGCCAAUAAGAAUAUUAAGCGGACUUUGAGGAAGAUGGUUGAGACUUCUCGGGAUUGGUCAGAGAAGCUCCCUUUUGCGCUAUGGGCUUAUCGCACUUCUUUUCGUACCUCUAUUGGAGCUACGCCUUACUCCUUGGUGUAUGGUAUGGAAGUAGUGCUACCUGUUGAGAUUGAGAUGAGAUCUUUGAGAGUAACAUUAGAGCAGUAGAUAUCCGAGACCAAGUGGGCUCAGUCUCGUUAUGAUCAGCUUAGCCUUCUAGAUGAGAGAAGAUUGAGGGCAGCAGAUCAUGUUUAGGCUUAUCAGAGGAAAAUGACCCGUGCAUUCAGGAAGAGGGUUAAGCCCAGGAAAUUUCAGAAAGGUGACCUCGUUUUGAAGGUCCUCAAAGGAUUGAUCAGCGACCCUAGAGACAAGUUUAGACCGAGCUGGAGCGGGCCGUAUGUUAUCUAAGAUUUGACCCGAGAGGGAGUUGCCUAGUUGAUAGAUCUAGACGAAAAUCGGUUUUCGGAGCCAAUCAAUGUGGAUCAGCUGAAGAAGUUUUACGUGUGAGAUCAUGGUCAGAGGAUGGGUGGCCAUCGUUUUGAGUAGCCAUAUUCCCUGUUGCACACCCACACAUUAAUAUAUCCCAUUGGUAGCCCGUUGAGCCUCACACAAUUCAUUAUGACCUAUUCGUUCACUUAGCCUUACAUACCUUUUCUCAUCUAGGUUGGGGGCCUCCUCUUGUGCGCUUUGCAUUUAUUGUCUAAAUCGGUGAGUAUUGUGAGUCCAUUGUGUCAUUGUUCGUUCGUUUCAUUUUUGGGUCAUUCAUGAUUUCUUCUUUCCUGCAUUGUCUAUCUUCACUUUGUCUAUCUUUGAGUUUUGUCUCUAUCCUUUCGAUUCUUUUCGUUUCUAUCUUCCCUUGUGUGAUGAUGACGUGCUCUCGUCCCGAAGCUGCAGGUCAAGCUUGUCUCACCCUUCAUUCCACCAUUAGGUUUUGAUCCAAGAGUUUUAGUUUGAGGGGACCAUUUGGGUUUGGGAUUUGGGGUACAUUUGUUAGAUCAUGUUGGUAUGGCCGUUGGCUUACUUUGUCGGUUGUUCCGCAAAAAAAAUAAAAAAUAAAAAAUAAAAAAAACAAAAUAAAACCAAAAACAAAAAAAAACUUGUGCUCAUUCGAUGUUCAUGUCAUUAAUAUUUGGGUUUUGCAUGGCUUGACGAAAGUAUCACGACUUGAUCAUCAGAGGUCAUUUUGGGUUUGAGAGACUUAUUCUUCUUUUGAGAGUCGGUAAGAACAUUGUACGACCCUUUUCUCCAUGGAUCUAGGAGACAUAUUGGGAGUGAGGUUUGGGUUUCCUUUACACUAGGUUCCUUGGAUCAUUAUCUAUAUCACCACUCCCAUCAUACAGUGACUUGCUUCGAUUUAGCGUUCAUGGGAUGAGUUGUUCGUCAUUAUCACACAUUACUACACGUUUAUCCCAACUUGUUUCUUCAUUUUCUUCUAUACCCAUUCAUCAUUCGUCUUAUCCCUUUUCGCUUUUUUUUACCCUCAUCGAUCAUCGUUUCGCUUCAUGAAUGACGUGUUCUUUGGUGCACAUCACCCGUCAUUGGAUAUUGUUCAUUUGGAUGUAGGGUUGAGUCACCUUACUCACAUGGUCCUCCGAUAUUUGACAUUGCGCACAAAGAGGCUUGGCAUUAUCUAUUAGGUAUUUGAUCCUUUGUUUCCCGUUGUUUCAUUCACCUUUUACCCCUAGCCUUCAUUACUGUCCGAGUCGUAAGACCACCCCGAGGCCAUGAGAUCUCGUGUUUGCUUCGAUGCAUUUCAUUCGGACAGGCUCCGUCUACUGAUUGAAGUAUGGGAUGCCGACAGUGCUCCAUUUCUUGAGGGAUAUCGAGGAUCGCAUACUGCUUUUCCAUUUCAUCUCUUCGCCUUUGGUCCAUGAUCAGAGACAGAUGAUGCAAAGAGUCAAGACUAUCCAGGACCCCCUCCGCUUGCUAGUUUGUUAUAUUCAUACUAGGGCAUACCCCUAUCCUUGCAUGAUGGCAUCAGUUCUUACACUGGGAAGCAGACAGCCCAUUUCACCAGGUGAUGCUUGGCAUCAGUGUUUGAGUAGGCCCCAGCAUUUAACUUGUUUUCUUCAUACAACAACUUGCUUCUAAGAGAUGGCCCGAGAUCAGAUUCAUGCGUGUUCGUCGACCCAGUAGAUGUGCACACUAGGGCAUACCCCAUACUUUGUCAUAUUCGCUUAUCCAGACGAUUGGGUUUCCAGUGAUAUAUUUCAGAGUUGUUUUUUUUUUUUUUCACCGAGGCACUUGCAUAUCAGAUGUACACACUGGGGCAUACCCCCUAUCUGUUUUUUUGUGGAUAUUGGAUGUUGCGGAAUAAAGUCGAUAUUGUUCUAUGAAUGAAUGUUGUGAUGUUUUCAUCUCUCUGACUUUGACCAUAUGUAUGGUUAUGGAAUUCUGACAUGGUAUGGAUAUCUUAGACUGGGGCAUAGCCCUUUCUUUUCACCUCUAGUCACGUUUCUGAGUUGUCCUACAAGGGCAUACUCCCUUUCUUUCCAUCUUGUUAGUGGUGUUCUAGUUUUCUCGCCUGUCAAUUAUUGGCAUUUUCUAGUCGUCACACUGAGGCAUACCCCUUCGUCUUUCAUGACUGAGAUGUUUGAUUUCUUGCUUAUUCGAAUCAUUUAGUGGCGUUCUCAUGUUCAUACUAGGGCAUACACCCUCUUUGUUUGUGUUGUUGUGCUUGGCUAGUUUUUUGGGUUUUCCGGUACUCGCUUGAAUUCGACCAUUUCCAGAUACUUACCCAGACCCUUUUUCGGUACUUGCCCAAAUACGGUCUAUUAUCCAGUAUUCACUCGGAUAUGAUCUAUUUUUUGGUACUUACCCGAAUACGAUCUAUUCUCCGGUACUCACUCGGAUACGAUCUCUUUUCGGUACUUGCCCAAAUAUGAUCUAUUCUCUGGUACUCACCAGGAUAUGAUCUCUUUUCUAGUACUCGCCCAUAUUCUACUUUUCUCGGUACUUGCCCGGAUUCUACCUUUCUUGAUACUCGCUCGGAUUCGACCCUUUCCCGGUACUUGCCCGGACCCUUUUUCAGUACUUGCCCGAAUACGAUCUAUUCUCCAGUACUCACCCGGAUACGAUAUCUUUUCUGGUACUCUCCCGGAUUCUAUCUUUCCUGAUACUCGCUCGGAUUCGACCCUUUCCCGGUACUCGCCCGAAUAUGAUCUAUUCUCCGGUACUCACCCGGAUACGAUCUCUUUUCCAGUACUCACCCGGAUAUGAUCUCUUUUCCGGUACUCGCCUAGAUACAAUCUCUUUUUUGAUACUCGCCCGAAUACGAUUUCCUCUCCGGCAUCAUGCCCAGAUUUCCGUGGGUUCUCCGAUACUUGCCCAAACUUGAUCCAUUUUCCUUUAGUCUAUUCUGGCACCGUGUCUAGAUCUCUUGAUCUUUUCAAGCAUCGCGUCUAGUUUCUUUUAGUCUUCUUUGGCAUCAUGCCCAAAUUCCUUUAGCUCUAUUCGGCAUCAUGCCCGGAUCCCUUAGUCAUUCCGGCGGCUCUUCGGCAUCGUGCCCAAAUCCCCUAUUUUCCGGCAUCGUGUCCGGUUUUCUUUUAUCUUUCCCGGCAUCACGCCCGAAUUUUCUUUGUUUUCUCUGGCAUCGCACCUGGAUCUUAUAUCUCUCCCGAAAACGCGUCCAGUUUUCUCCUAUCUUUUCUAGCACCUUGUCCAAAUUCCUUUAGCUUUCUCCGGUAGUGUGCCUGGGUCCUUUAGUCCUUCGGUCAUCAUGGCUCAUUCCCUUAGCUUCUUUAUGGUUGUGUGAGGAUAAAAUUGUUGGUCAUUUGAAUUCUUCACUAGAGUUCAUUUCACUCAUUCAUUGCUUAUACUUUGCAUUCGCGACAUUCAUUCACUCUACUAAAGAGGGGCAUAUUUGUAGACCCUCAAUUUUGUCCCUUGACACUUGCAUUUUAUCCUAUGGGUGUCACAUGCACCCAUGCUUUCAUAUGACCCUGCCAUGGCCCCCUUUUGGCCUUGAUUGGUUUCUGAGCCUUGUGUAGGUUCAUUUAUGGUCCAAUGUAGUGCCAGUGUGUAGUUCAUUUUGGAGUUCCAUCAUGGCUAAUUUCCCUAGUUAUUCACAUCAUGCUAUAGGGAAGGAAGUGAGGCCCCCUAAAAAUUUCAGUUUGGUUGGAAUUCAUAGGAGCAGGUCCGAAUUUGGAGCACUUGGGCUUGUUUUGAUCAUAUCUCCCUCAUCCAAACUCAGAAUUGUGCACCGUGUUUUUUAUGGACUCCUUAUUCUUCAAGGAACAUUCUGUCAAAAUUUCAAAUUUUUUCUCAAUCGGCUCGACCGGUUCCCAAAGUUUCAGUUUAGGUAGAAUUCAUUGAAGCAGGUUCGAAUUUAGAGCACUUAGGCUUGUUUUGAUCAUAUCUCCCUCAUCCGAACUCAGAAUCAUGCACCAUUUUUUUUAUGGACUCCUUAUUCUUCAAGGAACAUUCUAUCAAAAUUUAUAAUUUUUUCUCAACCGGCUCGACCGGUUCCCAAAGUUUUAGUUUAGGCAGAAUUGAUUGAAGCAUGUCCGAAUUCAGAACACUUAGGCUUGUUUUGAUCAUAUCUCCCUCAUCCGACCUCGGAAUCAUGCACCGUUUUUUUUAUGGACUUCUUAUUCAAGGAAAAUUAUGUCAAAUUUUCACAAAUUUUCUUAACCAUAUCGACUGGUUGGAAUCCGAUUCAACUGGUUCAUCGAGUCAGCUUGUUUGGAGCACUGAUUUUGGUGAUUUUGAAGCCCAAUUCCUACAUGGCUCCAGAUCAGUUUUUGGUUGUAUUUUGGAUCCAUUUUGGCCUUAUUUCGGAUUCCUUGCAGCCCACCAUAAAUCCAUAUGGAUCCUUGGUGGGGAAGCAAGUUUAAAGCUUAAGAUAGUCAGCUUGCAUGGAAAAUGAGGAGGGGAGUUAAUGGGGAAACGGAUUCCGAGACUGACUGGAGCUCUUUCCAGAGCUUGAAGAAGAGAAAAACGAAGAGGAUUUGGUGGCUGGAGGUCUGGGACUAUAAAAGAGGGAAAAAAUCAGAUUUGAAGGGACUUCUUCUUUUUCUGAGAGGGGGGACUCUGUGGAAUCAUAGGAGAGGAAUUUUAUAAGAGGUUUUUGGAGGGUUUCUUUUCAUGAGUGGUCUGAAGGAGUGAAGUGAAGGGGUCCUCAGACUUUUGGGGGUCUCGGAUACAUUUGGAGAAGCUUUGCAAGCUAAAGGAGCAUCUCUCAAAGGCUGGUUCUUUAGGUACGUUUCUGGUUCCUCACAAAACUCUAGCUUGCAUUCGGUUCCUCUUUCUGAUCGUUCCAGAAUGCUUAAUGCUUUAUUGAUUGGUGUAGACAAAAAGGGCCACAAAUUGUUAUGUUGAAAUUGGUUCUUUGUGUGUUUUCCAUGAUCUUCAUUCAGUUAAUGUCAUUGAUCUCGUUUGAUUUUGUUCAUGUUAAAAAUCUAUUUUGAAUCAUUCUCCCGUUUUAAUGUCCAGACCUAUUUUAUAAACGCGUUGCCUUGUUUUGACCGGUUCUUCCUCAUUCAGGCUUGGAAAUGAGUGUCGUUACUUUUUUUGGAUUAUUUAUUCUUUUUGAAAUCUACUGUUAAAAUUUCAGAAAUUUUCUCAACCGGUUGUAUUGGUUGGGAACCGGUUCAACAAGUCCUACAUGUCCAACCUUGUUUUAUAAGCAUGUUGCCUUGUUUUGAUCGGUUCUCCCUAAUCUGGGCUCGGAAUUGAGUGUUGUUGCUUUUUUUGGAUUCUUUAUUCUUUGAGGAAUCUAAUGUUAAAAUUUCAGAAUUUUCUCAACCAGUUGAACGGUUUGGGAACCAGUUCAACAGGUGGCUUUGUGGCAGCCUCGGUUUUGAAGCAUUUUGCAUUGUUUCGGCCGGUUCUCCCUCAUUCGGGCUCGGAAUUGAGCACCAUUUUUUUUUUUUGGAUUCCUUAUUCUCUGAGGAAUAUUCUAGUAAAAUUUCAGAUUUUUUCUCAACCGGUUGAGUCAGUUGGGAACCGAUUCAACCGGUUCUUCUAGGUAGCUCCAAUUUCAGCGUGUUUUGACGCCCAUUUUUGUUGUGGCUUAGGCCCUUAGGCUCCAAGGCACUUGUAGGCCACCUUUAGGGUUUGAAUCCAGAUUUUAUUUGAAUUAAUAUGAACCCACCUAUGAUUUGAGGGUAUUAUUGGCUAGGAAGGUCGGGGGGCUUAUUGUGAAUGUUUGGCUUAGGCACAUUUUGAUGUUUGAUUAAAAAUGCUUGUGUCUAGUGAUUUACCCCUGUUUGCAGCGCUUGGUUGGGGACCUGAGGUACGUACUUGACUUGUUGGGAAUUGGAUUCAUUUGCAUGCGUGGGGCUUGGAUAUGUUUGCUCGUUGUGUGUUUAUAUUGCUUGACUAACCUCUUAUGUAGCGCUUGGCUAAGGACCUCAGGUACAUACCUUUUAGCUUUGAUUUGUGGAGACUAAGUGCACGCUAGAUACUGAGUAGGUUCAUGUGAUCUAUGUCAUUUGUUUAGCUUGAUUGAUCGAUUGAUCUUUGACCCAUAUGCUCCUAUGUACCCAAUUCAUUAGUAGAGACCGAGUUUCGGGCCUAGAGGGGUGCUGCCUCGCAUGAGGUACCUUCUCAAUAGGUAACCUAAUCCCCAGGCCCAGAAUCUAGUUUUUGCAAACUGCUUUUUCCAUACUGGAGUCAUUAAGGGUUUUUGUUCUUGAUUUUCCCCUUAUAAAAUAAAAAUAAAAAGUAAGUAGCGACUCUAAACAAAACCAUUCCUCACUGAGGACGGAUUUUCCAAAACCCGAAAACACACUUACUUUCUUAUUCUUUUAAAAAGCGAGUCGUGCUGACCCGUGGACCGGGUGAGGGUCCACACUAAGCCUCUUGAGUUGUUGCAUAUGGAUUUAUUUGGUUCCUCUAGGACACCAAGUCUUGGAAGAAAAUCUUAUGCAUAUGUUAUUAUGGAUGACUUCUCUAGAUAUACAUGGGUCUUGUUUUUAAGUCCAAAGAAUGAAGCCUUUUAUGAGUUUUCAAAUUUUUGCAAUAAGGUUCAAAAUGAAAAAGGUUUUACAAUUACUUGUAUAAGAAGUGAUCAUGAGAGAGAAUUUGAAAAUAUUGAUUUUGAAGAAUAUUGCAAUGAGCAUGGAAUUAACCACAAUUUUUCAGCUCUUAGAACUCCCCAACAAAAUGGGGUAGUUGAAAGGAAAAAUAGAAUUAUUCAAGAAAUGGCUAGAACCAUGCUAAAUGAAAACAAUUUACCAAAAUAUUUUUGGGCCGAAGCGGUUAACACUUCUUAUUAUGUUUUCAAUAGAAUAUUAUUGAGGCCCAUUCUUAAGAAGACUCCUUAUAAGCUUUGGAAAAACAAGAAACUCGACAGUAGCUAUUUCAAAGUCUUUGGGUGUAAACUUUUUAUAUUAAACACCAAAGACAAUCUUGGAAAAUUUGAUGCAAAAUCGAAUAUUGGAAUUUUCCUUGGUUACUCAACUUCAAGUAAAGCUUUUAGAGUUUUUAACAAAAGAACCAUGAUUGUAGAGGAGUCCAUCCAUGUUAUUUUUUAUGAAUCUAACCAUUCUCUCCAAGAAAGAGAGAGUUUUGAUGAUUAUUUAGGUUUGGAGACCUCCAUGAAAAAAUUGCAAAUUGAAGAUAGAAGGCAACAAGAAGAAAUUUGAGAGGAUCCCAAGAAAGAAGAAUCACCAUUGGCAUUACCCCCUCCUCACCAAGUGCAAGGUGAAUCAAGUGAAGACCUUCCUAAAGAUUGAAAGUUUAUCAUUAACCACUCACAAGAUCAAAUUAUAGGUAAUCCAUCUAGUGGUGUAACAACUAGAUCAUCUCUUAGAAAUAUUUGCAAUAAUCUUGUUUUUAUCUCUCAAAUUGAACCUAAAAACAUAAAUGAUGCUUUAGUUGAUGAAAAUUGGAUGAUUGCUACGCAAGAUGAGUUAAAUCAAUUUCAAAGAAGUGAAGUAUGAGAAUUAGUACCAAGACCUUCAAAUCAAAGUGUUAUUGGAACUAGAUGGGUCUUUAGAAAUAAAAUGGAUGAAAAUGGCAUAAUUGUUAGAAAUAAAGCAAGAUUGGUAGCCCAAGGUUUUAAUCAAGAAGAAAUGAUAGAUUAUGAAGAAACCUUUACCCCCAUAGCUAGGUUGGAAGCCAUUAGGAUGCUACUUGUCUUUGCAUGUUUUAAAAACUUUUCUUUAUAUCAAAUGGGUGUGAAAAGUUCUUUUUUAAAUGGCUUUAUAAAUGAAGAAGUAUAUGUUGAACAACCACCCGGUUUUCAAAGUUUUAACUUUCCUAAUCAUGUUUUUAAACUUAAAAAGGCACUCUAUGGUUUGAAACAAGCACUUAGAGCAUGGUAUGAAAGAUUGAGUAAAUUUCUUUUGAAAAAGGGUGUUAAAAUGGAAAAAAAUUGACACAACUCUUUUCAUAAAGACCAAAAAAUAUAUAUAUAUGCUCUUAGUUCAAAUAUAUAUUGAUGAUAUUAUUUUUGGAGCUACUAAUGUCUCUCUUUGUGAAGAAUUUUCUAAGUGCAUGCAUAGUGAGUUUGAAAUGAGCAUGAUGGGAGAACUCAACUUCUUCCUUGGACUUCAAAUAAAGCAACUAAAGGAAGGAACCUUCAUCAAUCAAGCAAAGUAUAUAAGAGAUCUUCUCAAAAGGUUCAACAUGGAAGAAGCCAAAAUAAUGAAGACUCCAAUGAGCUCAUCGAUCAAGCUUGAUAAGGAUGAGAAAGGUAAAUCCAUUAACUCAACUAUGUAUAGAGGCAUGAUAGGUUCUUUGUUAUAUUUGACCGCUAGUAGACCCAACAUUAUGUAUAGUGUAUGCUUGUGUGCUAGAUUUCAAUCUUGUCCUAAAGAAUCUCACUUAAGUGUCUUAAAACAAAUUCUUAGAUAUUUGAAAGGGACAAUGGACAUAGGCUUAUGGUAUCCUAAGAGUGAUAACUUUGAAUUAAUUGGAUUUUUGGAUGUCGAUUUUACCAAUUGUAGGGUUGAAAGAAAAAACACUAGUGGCACUUGUCAUUUCCUAGGACACUCACUUGUUUCAUGGCAUAGUAAGAAUCAAAAUUCGGUAGCUUUGUCAACGGUUGAAGCUGAAUACAUAGUAGCCGGUUUAUGUUGUGCACAAAUUCUUUGGAUGAAACAAACACUUGGUGAUUUUGAUUUAUCUUUUGAGCAUGUUCCUAUUAAAUGUGAUAAUACUAGUGCCAUACAUAUAUCAAAAAAUCUCGUGCAAUACUUUAGGACUAAGCAUAUAGAGAUUAGACAUCAAUUUCUUAGAGACCAUGCACAAAAGAGUGACAUAGGACUUGAAUUUGUAAGCACAAAAAAUCAACUUGCCGAUAUCUUUACAAAACCUCUAAGUGAAGAACAAUUUGUUGACAUUAGAAGACAACUAGGAGUGAUUUAUUUAUGAUCUAAUGAUUGCUUCUUGAUGAAUAUAUCUUCUGAUUGCAUGAAUUUCAUGUCAUAUGCAUCAUAUAGACACAUACUUAGAUAAAUGGUCAAAUUUUGACCAAAAAUCAAAAUUCUCUUGGCAUUGGGCAUAAAAAAUUGGGGAUUUCAACUAAAAAGGGCAGAGGGAGGAGGGGAUCAGAAAACGAGAAAAUGCACAAAAUGUGAAAAAUCAAUCUCGUUAACCACGUUGACCAGGUUGUCGACCAAACCAGGACCAAUCAACCAAUUCAUCGGGACUAGGGAUUUAAAAAGACUCCCACGCAUCAUUUUCUCCAUUGUUCUCCUCCAUUUCUUUAGGGUUUUUCACAUUUCGGCUUCCAGAGAUCAGUUUAAGCAAGGUUUAGACCGAUUGAAGGCUUUGGAUUGGAUUUUUAGGAGGAUUGGAGUGUAGGGUUUCGGUUUUGGACUACACUUUCUUCCUCCUACGCGCCAUAACCAGGGUUUUCUUCAUUCUUGCGCACUUAGGGUUUCAGUUAUGAGUGCUUCUCUCUCUACCAGCCUCGUCUCCUUUGUUUCUAUCUUGCUCAUGGCUCCUAGGAGAGAGUUGGCUACCUCUAUGGCACAAGACAAGCGCCCAGCUAAGCCAUUUCAGCCCCCUCUAUCAGAGGCUCGUCGAUAGGCAAGGUUUGACACCUCCCUAUUCAGCUCCAUGGAAGACUACCAGCGGUACAAGCAAAAGUUUGCUUAGAGGAAAGUAGUUCCAGGGAAAAGUAUCAAUUUCUCCCAACUCCAGCAUUUCGGAUUUGAGGGAUUGUUUGGUAUGAUGGGUUGGUUGCCUAUGGUGACGAUUUUGGAGCUGAUUUUUUCGAUAUUGGUGUGAGCCUUCUAUUUGAGGGCAACAUAUGGCAUUGGUGGCCCAAUUAUUUCCACCGUUAGAGGAGUCAAGAUUCGGCUGGACUUGGAAAGCAUCUGCCACAUUUUCAAUAUUGCUCUAAUUGGACUUAGGGUGUACGAGUCUAAGAUUUGGCCACUAUGUUGGGUUUUAAGCCUAGAGAGGCCAUUCAGAGAAUGUGCGGACUUGCAGACGCCUAGAGGAUGGGCAAACCAUCAGCCCACAACUUGACCGUGAUCAACAGAAUACUACACCACAUGAUUUGCUCUAUCUUGCUACCACGAGGCGAACACAAAGACGAGGUCUCCUAUUAUGAAGAAUUCCUCAUGGACUCUAUUCUAAUGGGGAGACAAAUUCACUUGGAAUAUUUGAUGAUGAUGCACAUGAUCUCAUGUUGCGAGAGCAUGACCCGUGUACUCCCCUAUGGUUGUUUCCUCACUAGAGUGUUCAAGGAUGUCGGGGUUGAUUUGAGUAGAGAGACAGAUUUUGAGGCCCCCAACAUAUAUGAUACAUAUGAUGAGUAGUCUUUGGGGCGAGUGAAAUUUGAGAAGGCCCCCGAUGGUUCUUGGAUUAGGAGAGUAAAGAGACCACCAGCAUAGGCCUGGGAAUAAGGACAGGUACAUCCUGGUGUAAAAGAGGAGGACAAGAUACAAGAGAUAAAAGGUAGAAUAGACCCUCAGAGAGGCUUUGAGCUGAAAGAUCUCGAGCUUGACAUUCCUCCACUCCAGUCAGAGGUUGUUUAGUUUGAGGCCAUAUUUUCUGAGUCGAUAAUGUUUGAGCUGACUUACACAGCGGGACCAUCUUCUCAGCCAUCAUUCACUAAGCCUCCUCACACAGAGAUACCACCUCAUUAGGCAUCUCACACUCUUAAUCAUGUGCCUUGGAUGGAUCUAUCUGCUCAAAUUAGCUCUCUCAGCACUCGUAUGAAGGAGCUCGCAGUAGUUAGUGAUACUUGAUUCUACUCCAUGGAGGAUCCAUUGAAUCGAUAUCAGACUGGUUUCACUUCUCAGUUUGAGCAUUUUCAGCAAAGAUUUGAGCGUAUGGAGGAUCACAUGGAUCAACAGCAGGCUGCGUUUGAGCAUCUCCAGCGAAGGAUUGAGCGUAUUGAGAGUCUCCAAAAGAGUUAGCAUGAGGAGAUAAUGGCUUACCUAUGCUCCGUGUUUCCACUUCCACUUCCUCAGCCUUGAUUUCAUAGAGACCUCCUUCGUUUCUUUUUUAUAUUGCCAAAAAGAUGAGAGAUAUUUAAGAUCUAGGAGACUUACAUGCAUAUCAUUGUCAUAUCUUUUGUUUGGAUCAUAUAUAUGAUAGGCUUAUAUGUUUCAUGUACAUUUGACUUAUAUAUGAUAUGCUAUAUGUUUCAUGACUUACACUGUUUCAUAUUGAAAAUUUACAUGUCUUGAUUAUCUUGGUUUUAACUUCAUAAAUUUUGAUUGAUUGAUCCAUGAUUGGUUUGAGGGGGAGAUUUUUCUUCUCCUAGAUAACCAAGGUUUAUCAUCAUAAAAAAAGGGAGAUUGUUAGCCCAAGGGUUCUCCUAAUCAGGUUUUGAUGAUAACAAACCAUGGUAAAUUUACUAAUUGGAUUAAAUUGUAAAGAAUCUCAAGUAUUAAUUUGAAAAUUCAUCAAAUGACCUAAUGGAUACAAGAUCAAGACGUCUGGAAGACCUUUAAUCAUAGAAAAUAAUUGUAAGAUGAAUGCAUGGGUGCACUUAGGUUUUACAUAUCAUUUCAUGCAUUUUUGGAAAACUCGAUUUAUUCUUUAAAGUUAUAAUUUCAUUAAAACCCGAGUUUUAUCAAAUGUACCUUCAGCAAAACAUUUCAAAAUUAGUAUAUUAAUUUACCUAAAGACCUUUCCUAAGUGUUAGAAAAGAAAAGAACAUAAAAAGAUAGGUUUUCGGUGCCCAAAGGUUGAACCGAUCGAGGCAUUGGGCCAACCGGCUCAACCGGCCAGGGUACCGGUCGAAGAGUGCUAAAAACACUCUCUCUCAUCCAGUAGUCUUCCCUUCCUGCUCGAGGUAUCCUUAUUCUCGGUUGACCUCUGAUCGAGGUCCGGUUGAAGCAACGGUAACUUGCUAAAGCACUAAAUGCUCCAACAGUUAGUGAACUAGUCAACCCACAGCUCGACCGAUUGUGGCUGCUUUUUGUUUUUCUUGGCUCUCGAGGUUAGAAACCUAUAAAUUGAGAGUUUCACUUCAUUUAUGACAUAGAGAACACUUGCAUUUAAUUGUCUACCCACUUGUUCUUGCCUUAAAAGCUCUCAUUUCUUUCUUGGUGCAUUAAAUCUUCACUUGCAUAUCUUUUAGUGCACCCUUGUGAGUCAUCCUAGCUUUGAUUUGUAUUUGAGCCAUUAUUGAGCUAGGUUGAUAGAAGAUCAUCCCUGUAAAUUUAGUGUUAGAGCCUUCAAGUGAGUUGAAUCUUGAAGAGAUUGUGUAAGAGCCCAUUAGAGUCGGAAUCCAAGUGUAAAAGAGAUUAGAAGCUUGGUUGAAGCUUCAAGUUAGUGGAAUCCUCACUCGGUUAGGAGAUUGAGGAGAGUGGACGUAGGCAAGGAAGUGUUGAACCACUAUAAAAUCUGAGUUUGAAUUCUCUAACUCUAUCUCUUUAUAUUUGCUUCUAUUGUGCUUGAAUUUGUUGUGUUGAAAAAGUUUUUGAAAAACCCAAUUCACUCCCCUCUUGGGUGUUUUUCUCAUUUAAGAUUAGCUUUUAUUUUCUCAAAUACUAUAAAAAAAAUUAAAGUAAAUUAUUUUUAAAAUUUUGUUAUCUUUUACAUUUACAAUUUAUAUUUUAAUAGAAAGAAGACUAAUAGUGCAUUUUAUUGGGGAUGAAAUAUUUUAGUCUCCAAUAUUGAGUUUUUACAACAAAACAAUUUCUUCUCUAAUAAAUUUCUUUAUUCCUCCGUCUAAUGGUAUUAAGACAAUAAUUUUGUCCCUCAUUGUGAGGUUUUUCCUCUCCAAAACUAUUUAACAACAAAAGUAUUUUUAUUGCCCAUUAUUUACCUUUUGGGACGACAUUAAGUUUUCAUCUCCUAAUAUAUUUUUUACCAUGAAAUAUUUUGUUGUUAAAAUUUAUGAUGUCGUCACAAAUAAUUUGGCCUCAUUUCACACUCAAUUAAAAUUUUAGACACAAAUUUUUGUAACAAAGUCAAAUUUUGUUUCCCAAAAUCAAAUUUAGAGACAAAAUUAUAUUCAUGUCCAAAAAAAUUGUGCCAAAAGGUAGAAUUUCUUGUAGUGCCUUUACUUAUUAGAUGAACGAUAAAAAAUUUUCCUUCUCAUUCUCUCUCUCUUUAACAUGUAAGCUAAAUAAAUAAAUAAACAAGAAUACAUUUCUUCAAAUACUUUUACCUUAAAUUUUACUCUAUAGAGAAUAAAAAUAGUCAAUGGUAAAAUCAAUCUCAACAUUUAUCUCUUUGUUCUUCUCUUUUUUAUUUCUUCAUCUAUCUCUCUAGGGGUUUUCUAUCAUCUCCAGAUUCUUCAAACUUAUAUAUAUUUAAAACUAAAACUCCCCAAACUUGGUUUAAAAUUUGUAACUCCCCAAUCGUGGUUUAAAAUUGUAACUUUUUUAUUUUUUUUAUUUUGUUUUUAAUAACGUAUCCUUAUCUUUAUCCUUAUUAUUAUUAUUAUUAUUCUAUGAACUAAAUUAGGAAUAUUAGACUAUCCCCUCUUUUAAAAAAAAAGUUUAGUCUUCUAAACCUAGCAUACUUGAAAUUAGAAAAAAAGAUGUGGAAACUUUUCCCUCAUCUCAUCUUCAAGUUCCCAAAUCACCUCUCGUUUGGAGUGAUUACUCCAUUGAACUUUAACUAAUUUGAUUGUUACAAGAAGAAACAUCUUAUCCAUCAUGUCAACAAUCUGAAUUGGAACUUCCUCAUAAGAUAGAGUUUAUGUGAUUACUACUCAAAAAGUGCUCUUUUAUAGCUUGAAAUUAACUAUUUUAAACACUUUUGAGUAGUAGUUAAUACUUUUUAACUCAAUUGGCACAUUAAGGAACCUAGCAAGGGUUACUAAUCAGUUUUUGGCUAGUUUUGGUGUUUUUGGUAGCUUUUUUAUCAUUGAAACAAGCAAAGAAUGAGGGCGAAUUUUGUGCAAUACAUGGCAAUGCAAGUCGAAGCUCAAAUACAUGAAGAAUCUGAGUUUUGGAGCACUUCAUAGCCCUUUGCCAAGCUUGGCAAUAGGUUGCCAAGCCAAUCAGAGAUGUAAGGAAGAAAACCACAGGAAAAAAUCCAACAUGUAGCAAUUUUGAAUGUCUAUGCGAAAGAGAAGGAACAACUUCAGGACUGAGUGAAGGACAAUUUUGCACACUAUUCAAAAUUUCACACACCCUGCGAAACCACAAGAUGCAACAAAACUGAAUUUCGCACACCAUGCGAAAUUUCGCAUGGUUUGUGAAAUCCUCCUGUGCACCAACUCUGUUAGAUUUUUAUCUCUAGAUUUUGUGUAAAUUACUAUUUUCUCCUAGUAAUCAACCAAUGAUAGGAUUUCUUGGUUAGGAACUAUAAAGGGGGGUUGGAAAGACCUCUCCAUAGAAUAUCUUUUUAUAUAAUCUUUUGGACAUAUGACACUUGUAAUUCCCAUUGGAAGAAAUAAAUAGAGCCCUUACUCUGCCCUUCCUUUUCAUUUUCUUUUCAUUUUUCUUUCUAGCCAAACGACCUCUGAGGAUGAUUUCUCAGGGGAUGAGUGGCUAAGUUUUACGUUUCUUGGAGUGAUGGAAACUAGGUGAAGAAUCCAGAUGCAAAGGUGGGAGUUUUCCUUGCUUUAAAUGAAGGUAGUUGUUAACCAUUAAUGGUUUUUAUUUCAAGGUUUAGCUUUAAAUCCCUUAUGAUUACUACCCAAAGAGUGCUAUUUUAUACCUUUAAUUCAAUAUCUUUUAAGCACUUUUGUGUAGUAAUUCUCCAUCUUUAUUCCAAUUGGCAUGUUAAGGACCUAGCAAUGACUUCUAAUCAUAUUUGUGGCUAGUUUUAGUGUUUUGAUAGCCUUUUGGAUCAUUAAGACAAGCUAAGCAAAAGAAAGAAGCAAAGAGAAGCAAAGUGAAAAAAUCAGAGGACAGCAGCUGUAGUCUUCUUUCGCACUUUUGGAGCACUUACCGAAGUCCAUUUUCUACAUGCUAUAUACCAUUUCAAAGCUCAGGAAGUCAAGAAUCCAACGCUUCAAACUGUGUACGAUUUCAAGCUGAAAUGAGGAAGAUAUGGCCUUCGGAAGCCAACCGCUCCAGGUUGUGCGAAAAUUUCGCACGACACCUUGUGUUGUGCGAAAUUCGCACAACACCUUCAAAAUUCGCACAACCCAUGCGUGGUGCGAAUUUUGCUCUGUUUUUGCCGAAUCCACUUUAGAUAUUUUCUUAUGUAUUUUUUGAUGUAAUUUCCUUUCUUAUCCUUGUAACUAACCAAUCACAAGCUUUUGCUUUUGUAAAGACUAUAUAAGGGGUGGAAGUCACCUCUUGAAAAAAUACAUGUUACGUUUGACACUUAGAAAAUUUACAGAGCUCUCUCGUUUCUCUUUUCUCUUUGCUAUUUUAUUUUUCUUGGAAGCCAAAUAAUCUCUGAGGAUGUUUUCCCGGAGGAUGGGAGGCUAAACUUUUGGUUUCUUGGAGUAAAGGAAGCUAGGUGAAAAGUCCAGAUGCAAAGGUGGAAAGCUUCCGUGCAUUAAAUUCAGGUAGUUGGAGUUCAUAAAUGGCUUCUAAAUCCAAAGUUUUGCUUUAAAUCCCUUAGAAUCACUAUGAAUGGCCAAUACAUAGUAAGCUUCAGGUCUCUAUGGAUGCUUAUUGCUAGAUCCAUAUCAGUCCAUUAGUUAUCAUGUACGAGCCAUUGGAAAGUGGUUCAAGGUGAAGACCCUUAGUGUCUUAAGCCAUUAAUGGACCUUGACUACCAUUUCUAUUGACUUUUUAUGGAUUAAAUCUUCAUUGUCAAACCUAUACCGGUUCGGGAAAUAACUAUAGGUUAAAUCCCCAAUGCGAGGAGAAAAAUCCGGAAUUUUCCACUUUGCAUUCUGAAAUUGAUCCUAGCAACCCUUAGCUCCGGGAGACUUUCUUUAUUCCAUUUUCACUUAGUUUAUGUUAGUUUAGUUUCAAACACUUUCAAAACAAAUUUUAUUUUCUUUUUAACUUUAAGUUUUUGAUAAAGGAAAUCAUUAAAUUCAAUUUCUAAUCUUGAGUAUAUCACUGGUAGAAUGAAAACCCAUCCCAGAGUUCGACCCUAGAGCCACUAUACUAUAGUAGCUUUGCUACGCUAGUAUGAGGUCAUAGGUUUUAUAAAUGUUUUUUAUUAAAUGACCCAACUGGAGUUAUACGCAAAUCACCUUAGAAUCACCUUGAAUGGCCAAUACUUGGUAAGCUUUCCAGAUUCUAUGGAUGCUUAUUACUAGAUCCAUGGACGUCCAUUAGUUAUCAAGUAUGAGCCAUUGGAAGGUGGUUCAAUGUGAGAAUCACCUUGAAUGGCCAAUACUUGGUAAGCUUUCCGGAUUCUAUGGAUGCUUAUUGUUAGAUCCAUGAAUGUUUAUUAGUUAUCAAGUACGAGCCAUUGGAAGGUGGUUCAAGGUGAAGGUCUUUAGUGUUUGAAGCCAUUAAUGGGAAGCAACUACCAUUUUUCAUGAACCCUUUGGAUCAAAUCUUAAUUGCUAAAUACAAAACCGGUUCGGGAGAUAACCAUCCUUUAUGUUAUUGUCCCCUAUGUGAGGAGAAGAUCUGGAAUCUCCCCCUUUGCCUAAAGAACCCAAUCCUAGUGACCUAAAGCUCCAAGAGACAUCUCUUUGUAGUUAACUUCAAUUGCUACUUUUGCUUAACUUAAAAUCAACCUUUUCAACCACAAUUCCAUUUUCUUUAAAAGCUAAUUUUCAUAAUGAAAAACACCAUUUCAUUACCUUUACUAAAGUCACUUGUACGAAGAAAACUCAUCCCUGUGGACGAUCCUAGAGCCACUAUACUAUAGUAGCCAUGCUACCCUAGUGUAAGGUGAUUUAGGUUUUAUAAAUUUUGUUGAUAACACCCGUCUGGCGAAAGAAUCAAAUGGCGUUGUUGCCGGGGAUGGUGCCAAAGUACAUUGACAUUACUUUUGGUGAACACUUGUGAUCUUCAUCACGAGUUUGGUGAUUUUUCUUUUACUAAUUCUUUUUCUUUGUCUCUAUUUUAGCUUAUCUUUUAUUUAGUUUUUAGCUAACCUUAACCUCUUUUUAAAAUUGUAUUUCUUUUGUUUUCUUUGUUUUUGUUUCAAUGAUCUCUAGUUGUGCAUGCCCUAUUGGAUAAGAGAUAUUGAGGGAAGACUUGUGAAGAUUGAAACUCCUCAAGAAACUGAGUUGGAAGUGUGCUUGAACAUCAUGGAUGUUCCACCUGAAGACCAGAAUAGCCAACAUGGUCAAGAGGAUAAUUUCAAUGCAUACCGAUCCAUGAGGGACCGCAUGCAUCUACCUCGUAUGAGUGCACCUUCAUGCAUAGUGCAUCCUAUUGAGCAACUAGUAAUCUGACCUCACAUUAUGCCACUCCUACCUACUUUCCAUGGGAUGGAAAGUGAGAAUCCCUACUCGCAUAUUAAGGAAUUCGAGGAGGUUUGUAAUACAUUCCAAGAAGGAGGAGCUUCAAUUGACUUGAUGAGGCUCAAGCUAUUUCCUUUCACCUUGAAGGAUAAGGCCAAGAUUUGGCUCAAAUCUCUAAGGCCAAGGAGUAUCCGAACUUGGACUGAUUUGCAAGCCGAGUUUCUCAAGAAGUUCUGCCCUACUCAUAGGAUCAAUGGUCUGAAAAGGAAAAUUUCUAACUUCUCAGCUAAAGAGAAUGAGAAAUUCUAUGAGUGUUGGGAGAGGUACAUGGAAGCUAUUAAUGCUUGUCCUCACCAUGGCUUUGACACAUGGCUCUUAGUGAGCUAUUUUUAUGAUGGUAUGUCUUCUUCAAUGAAGCAACUUCUAGAAACUAUGUGUGGAGGAGACUUCAUGACUAAGAAUCUAGAGGAAGCCAUGGACUUUUUGAUUUAUGUGGCUGAAGUUUCAAGAGGAUGGGAUGAACCAAACGUUAGAGAGGUGGGAAGAAUGAAGUCUCAACCUAAUGCUAAGGGUGGGAUGUAUGUUUUGAAUGAAGACAUUGACAUGAAGGCAAAGGUUGUAGCUAUGGCAAAGAGAUUGGAAGAGCUAGAAAUGAAGAAGGCACAAGAAGUGCAAGCCAUUUCUGAGACAUCAGUGCAAGCUAUGCCUUGUUCCAUUUGUCAAUCUUAUGAGCACUUGGUGGAGGAAUGUCCUACCAUUCUAGCAUUGAGAGAGAUGUUUGGUGAUCAAACAAAUGUUAUUGUUCAAUUCAAGCCCAAUAACAAUGCUUCAUAUGGUAACACCUACAAUUCAAAUUGGAGGAACCAUCCAAAUUUAUCUUGGAAACCAAAGCCACCUUAGUACACAUAACCUGCUCAAACACCUCAGCAAGCCUAGAAUCUUGAACAAGCUAUUGUGAACCUUAGCAUGGUUGUGGGAGACUUUGUGGGAGAUCAGAAGUCCAUCAAUGCUCAAUUGAAUCAGAGAAUUGAUAGUGUGGAGAGUACAUUGAACAAAAUGAUGGAUAGGAUGCAAAAUGAUUUGUCUCAGAAGAUAGACAAUGUCUAAUACGCAAUCUCAAGGCUUACCAACCUCAACAUAGUAGGAAAGUUUCCUUUUCAACCUCAUCAAAAUCCCAUGGGUAUCCAUGAAGUGGAGGCUCAAGAGGGAGAAUCUUCAAAGGUGAGGGAAGUUAAAGCAGUUAUCACCUUGAAGAGUAGUAAAGAGGUUGAUCAGCUCACAUCCAAGCCAAAGCAUGAUGAAGAGAGUGUAGCAGAAAAAAAAAAGUGAGUAAAUUAAAGGAAAGAAAAAAGGGAAAAGUACAAAGAAAGAUGACCAUGAUUCUAGUGUGAAUAAAGAACCCAAGAGGAUAGUCAUCAAGGAAGAUAUGAUGAAGAAACACAUGUCUCCACCUUUCCCUCAAGCUUUGCAUGGUAAAAAGGGAACCAAUAAUACAUCAUAAAUUUUUGAAGUGUUGAGGCAAGUGAAGGUCAAUAUCCCUUUUCUAGACAUGAUCAAACAAGUGUUGACAUAUGCAAAAUUCUUGAAGGACUUGUGCACUGUAAAGAGAGGGUUGAAUGUGAACAAGAAAGCCUUCUUGAUUGACCAAGUGAGUGUCAUCAUAUAGUGCAAGUCUCCAGUAAAGGACAAAGAUUUGGGCUACCCUACCAUCUCAGUGUGUAUUGGAGGGACUUGUAUGGAGAAAGCUUUGUUGGACUUGGGAGCAAGUGUGAAUUUGCUACCCUACUCUGUCUACAAGCAGUUGGGACUUGAAGAGUUAAAGCCAACAUCCAUCACUCUAUCUCUUCCAGAUAGAUCGGUGAAGAUUCCAAGAGGGAUGAUCAAAGAUGUCUUGGUUCAAGUUGACAAAUUCUCUUAUCCAGUAGAUUUUUUUGUUCUUGAUACGGAUCCGGUUGUCAAAUGAACUAAUUAUGUUCCUAUCAUACUUGGAAGACCAUUCCUAGCUACAUCAAAUGCAAUCAUCAAUUGAAGGAAUAGAGUCAUGCAACUCACAUUUGGCAACAUGACAUUAGAGCUCAACAUCUUCCAUUUGUGCAAUAAGCAUAUCCAUCCGAAAGAAGAAGGAGGUCCAAAGGAAGUGUGCAUGAUUGACACUUUAGUGGAAGAACAUUGUGAUCAGAGAAUGCAGGAGGAUUUGAUUGAGAGUCUUGGGGAUCUUGAUGAAGGGUUACCUGAACCCUCAUAUUUGCUUGCUACCUUGUCUCCUUAGAGGAGGAGAUAAGAAAUUCUACCCUUAUUCAAUGAGGAGGAGACAUAAAGAGCUGCUAAGGAGGAGCCCCCAAAGCUUAUUCUUAAGCCACUACCCACAGAGUUGAAGUAUGCAUACUUGGAAGAAGACAAGCAAUGCCCUGUUGUUAUAUCUUCAACUCUUACCAUUCAUCAAGAGGAUUGUCUACUUGAAGUCCUUAGAAGAUGCAAGAAGGCUAUAGGGUGGCAAAUUUCUUAUUUGAAAGGGAUUGGCCCUUUAGUAUGCACCUAUCAUAUUCACAUGAAGGAUGAAGCUAAGCCAGUUCGUUAACCCCAGAGAAUGUUGAACCCUAGAGAAUGUUGAACCCUCACAUGCAAGAGGCGAUGCGAGUUGAAGUUUUUAAGCUACUUUAGGCCGGUAUUAUCUACCCCAUAUCAGAUAGCCCAUGGGUGAGUCCUACUCAAGUUGUGCCAAAGAAGUUUGGGAUCACGGUGGUGCAAAAUGAUAAGGGAGAAGAUGUCUCUACACGCCCCACUACAGGUUGGAGGGUGUGUAUCGAUUACAGGAGAUUGAAUGCAGUGACAAGGAAUGACCAUUUCCCAUUGCCCUUUAUUGAUUAGGUGCUUGAGAGGGUCUCUGGGCAUCCUUUUUAUUGUUUCUUGGAUGGAUACUCUAGGUAUUUUCAGAUAGAAAUUGAUGUUGAAGACCAAGAGAAGACCACUUUCACGUGCCCAUUUGGCACCUAUGCAUACAGGAUAAUGCCUUUUGGCUUAUGCAAUGCACCAUAACUUUCCAAAGAUGCAUGUUAAGCAUUUUCGGUGAUAUGGUGGAGCGUAUUAUGGAAGUCUUUAUGGAUGAUAUCACCAUAUAUGGAAGUGCAUUUGAUGAAUGCAUAGUCAACUUAGAAGUUGUUCUGAACCGAUGCAUUGAGAAAGACUUAGUGUUUAACUGGGAGAAGUGUCAUUUCAUGGUACAACAAGGGAUUGUCCUUAGGCACAUUAUCUCCAAGCAAGACAUUGAAGUUGACAAAGCAAAAGUUGAACUCAUUGUCAAGUUGCCAUUCCCAACAAAUGUCAAAGGAGUAAGGCAAUUCCUUGGCCAUGUCAGGUUCUAUAGGAGGUUUAUCAAGGAUUUCUUUAAGCUUGCAAGGCCUCUUUGUGAACUAUUGGUGAAGGAUGCUAAAUUCAUAUGGGAUGAUAGAUGCCAAAGGAGUUUUGAAGAAGUAAAGCUAUUUCUGACAACCGCAUCAAUAAUGAGGGCUCCCAACUAGCAACUGCACUUUGAGGUAAUGUGUGAUGCCAGUGACUUUUCCAUAGGAGCUGUUCUUGGGUAAAGAGAAGAUGGAAAACCCUAUGUGAUCUACUACGCGAGCAAGACAUUGAAUGAGGCACAAAGAAAAUACACAACCACCGAGAAAGAAUUGUUAGUUGUAGUUUUUGCCUUGGAUAAGUUUCGUGCUUACUUGGUGGGGUCCUUCAUUGUGGUUUUCACUGAUCACUCUACAUUGAAGUAUCUAUUGACUAAGCAAGAUGCUAAAGCAAGGCUGAUUAGAUGGAUCCUCUUGCUUCAAGAGUUCAAUGUUCAUAUCAAAGACAAGAAAGGAGUGGAGAAUGUGGUAGUAGACCAUCUUUCAAGGCUAGCUAUCGCUCAUAAUUCCCAUGGUUUGCCCAUCAAUGAUGAUUUUCCAGAGGAGUCUCUCAUGUUGGUGGAAGUUGCUCCUUGGUAUGCUCACAUUGCUAACUACCUAGUCACAGGAGAAGUUCCAAGUGAGUGGAAAGCACAAGAUAAGAAGUAAUUCUUUGCAAAAAUUCAUGCCUACUAUUGGGAAGAGUCAUUUCUAUUCAAGUAUUGUGCAGAUUAGAUAAUAAGGAAGUGCGUUCCUAAAGAAGAGCAACAGGGGAUCCUCAAUCAUUGCCAUGAAAAUGCAUGUGGAGGCCACUUUGCUUCUCAGAAGACAACCAUGAAGGUGUUGCAAUCGGGUUUCUGUUGGCCAUCACUUUUCAAAGAUGCCCACACCAUAUGCAAGAGUUGUGAUCGAUGCCAGAGGGUUGGGAAGUUGACACGCAGGAACAUGAUGCCUUUGAACCCCAUUUUGAUAGUUGAUCUUUUUUAUGUUUGGGGCAUUGACUUCAUGGGACCAUUCUCUAUGUCUUUUGGCUACUCUUACAUCUUGGUAGAAGUAGAUUAUGUUUCUAAGUGGGUUGAGGCAGUCUCAUGCAAGCACAAUGACCAUAGAGUGGUUCUCAAGUUUCUCAAGGAGAACAACUUCUCAAGCUUUGGGGUGCCCAAAGCCAUAAUUAGUGAUGGGGGUACUCAUUUUUGCAACAAGCCUUUUGAAACUCUCUUAGCCAAGUAUGGGGUGAAGCAUAAGGUAGUUACACCUUACCACCCUCAAACUAGUGGGCAAGUUAAGUCAGCAAACCGGGAAAUUAAAAACAUAUUGAUGAAGGUGGUGAACACAAAUAGAAAAGAUUGGUCUACCUAGCUCCUUGAUUCACUAUGGGCAUAUAGAACAGCUUACAAGACCAUUCUUGGGAUGUAUCCUUAUUGCCUAGUCUUGGCAAAGCAUGCCAUCUCCUUGUGAAAUUGGAAUACAAGGCUUGGUGGGCAAUCAAGAAGUUCAACAUGGAUUUGAGUAGAGUUGGGAUGAAGAGGUUCUUAGACCUCAAUGAGUUGGAGGAACUGAGAAAUGAUGCCUACAUCAAUUCAAAAAUUGCAAAAGAGAGAUUCCUGCAAAGAUUUUUAAAAUGGACAAAGAGUCUUGCUAUAUGACUCUAAGCUCCACAUCUUUCCAGGCAAGCUAAAAUCAAGGUGGAUAGGUCCUUUUAGCAUUCACCAAGUGCAUUCAAAUGGAGUAGUGGAACUACUCAACUCCAACAACACUAGUAGCUUCAAAGUGAAUGGCAACUGUCUCAAGCCCUUUGUGGAGCCUUUUUCUCAUGACAAUGAGGAAUUCAUCCUCCUUGAUUCACAUUAAGCUUGACAAGACCAGUUUUUGGAUGGACUUAGUCUUUCUAAAGACUAUCAAGUCCAUAUCUUUUUGUUUUAUUUUUUAUUUGAGAGUUUUCUUGUAUUGUAACUUGUUUUGAUUUUGAUUUCUCACUUUAAUUUCAUUUUGGUUUGAUUUAACUUAAGUUUUUGAUGAUCAAUUUCAGGGGAAACUUCAAAGCAGUUGGGCAUGUCCUUAAAGAUUCUUGGCAGACAAAAAACCUUGAAGAAAAAAUUCACCAAGGCAUUUCGCACACCCUUGCAAAAAUUUCGCCGGGUAUGCGAAACCCUUCUCAAAUAGUAAAGUCACCUACUACCAGUUUUGAGCCCUUUAAAUUCCAUUUCGCGCACCCAACACCAGUUCGCACACUCUACGAAAAUCUAAGGGGUCUACGAACCCAUUUCGCACACUCAACACCGUGCGAAACACCCUUGAGAAUUUAUUUUUAAAUACCUCCCGAACCCUAACUCCCCUUUUUUUCCCCCAUUUCGUAAGCACCCUUCCAUUGCCAAUCUUUCUACCACCUUGCGGUCUCUUCACAGUGUCACCCCAUGCCUUAGUUCUGGUUCCGCCCUCUGUUCAGACGCUCCCCCUCCUCGUAUCUCACUCCUCCGUCCCUCUCCCAUUCGACAACCCCCUUCGAGCACGGACCCGAGACUCAUUUCUCCAUUUCACUCGGGAGGUACCACUUCCUCCCUUUAUUUUCAAUUGCUCUUGACACAUUGAGGGUAAUUUUGAUCUUGGUUGGGGGGAGAGUUGAGGAAGGAAGUAUUGUUAAUAAUGCUAGGCUAAUUUGUUAAUUUAGUUAUAUUUUACUUAAUUUUAAAAUUUUUUACUCUACUCUCCAUGGUUAUUAAGGAAAAAUUCUCAAAAUGAAAUGGGAGAAAUUGAGUUCUUAUCUCUUUACUUGAAUCUUAGAGUUUGUAUUAUGCUUAUUGAGGUUGAUGAAUUAUUGAAACUCCUAUUGAAUUCAACCUUAAUUCUUCCACUUUAAUCUUACCACACAUUAUGCACAUUAGGUUCCGAUUAUAAGAUGAAAAACUAUCUCACCCCCUGAACUUAGGAAAAUUUCGACUUGGUACCUUUGACCUCAUUUUAAUAGUGUUGGGACACCUUAUAAAAGCCAAUGAGCCUUCAAAAAAAAAAAAAAAACAAAGUGUUUCACUUGCCUUCAAACCCGAGCAAGGUCCAAGGAGUAUAUGGUGAAAGUCUUUAAAACCCAGUUCCCUAAGCCUUUAUUGGUUGGGAGUCACCGACCUCAAUGAUCGUUACAAGGGUGACUAGGUGGAGUUUAACAUAUUGUAGGUGCUUGGGUAUUGAAUUUCAAUCUAAAAAAUCCGGGGUGAAAUCUGAGGAAUUAGUUGUCGAAAGAUCCUUAAAGCUUGAUGCCCUAAACCUUGAUUGGUUGGGAGUCAUCGAUGGAUCCUCGUUACAUGGACACUUUAGAAAACAAUACCUUUAGCAUUGCACUCCUACGAUGAAAAAAAAAUUGUGAAAUAAAAAAGGUGUGUUCUUAGCCUAUUGGAGGUUGGUCAGUUUGCUAAGGUUUGAGAAAGAACUAGGUUAGGGGGAGAGAAUAGUUCGACAUACUAUAAUCGAAAACUAAUAAGCUUAACACUUAGAUUUUUGUGGAAGAGUAAGGAUUGGACCUUUGGGAGUGGAAAUUCUUUUGAUGCUUAAAUUUUCAUAAUGUCUACUCUUUAUAAAUUGUGAUUAAGCAAUAUAUUUGAUGACUCUUGUUGAAGGUUGGGUUUUGCCUCUUUGAUGUUCCAUGAGAGAGUAUGAUCCGCAUCAUGCCACUUGAAAAUUUUUUAGACUGAUUAGCAUGAUUUUUUAAAUUAUUUUACUGUCUAUUUUUCUUUAUCUCUCCUUCAUUGCUAAGGGACUAGCAAUGUGUCAAUUGGAGGGAGUGAUUACUACUCAAAAAGUGCUCUUUUAUAGCUUGAAAUUAAUUGUUUUAAACACUUUUGAGUAGUAGUUAAUACUUUUUCUCAAUUGGCACAUUAAGGAACCUAGCAAGGGUUAUUAAUCAGUUUUUGCCUAGUUUUGGUGUUUUUGGUAGCUUUUUUAUCAUUAAAACAAGCAAAGAAUGAGGGAGAAUUUUGUGCAAUCCAUGGCAAUGCAAGUUGAAGCUCAAAUACAUGAAGAAUCCAAGUUUUGGAGCACUUCAUAGCCCUUUGCCAAGCCAAUCAGAGAUGCAAGGAAGAAAACCAGAAGAAAUUUUGCAUAUCAUGUGAAAUCAAGAGAAGGAGCAGCUGUAGGACUAAGUGAAGGAAAAUUUCGCACACUGUGCGAAAUUUCACACACCCUGCGAAACCACAAGAUGCAGCAAAAAUGAAUUUCACACACCAUGCGAAAUUUCUCAUGGUCUGCAAAAUCUUCCUGUGCACCGACUCCAUUAGAUUUUUAUCUCCAGAUUUUUGUGUAAAUUACUAUUUUCUCCUUGUAAUCAACCAAUGAUAGGAUUUCUUGGUUAGGAACUAUAAAGGGGGGUUGGAAAGACCUUUCUAUAGAAUAUCUUUUUGUAUAAUCUUUUGGAUAUACGGAACUUGUAAUUCCUGUAGGAAAAAAUAAACAGAGCCCUUGCUCUGCCUUUCCUUUUCAUUUUUCUUUCUAGCUAAACAACCUCUAAGGAUGAUUUCUCAAGGGAUGAGUGGCUAAGUUUUACAUUUCUUGGAGUGAUGGAAACUAGGUGAAGGACCCGGAUGCAAAUGUUGGAGUUUUCCUUUCUUUAAAUGAAGGUAGUUAUUAACCAUUAAUGGUUUUUAUUUCAAGGUUUAGCUUUAAAUCCCUUAGAAUCGCCUUGAAUGGCCAAUACUUGGUAAGCUUUCCGAAUUCUAUGGAUGCUUAUUGCUAGAUCCAUGGAUGUCCAUUAGUUAUCAAGUACGAGCCAUUGGAAGGUGGUUCAAGGUGAGAAUCACCUUGAAUGGCCAAUACUUGGUAAGCUUUUCGGAUUCUAUGGAUGUUUAUUGCUAGAUCCAUGGAUGUUCAUUAGUUAUCAAGUACGAGCCAUUGGAAAGUGGUUCAAGGUGAAGGUCUUUAGUGUUUGAAGCCAGUAAUGGGAAGCAACUACCAUUUUUCAGGAACCCUUUAGAUCAAAUCUUAAUUGCUAAAUACAAAACCGGUUCGGGAGAUAACCAUCCUUUAUGUUAUUGUCCCGAAUGCGAGGAGAAGAUCCGAAAUCUCCCCAAUUGCCUAAGGAACCCGAUCCUAGUGACUUAAAGCUCCAAGAGACAUUCUCUUUGUAGUUAACUUCAAUUUCUAUUUUUGCUUAACUUAAAAUCAACUUUUUCAACCACAAUUCCAUUUUCUUUAAAAGCUAAUUUUCAUAAGGAAAAGCACCAUUUCAUUACCUUUACUAAAGUCACUUGUACAAAGAAAACCCAUCCCUAUGGACGAUCCUAGAGCCACUAUACUAUAGUAGCCAUGCUACCCUAGUGUAAGGUGAUUUAGGUUUUAUAAAUUUUGUUGAUAACACCCAUCUGGCACAAGAAUCAAAUGGCGUCGUUGCUGGGGAUGAAUCAUUAUGCUAAAUGAAUCAGUUCAAGUUCCACAACAUGUGAAGGAUCAUAAACAUAAUUUUUUAAAGCUGAUACGUGAAACACAUUAUUAACCUUUUCCAAACUUGGGGAUAAAGCCACCAUUUAUGCUAAGGAGCUAACUUUAUCCAAAAUUUCAAAUGGUCCCACAAACCUAGGACUAAGUUUUCUUUUCAAACCAAAUCUCAUAACUGACUUAAGAGGUGAUACUAUAAGAAGCACAUGAUCACCAACCUAGAACUCCAAAUUUCACCUUCUAUUAUCAUUAUAACUAUUUUGUCUACUCUGAGCUAUUUUUAAUCUUUCUUUGAUUAAAGCAAUUUUUUUACAAGUUUCUUGAACUAAUUCUAGUUCCAAAAAUUUUAUCUCACCAACCUCAUCCCAAUAAACAAAGGAUCUACACUUUCGGCCAAACAAAGCUUCAAAAGGUGGCUUCCUACUAUGAAAAUUAUUGUUGUAGGCAAACCCCACUAAGAGUAGAUGGUUGUCCCAAUCACCUCCAAAAUCUAAAAUACAUGCCCAAACCAUAUCUUCCAAAAUUUGAAUUACCCUUUCUGAUUGUCCAUUGGAUUGAAGGUGAAAGGUUGUACUAAAAUUUAGUUGAGUUACCAUAGCUUUUUGCAACCUCUUCUAAAAUUGGGAAGUAAAACGAGCGUCUCAAUUUGAUAUUAUACAUAUUGGAACUCCAUGCAUCCUCACAAUCUCCUUAACAUACAACAAGGCUAAUUUGUCCAAGGACCAAUUAGUUUGAAUAGGUAAAAAGUGGGUUAAUUUAGUUAGUUUAUAAACAAUCACCCACACAACAUUACUUCCCACCACAAAUUUGGGAAAGCUAAAAACAAAAUCCAUUGUAAUGUGUUCUCGCUUCUAAUUAGGAAUGAGAAGUGGUUGCAACAUACCUAAUAGACGUUGAUACUCAGUUUUGACCUACUGACAACUCAAGAAUUGGGUAAUAAAUUAAGCGACACCACACUUCAAACCAGGUCACCAGUAAAGUUAUCUCUAAUACUGUUACAUUUUGGUCUCAUUGGGGUAGACUACAAAGUUAGAGGAGUGAGCUUCCUUUGAAAGUUCUUUCAUGAGAUUUCCAAGUUGGGGCACAUACGUACAAACGAAUUCUAAAUCUCAAUAUUCCAUCAUCUGGAAGUACAAAGUAAGACUUAGUUCCUCUUCCUAUAUAUAAUUUGAACAACCUGUAGAUCAUCUCUUUGUAAGGACUUGAUCCUCGCAAACAAAUUUGGUUGAACCUUGAGAUGAGCAAAUAAUACUCUAGACUAUAAAACUUCAAAUUAAACUAGCAGUCUAUUCAAUUCGAAUAACAUAUAUGGUUUUCUAACCCUCAAGGCUACUAAAGAACCAAAAUACUUCUUGCUUAAACCAUUUACUACUAUAUUCGCAUCAUCAGAAUGAUAUAGAAUAAAGCAAUUAUAGUUCUUGAGGAGUUCAAGCCACUUCUCUAUCUCAUAUUCAAUUCUUUUUGAGAAAACAAAUACUUUAGCCUUUUAUAAUUAGUGUAGAUCUCACAUGUCUCACCAUACAAAUAGUGUCUUCAUAUCUUAAGAGCAAAAAUCACUAUUGCUAAUUCCAAAUCAUGAGUAGGAUAGUUUCACUCAUAAGGUUUCAGUUGCCUAGAAGCAUAAGUGAUGACUUUCCCAUCCUGCAUGAGAACACAACCAAGCCCUUAAUGUGAAGCAUCACUAUAAAUAACAUAACCCCUAGAACUUGAGGGGAUUAUUAACAUUAUAUUCUUCAACUCUUGGAAGCUUUUCUCACAACCAUUAGACCAUAAAAAUUUGACCCUCUUUUGAGUAAGCUUUGUUAUUAGAGAUUCCCUUUAAAAUGUUUGUAAUAACCAGCUAAACCUAGGGGACUCCUAACCUUAGUUACCGAGUUAGGCUUGCUCCAACUAAGUCUACUAAUAUUCCCUCCUUGGAUAUUGCAUGGCUAAGAAAUAAAACUCUAUCCAACCAAAAUUCACAUUUCUUAAGCUUAAAAAAAAAAGUUGAUCUAGGUUUAGGAAGUAAGAAAAAAAAAAUAAUAAUAAUAAUUAAUAGUAGUACGAUGAAUGUUUUCUCUAAUUUAACCCUAGACAAAAACAAAGUCUUCAUGAGUGUGAGAGUUUUUAUUAUUAUUUGAAAGAAAUUUAUAUACAAUACAAUUCUAAAAUAAAAAAUCAGUAUUUAGUUUGAAGAAAAAUUCUAUAGAUUUAAGAAAUAAGGUUUCCAAGAAAAAUAUAAAGAUAAAUACAUUUAAAAAAAAUCAUUUUAGUUGUUCAAUAAAAGAAUGUAGUGCAUAAUGGAUAUUCGAUGUGAAUAAAACAUGAAUAAUAAAGGAAAAUAGGAAAAAUAAAAUAUGCAAUGUACAAUAGAAAAAAAAAUAUUAAUUAGGAUAAUUAAAAUAUAUAUAUAUAUAUAUAUAUAUAUAUAUAUAUAUAUAUAUAUAUAUAUAUAUAUAUAUAUAUAUAUAUAUAUAUAUUAAUUUAGUACUCAAUAAUGUAUGAAGAAAUAAAGAAUACAUUCUUACAUUUAAAUUUAAUUAUUAUAAGAAUAAAUUGGUACCAAGUGAUAUAAAAUUUCUAUUAGGUUAAAAUAGGUUUAUAUUAAUAAGAUUUAUUUUAUUUUUUUAGGUAAAUCCUAAGUUUAAUCAACUUCCUUGCUCAGUUCAACUUUUACCAGGUAAGGAAUUAUGAUCCUUAAAUAUUUUCUAAAGUAUUAUUUUUCUAAAAGGGUAGGAAAAUAUUUUACUAUAUGAAGAAUAUUUUAUAUUGUGAAAAAUAUUAUUAUUAUUAUUAUAUAUUCUGAUAUCUGGCCCUAGUCAAUAGGGGUUGUGUUGUUGGCCCUCAUUACUUAAUUGUAUGAGGAUUGGAAAACCUAGUCAAUGGGGUAGUUUGAUGGUACCAUCUGAUUGGUUAGUCCCUUCUGAAUUGAAGGAUCAUCCGUUUCUAAAGAUACCAUUAGUUUGGGAAAAUAAAAUUUUUUUUAUGCCUAUAUGUUUGAAGAUUAUAUUAUGUGUUAUGUCACUUUCUUUUUUUAUAUAUAAAAUAAAUUGUUAGUAUUUUCCUUAUUGAGCUAAAGCUUACUACUUUUGCUUUUCAAAACCCCUUUUAGGUUCCCCAAAUGUAGAUGGAAAUAAGUGACAUUGAAUAUAGGAGGGGUUCUUGUUAGUUAAGUUUAUGGAAGGCCUUAAAGCCUUUGUUUAGACAUGAUGAUUUGGACCAUGUGUUAUGUUUUAAUUAUCAAGUUAAUUUGAACAAAAUUAGUAUUUCAUAAUUAUGUGAAUCAUGAGACUUCUAUCUUAGAAAGAUAAUUUUAACUCUAUGUGCCUACUAGAAGGGAAGAAGAAGAAUCACUUUUGCUAGGAGGCAUAGAAAAGCAAGGACCUUAUUUAACUUUGUACGGUACAAUGCCUAUCAUACAGUUGCCCUGAAAUAUCAUUAGAAUUCACCCUUUUUUCCUUUUCUAUGUACAAACCUUUCCAUCCUCAAAGAUUUCCUCCAUAGAUCACAUCCACACAUAUUCAUUCCACACCAACAUUUAUUGUGUUAAUUCAACGUUUAUGCCCAAAUUUGUAAGUUCUGCUGGGAUUGCAGUUGAAGUUAUUGUCACCCCCAAAGCCAUACUUGGUGCGGUACCCUGGGUAGUCCCUAAAAUUAAAGGGCACUUCUUCUAUAAGUCGAAGCCCAACUCUUGAGGCUAGAAAUUCCAAAUUCCACUCACGAAAGAAGCCAUUGCUUUUGUGAGUAAUGUGGAUUUCUCCAUCUAUGUGAAUCAUCUUCUUAGCAUUUUCUAAAAACAGCUGUACCAGCAUUUGAUUUCUCCUGCAAGAAGAAACAAUGAUAUAGAAGGAAAAUUUUCAUGUGAGAAUUGGGAAUACAGGCUAUACAUAAAUUCGAUUGAAGAAGCUUUUCAAAGAAAGAAUCUACCAACCGGAUCUCAUCUUCCCUUGAUUCAUUGGGAAAAAAUCCAGCCAGCGGGAAGUUGUAGACAACUCGAUCAAAACGCAUGCAGUUGAAUGGUAAAACGUGUGCCAUUUUGGUGGCAUCAACAUCAUGCAUGACCUUAGCUCCCAAGCUCCAUAGUGUAUCGAUGUUGGACAAGGCAUGCCUAUAGUUUGUGCUCAAAAACUCUGAAAAUUGCAGUUGAUAGUCAUCAAUUAAGGCCAUAAGACAAACCCCAAAUGGGUGCUGGGGCACAUGCUAAUCAAGGUUUACUCGGGACUAGAAUGAGAAAAAUACCCAAAUCAACCAAAAUCAUGACAUUCAUGAGAAACACUCAAAGAAGGUUACCAACUUAUGAUUCAGGAUUUCUUAUUUGUUACCUAUAGAAUCAAGAGAAGUAGCGGUUAUGUUUGUAGCAGAAGCAAAAGCCACAGCCAAAGACGCAGAGAAUGAAAAGUCCCCUUCACCCACCAGCAAUAUUUUGUAUUCACUGC
RNAcentral lists this long non-coding RNA (127977 nucleotides) under Vitis vinifera (wine grape). RNAcentral's name for it is "long non-coding RNA (VVIN_LNC006544)". The record is from RNAcentral. Lineage: Eukaryota; Viridiplantae; Streptophyta; Magnoliopsida; Vitales; Vitaceae.